Molecule: long non-coding RNA, 117984 nt
Filed under: Lathyrus oleraceus (garden pea)
Lineage: Eukaryota; Viridiplantae; Streptophyta; Magnoliopsida; Fabales; Fabaceae
Description: Pisum sativum (pea) long non-coding RNA (PSAT_LNC021935)
Source: RNAcentral
UUUAUUUUAAAACACAAACAACUAGUUCAUUGAAAUGAUAACUUGUUUAGUACACAAACAAGAUCUUACUUAAUACAUAGAAAUAAGAUCUUACGGAACAUAGAGAUUAAAAACAUAGGAACAACAUGAAAAGUUUUUAAAAUGACAUAGAUAUUGAUUAACAAAGAUAUGAACUAGUUUCGGGUAUUUUUUAACCAUCCAUCAAGGUAAACUUGUUUGGAGUCAGGGGUGGAUUUUGGUCUAAUAUCUUUCAACCAUCCAUCAAGGUAAACUUGGUUGGAAUCAGAGGAGGAUUUUGCUUUUUCAGCUCGAGUGUCUUUCAACCAACCAUCAAGAUAAACUUGUUUGGGAUCAGAGGUGGAUUUUGUUUUCUCUGCUCGAGUAUCUUUCAACCACCCAUCAAGGUAUACUUGGUUGGAGUCAGGGGUAGAUUUUGUUCUCUCGUUUCGAAUAUCUUUCAACCAUCCAUCAAGGUAAACUUGGUUGGAAUCAGAGGAGGAUUUUUCUUUUUCAGCUCGAGUGUCUUUCAACCAACCAUCAAGAUAAACUUGUUUGGGAUCAGAGGUGGAUUUUGUUUUCUCUACUCGGGUAUCUUUCAACCACCCAUCAAGGUAUACUUGGUUGGAGUUAGGGGUAGAUUUUGUUCUCUCGUUUCGAAUAUCUUUCAACCAUCCAUCAAGGUAAACUUGGUUGGAGUCAGAGGAGGAUUUUUCUUUUUCAGCUCGAGUGUCUUUCAACCAACCAUCAAGAUAAACUUGUUUGGGAUCAGAGGUGGAUUUUGUUUUCUCUACUCGGGUAUCUUUCAACCACCCAUCAAGGUAUACUUGGUUGGAGUCAGGGGUAGAUUUUGUUCUCUCGUUUCGAAUAUCUUUCAACCAUCCAUCAAGGUAAACUUGGUUGGAGUCAGAGGAGGAUUUUUCUUUUUCAGCUCGAGUGUCUUUCAACCAACCAUCAAGAUAAACUUGUUUGGGAUCAGAGGUGGAUUUUGUUUUCUCUACUCGGGUAUCUUUCAACCACCCAUCAAGGUAUACUUGGUUGGAGUCAGGGGUAGAUUUUGUUCUCUCGUUUCGAAUAUCUUUCAACCAUCCAUCAAGGUAAACUUGGUUGGAGUCAGACAUGGUUUUUGUUUGCUUUGCUCGAGUAUUUUUCAACCAUCCAUCAAGGUAAACUUGGUUGGAGUCAGAUGUAGAUUUUUCUUUCUCAGCUCGGGGAUCUUUUAACCAUCCAUCAAGAUAAACUUGUUUGGAGUCAGAGGUGGAUUUUGUUUUCUCUGCUCGGGUAUCUUUCAACCAUCCAUCAAGGUAAACUUGAUUGGAGUUAGGCAUGGACUUUUCUUUCUCGACUCUGAUAUUUUUCAACCAUCCAUCAAGAUAAACUUGGUUUGAGUCACUUGCAGGUUUUGUUUUCUCAACUCGGGUAUUUUUCAACCAUCCAUCAAGGUAAACUUGGUUGGAUUCAGAGGUGGAUUUUGCGUUCUCUGCUCUGGUAUCUUUCAACCAUCCAUCAAGGUAAACUUGGUUGGAGUUAGGUGUUGACUUUUCUUUCUCAGCUCUGAUAUCUUUCAACCAUCCAUCAAGAUAAACUUGGUUGGUGUCACCGGUAGAUUUUGCUUUCUCAGCUCGAUUAUCUUUCAACCAUCCAUCAAGGUAAACUUGGUUGGAUUCAGAGGUGUCUUUUGCUUUCUUUGCUCUGGAAUCUUUUAACCAUCCAUCAAGAUAAACUUGAUCAGAGUUCUGGGAGGAUUUGGUUUUCUCUGCUCGUGUAUCUUUCAACCAUCCAUCAAGAUAAACUUGGUUAGAGUUAGCAAUGUGUUUUUGACUCUUCAAUGGAUUUUUGAGCCAACCAUCAAGGUAAGGUUGAUCAACUUGUAUUUCUUGUACAUUCUCUUGCUGAAGUUUGAUAUAUCGGGCAAAGCUUCCUUGUCCAUUCUAUAAUACAAUUGAAUAAAUGGAUAUUAGUGAGUUAUUUUUGGAUGGUAUAUAUGAUUACAAAAACAAAAUAAUGUGUUUUAUAAGACACAUUAUGUUGCACAGGUGAGACACAUUCAUUAUAUAUUUCAGAUGGAUACAAAAUGUGAAAUAAAAAUGAAAGAAAAACAAUUUUUAAAAUUUCAUUGCGGCAUAGAAAACAUUAUUUUAUCAAAUCAAAUAGAACAACUUGAUUGUAAGUGAAUGAUGAAAUCAAAUCAAAUAAAGAUGAGAAAUGAUAGAUUGUGAUAAAUAAAUGAUGAAAAAUAUAAGUGUAAAAGAUACAAGAAUGGAUGCAAAGUUAGUAACUUACGAUCAACAAGAGCAUGAUAAAAGGGAGGAGAAACAAAACAUCUUUGUGUGUCAUUUCUUUAAUGUUAUGAUUUUGUGGGAAAAUUGUUUUAAUGUGAAAAGAUGUAUUGAAAUGGAAGUGAAUUGGGCUAUUUAUAAGUGAAUGAAAAGAAAAACUACAUUAAGGAUAUUAAGGACAUUGCGACUUUGGUUGGCAAGAUUAUUUUUUAAAUAUUUAAUUUAUUUUAUUUUUUAAAUGUUUAGUUUAAUUUAUAAGUUUAUAUGUCUAAGAAAGAUCAAUUUACUUUUUCCAAGAUCUAUUAGGUGUGUUGUUUUGAGUUAUAAAUAAAAAAUUCAAAAAAUUGUUUGUUUGGUAUCAUUUUUUUAAUUAGAAGCUCCUAACUAAAUUCUCCAGGUUUAAAAUAAAUAAAUUUUAGAAAAGCUACUGCAAUUAGUUUUUUAUUUUAAAAUUAAAAAUGAUUCUCUUAAAAACUUUAAUAAAAACCUAUUAAAAUGAUAAAGGUGAUUUUUUAAAUGUUAAACAAACAUUUAUUUUGAUAAGUUAUUUCAAAUAAUUUAAAAUUUCAUAAAUUUAUUUUAAUUUAUAAUUGAAGUGGUAAUUAUCAUAAUCUCGUCUCUUGAGUUCUAAUAUUUGAGCUAAUAGUAUAAAUAUUUUUUAGUUGAAUUAAAAUUUGCAUUAAUGAUAGUUUCAAUUUUACAAUUAAUUAAACUAAUUUAGUAGUUAAUUUUAUUAAGUGUAAUAAAUGCAAUGAAUUAAUUUAACUACAUCCCCUUUAAUUCGAGGUGGGUGUAGGUAUUCCGAGACAUUCAAAUUUGAAGACUAAUAUAUAGAUUAAAAUUAUUUAUUAAUUUAUUUAAUGGUAAUUACAUAUUACAAAAUUUCAUUUUUGGAAAAAAGUUAUUAUUUUAAUAUUUUAUAUUUUUUAAUAGUUAUUAUUUUAUAAAAUUAAUUAUAAUGAGUAUAAUAUUUUAAUUUUAUUAUCAUCAAAUAUACACGACAUCAAAAUUACCAAACAUGAAAUCUAAAUAUAGGGAUCCAAUUAAUUGAAUUGGAAUUUACAUUGUGAAUCAUGAGUCUUCUGCCACCAAUUCCUAGGGACUCACUACCUAGCAAACAAUGAAUACAAAAUAGUAUCACAAGAAACACUAAAAUACUGUGUUGACCCUUGCAUGUUUAAGAUGUUCACAUGUAGCUAGGGUUUGGGUGGUUAUGUAGUUAUGCUUACCUAAUAGUAAGACUGUGUUGACCUUUGCAUGUUUAAGAUGUUCACAUGUAGCUAGGGUUUGCGUGGUUAUGUAGUUAUGCUUAUCUAAUAGUAAGUUAAAAAAUUGUAGUUAUCUAAAAAGUAAUAAAUUAUUAUAUUGACCGGUCUAAAGAGAAGAUAGAUAAGUUANGUAGUUAAUUUUAUUAAGUGUAAUAAAUGCAAUGAAUUAAUUUAACUACAUCCCCUUUAAUUCGAGGUGGGUGUAGGUAUUCAGAGACAUUCAAAUUUGAAGACUAAUAUAUAGAUUAAAAUUAUUUAUGUUCGUCUUAUAUAUUUUUUUUUUAUAUUUUAAUAUAAAUAUUUAUUAAUUUAUUUAAUGGUAAUUAUAUAUUACAAAAUUUCAUUUUUGGAAAAAAGUUAUUAUUUUAAUAUUUUAUAUUUUUUAAUAAUUAUUAUUUUAUAAAAUUAAUUAUAAUGAGUAUAAUAUUUUAAUUUUAUUAUCAUCAAAUAUACACGACAUCAAAAUUACCAAACAUGAAAUCUAAAUAUAGGGAUCCAAUUAAUUGAAUUGGAAUUUACAUUGUGAAUCAUGAGUCUUCUGCCACCAAUUCCUAGGGACUCACUACCUAGCAAACAAUGAAUACAAAAUAGUAUCACAAGAAACACUAAAAUACUGUGUUGACCCUUGCAUGUUUAAGAUGUUCACAUGUAGCUAGGGUUUGGGUGGUUAUGUAGUUAUGCUUACCUAAUAGUAAGACUGUGUUGACCUUUGCAUGUUUAAGAUGUUCACAUGUAGCUAGGGUUUGCGUGGUUAUGUAGUUAUGCUUAUCUAAUAGUAAGUUAAAAAAUUGUAGUUAUCUAAAAAGUAAUAAAUUAUUAUAUUGACCGGUCUAAAGAGAAGAUAGAUAAGUUAUUAUAAUCAAAUAUUAUCUAAAAAACAAUAAAUUAUAAGGAAUAUAGUUUCAUUAUUUUUAUGUUUAUUUAAAAAAUAUAAAUAUUUUUUAAAUUAAUGAUAAAUAAUUGAUUUUAAAUGUGAUGAUGGUUUAUAUCUUUACAUAAGAAACUAAAUGAUAAAAUGUGAAUAUUCAUAUCUAACAUUAAAUAUUUAUCUAAAUAUGUAGGCCAGCCUCAUAUUUAUUGUAAAUUUUUUAACAAAGCUUUUAAUAAUGUAAAUUAGAAUAAUGUAGGCCAGCCUCUCUAUUUAUAUAAAAAAAAUAUUUUUUAAAAUAUUUUUAUAAUAAAAAUAUAAAAUUUGUCACAAAACAAUUUUAUUAUUUUAUUAACUAUAAAAAUAUAGGUUAUAAAUCACAUAUUUCAUUUAUAAUUCAUUAACCAGUAAAAUACGUAAUAUUAAUCAAAUUAUAAUAUUAAAAUAUGAAAUACACAAUUUGCUUAAUUAUUAAUUAUUAUAUUUUAUAUUUUAAUGUCAAAAUUUAUUGAUAUUAUUUAUUUUAUUAAUUGAAUACAGUAAUAAAUAAAAUAUAUGGUUAAUCACCUAUAUUUUUGUGAUUAAUAUAAUAAUAAAAUUAAUUAAUAACAAACUUUAUAUUUAUAUUAUAAAAAUAAUUAUAAAAAUAAAUCAAAAACGAGUUUAAGACAACAUAGGAAAAAGGGAGACUCGGAUAUCGUAUCUCAAAGACGGUUGAAUUAUUAUUAAUAUACUGGAAUCGAAUUGGGGGUUUAUAUUUGAUUCAUAAUAAAUGAUUAUGAAAAGUGAUUAUAAAAUAAGUUGAUUUAUUGAUUCGGUUCCUACCUACCAUUGAUUAUUAUAGCGCGAAUGAAAGUGUAAGAAUUAUGUUUCUUAUUUGCUGAAUUAAGCAAUCAGUUAAGAUUAAAGCGAAUUAACGGAUUAAGCAUACGUUAACACGCAAUCAAAAUUAGGGAACAAUAAAUAUUCAAAUCAAACAAAAUUACUAAGUUUGAAAUUGUACCUCAUUCAGGUCUUGGUUCAAGCAUCCCUAUGUGCAUCACAUUUAACUUUGCAUAGGCCAUGAACUCAAGUCUUUUGGUAUGGAAAAAUGCAUAGAUCCAUAUGCCCGAUUCACUUCAUUCAUAUGAUGCAGAUGAUCAAGGAUGAUUGAUCCAUUUAAGACUUAGUUCCAUUGGUUCAUUCUUUGUUGCUUAAGAAAUCUCAGGGUUUUACUAAGAAGAAAGAGGUCGAGACCAGUGUCGUGAUAGUAAAUAUCUACCCUCAAGUUCAAGCACCUAUGACUCAUGUGUCAUACUACCCUUAUCUGUACAUUGUCGCUGCUCAAUAUCAGCAACCUGCAUACCAACCGCAAUAUCAACAGCCUCCAUGGGCUCCAAUUUCUCAGAAUCAACAAAAUAGCAGAAACCAGAGUCUAGGUCAGGGCAGACGUUAUGAUAGAAAACGUCCUCAGCCUGACCAUAUCCCUGUAUCAUACACUCAGUUGUUGUCGUAUCUUGUCCAGUAAGGAGCAAUUGCGCCAAAAGAGAUUCCGCCUGCAACUCCUCCCUAAAAUCACAAGCAUAAUCCUAAUGUGUCUUGUGCAUUUCAUGUCGGAUACAUAGGGCAUUCUACAGAGGAUUGUUUGGUCCUCAAGACCAUAGUACAAGAGUUAAUUGAUCAUAAGGUUUUGUAAUUCUCUGAGGCAGGACCCAAUGUCAUAACCAACCUAUUGCCAGACCACUGUGGACAGAUAGUGAAUGCAGUUUAUGGCGAAGAUUCCUCAGAUUCAGUUGAUUCUUCAGAGAAGUACUGAUGCUAGCAAUAUCAUAUUGAUUCAAUCAUGUAUCAUUUGUAAUCUUUUCUUGUUUGUUAAUUGUUGUUCAUUUGUAAAACUUGUCUGGUUUUUCAGAUGAUAAUAAUAAUGAAAUAAGCGUGCAUGUUUUGCUUAAAUCCAUUCGUGUUCACUCAUAUUUUAUUUUAUCAGUAUCAAAUUGUUUGUCGAACAAAAUCAAAAGAGAAUGAUGAAAUUAAAAAUAUGCAAGAUCGCUGUUUGUAUGCUUUUGAAUAAGAUCAUGUUGAUGAUGCAAGGCAUUGUUCAAUCCCUAAACACCGGAGAUAUAAGGAAGAUAAUCCCUAGUCAACCCAUUUGGAUGUUGUAGUAGGAGUUUCUUUCUUUAACACAUAAAAUCCUCAUGCUUAACUAGGGGCAGGGUAUUCUUCAUUUAGUUUAGACUUGCAUUCAAAUUUCAGAAGGAGAAUAUCUCAUCCAGUGAUCAAUCAUAUCAUAUCCCUCUCAAGAGGAUGGAAUCACAAAUCCAGGAUGGUUAUCCCUUACCAUUCAAAAGGAGUGAGAUAGUCACGACCCAUGCAACAAAUCAAGAAAGUCGUGUCACACGGUUUUCUCUAGUACAAAAAGAAAAGAUGAAAAAAUUAAAAGUCCGCUAAGUCAAAAACUUGAAAACAAGAUUGACUUAUAUGUGUGUGUUUGGGGUGAGUCUGGAGAUGCACCUUCGAACUUCGAAAUGUGUGAGCUUUUUUGUAUUUUUCAUCUCAUGCCCUAGUAAUAUAUAUGGUGCAUUAAAAAAUAUCCAUAAAUUAAGGGAUUUGGUUAACACACUCUUAGGAUUGUUUUUCGACCCUUGUGAAAAAUCAAAACUACCUUUAGAAUUCAGAAAUAAAUCUUUGGACGCACCUCAAACACACACACAAUCAAUUCAUUUUUGAGUCAUGAAGUUAAUUAGGAAAUGCAUCUCCUUAAAUAUUAACGGGGGUGUAUUUUCCAAACCUAUUGAACCACACAGAAUUGCAUAAACCAAACAGAUGCAGAAAUAAAGAUAAAUCACAUUGAUAACAUGAAAAAUGAAAUAUUACAUAGAUAAUCGUUAACAUAAAUCGAACUUUGCAUUUGAACAUCAAGAUGGACGUUUCAACAUAUUUAUAAUAUCUUUUAUCGAUCUCGCAAUCAUCGCAUCCAACUUGAUCAAACAUUUUAUUUCGUAACGGUUAAAUGUAUUUCACAUAACUCUUAAAUCCGCAUCCGUCUUCAGCUUAAAGUUGUUGAACUGAAUCUACCAUUCAUUAUCAACCGAGAGUGAACCUUACUUGAGUUUCACAAUUCUUCAAUGAACUUAAAUGCAAUUGAGGACUCCGCGUAGUUGAGUCAUAUUUCAUGGAGACUCAUAAUGCGUCCAAAAAUGCAUUUCCAAAAUUUUAGUGGCAUUUUUAAAUUUUUAUAGGAUGGUUUUCCAGCACUUAUGUAGAGAUAAACAAUUUCCUUAUUAAAGGUCUCUGAGAGGAAUUGAAAUAAAUAUAUUUAAAAAAUUAGUAUUAUACUUAUUUAAGGAAUAAAGUUUUCUAACCAAAAAUUUUUCCCUAAUUUUUUUGUGCCUAAUUUUUUUGCUAACAAAAUAGAGACCUGAUUAUAUUUCACUAAUUUUCAUUCAUCUCUCAAUUAAUAUCUCUCAUAACCCUCAUUAACUCUCAAUUAAUGUAAUUCAUAUCAAUUAAUUGUUUUUUGAAAAUUUUGUAUCCGGCUUCGGACCAACUAGUUUAGUGAAUUGCUAAUUUCAUCUUUAAGUGUUGGAAAAAUACCUUAUAAAAAUUUGAAAAUACUCUUCUGAUUCCAAAAAUGCAUCUUCGGACGCAACUUGCACCUCACCAAAACACGCUUCAACUUGUUGAUGUUUUUUAUGUAAUUCAAGUGGUGUAACUGGUUACCUCAUGUGGUGUAAACGGUUACCACUAAAGUUGAUUUAAUUCAAUAUCAGAUGUAACCGAUUAUCCACUUUUGUGUAACGAUUACAAGCUUAAUAUUUUGAUUUUUUCUGAUAUUUUACUUGGUCAAUUCAGUUCCCAAUUGUGUUGUAUCUCUUGUAUAAGUGUUUAGAAUGUACACUCAUCUAAGGUUAAUGCAAUAAUAAUCUCUCAUCCUCAAUUCUCCUCUUUCACACUCCACAUCCAAAGUAUCUCCACCAUUAUUCACCAAACUUGUGGUGUCCUGUUCCAACAUUUGACAUCAAGAGUCUGGUUCAGAUCCACAAACACUUAGUGUGCAACAUGAAUUAUGUUUCCAAUGAAAAAAUCCCUCCAAACCUACCUAUCCUUGAUGCGAAGAAUUAUGAUAAAUGGUACAAGGAAAUGAAGAUGUUGUUUGGCUACCAAGAUGUUCUUACAGUAACUCUUAAGAGAAAAUAGUUGUCCCUGACCUACUUUGAGUCUCCGUAGGGAAAUUGGACUGGCAAAGAGGGUAGAAGGAGGAAACUACUCAAGUGAGCUUGAAGCAACAAAGGCAGUGAGUUUAGUUCCCACGCGGGGAAGAACGUUUAUAACAAGAGCCAGGAAGAUAAAUUAUUUUAUAAUACCUUCUCAAAAGUAAAAUGAGCUAUGAGAAAGAGCAAGAAUCUCAAGCGAUUGGCUGAACUUAACCUAGCUCGAGCUACAUGGCGGUUGAUCAAGGGAUACCGGAAAGAGGCAAACAACAGAACCUCCGGGUUUGAAGCUUUUCAUGUCGGGGCGAGGUCAAUCAAGGGUUUUGGGUCAGUGAAAGCUCGAGUGCCCCCUUCAAAAGUAAGGUGUCGGGAAUGCAACCAGUGAGGUGACCCGUUCCGUUAGGGCGGAUGAAAGAAGUUAUCCUGAAGCAGCGUCAAAGGCCUCUGUAGGCCCUUCAACAGGAUUUUUUGUCGUGUAGCAUUCUGUUUUGGCUACUCACGAAACUCUUUAUCCUUAAUAGGAAGAACUCCCUUUAGAGGAAGGAUACAAAGACCAAGCCUGUCUUUCUCUCUUAAAAAGGGCAUAUGGGGCAGGGCAGAAAGACUAUUUUAGGGGACUAAUCUGCUAAUGAAUGAAGGAAGGAGAAGGCCUUAAUUGUCUAUCCAAAGGUCCGCCUUGGGUGGAUUUAGGCGAAUCAAGUGGGUGGGAAUGAUCCGAGCCCCCUAUGUAAAUUUCAGUAAGGUAACUAAGGUUUACAAUAAUUCAUUUCAGUAGUGCGUUACCUUGCAGCUCUAUCUAUCGGGUAGUCAGUCUCUUGGUCAAAAGCCGGUACCUAAUUCCCCUGCUGGUGGGCCGAUCCUCGUCUAGCGGUGGGAACCGGCUGGUAUGGAUCAAUUGCUUGCCCUGUCUCUCUUCUGUUCAACCAUCGAGAAUCCGCAGUUAUCUUUGCUCAUUGGGUGGGCGAAGGAAUCCUUUCUAUUGAAUAAGGGCUUUGAGAAGCAGGCCAUUCCGUUCCAGUUAGCACCGUAUCCCGCUUUUCCGAUAGCAAAGGGCCUUCUAAUUAGCGUGCUUUGCUUAACCCGGCAAGAUCCGAGAUCAGACCUAGUCCUGCUGACCCGCUACCCUUGAAAACAUACUUUUUGCCACCUUACGACUGGUGUGAAGGAACUUAUUGCACAUAUUUAACAUGGGGAAGGAAAGAGGAGGGAAUAAAGCAUAUUUUAGGCAUCGANUUAAGAAAUGUCCAUGAAUUAAGGGAUUUGGUUAACGCACUCUUAGGGUUGUUUUUCGACCCUCGUGAAAAAUCAAAACUACCUUUAGAAUUCAGAAAUAAAUCUUUGGACGCACCUCAAACACACAUAAUCUGUUCAUUUUGUAGUCAUGAAUUUAAUUCGGAAAUGCAUCUCCUUAAAUAUUUAUGGAGGUGUAUUUUCAGAACCUACUUAACCACAAAGAAUUUCAUAAACCAAACAGAUGCAGAAACAAAGAUAAAUCACAUUGAUAACAUUGAAAAAUGAAAUAUUACAUAGAUAAUCGUUAACAUAAAUCGAACAUUAUAUUUGAACAUUAAGAUGGACGUUUCAACAUCUUUAUAAUAUCUUUUAUCGAUCUCGCAAUCAUCGCAUCCAACUUGAUCAAAUAUUUUGUUUCGUAACGGUUAAAUGUAUUUCAGAUAACUCUUAAAUCUGCAUUCGUCUUCAGCUUAAAAUUGUUGAAAUGAAUCUUCGAUUCAUUAUCAAUCGAGAGUGAACCGUACUUGAGUUUUGUAAGAACAAAAAUAGUUCUACAAUAGAUUCCAUGAUUUUGAUGAUAACAAAGGAUGAAACCAAAAAUGGCACCCUAACGAAAAGUUUCUAAGUGUGCAGGGUUCUAAAGAAAGAAGAAAUAAAUCUGAUGAUGUCAUCAGAUGCAAAACAAGAUCAGAUGUAAAAUCUCAAGUAUCAGAAGCAUCUAAAGAGGAAUCUCAUUCAAGAAGCUCUGACUCUGGACAAAACUACAAAGUAUCAGAAGCAUCUGAACAUGAAGUAAAGUCUAGAAGCUCUGACUCUGAACAAAUGCCUUCUGUAAAUUCUGAAGUUAUCAGCGCCAUCUGAACUUUCAAGAGAUAACAUCAGAAGCCAGUUUCUCCAGAUACACAAAGACUCUAAUCAGAAUUGUUAAUCAUGAUGAAGUAACGUUUAAGCCAAGUUAAAGUUCUGCAAAUGGAUUUCCUCAAUUAGAAAGAGACGUUAAUCUCCACUUCCAAGAGAGAAGAUACUAAUUGUGGUAAGUAGUCACUUCUAAGAGAAAAAGUCUACUGCAGAAGCUAUUAAUGGAAUGGCGUAACUACAUCUCAAUAUCCAACAGAUUCAACGCUACUUCAACUCUACUUCAACUCCUAUAAAUAGAGAAGAAAUCUCAUUCAGUAAGAAAGAAAUCACUAGCCAAAACUAUACUGAAAUUAUAUCACGCUCAAGAAAAACAUCUUUGUUCUUCAAAGAUUUUCACUAAGCUUUUGCUUAUCAAGUGAAAAAUUUGUUCUUAAGUUUGUAAUAUUUGCUUUCUUAGAAGCACUCUAGAUUACACAUCUUGUAUCUAAUUUUUAUUUGAUUUCCUCAAGUGACUCUUUGUAGUCUGUAGACUUGAGAGGACUAAGAGAUUUUCUUCUCUCUUAGGGGUUGUUUGUAAUCUUUCAAGAUUAGUGGAUUAAGUCCUUGUUGAAGGCGAAAUCACCUUGGCCGGGUGGACUGGAGUAGCUUUGUGUUAUAAGCGAACCAGUAUAAAAUCAUUGUGUGAUUUUCUUUUGCAAAAGCGCUUAUUUUUCAAACAAUUCAAACCCCCCCUUUCUUGUUUUUCUCACCUUCAAUUGGUAUCAGAGCUCCGGCUCUGUUAUUGAUUUUCAAAUCAAACACUUAACCGUGUAGAGAGAUCCAGUGCGAGAAAAACAAAUGGCCCACUCAAAUGAGAAAGAUUCUUACAAUGCCAAGCCUCCUGUUUUUGAUGGAGAAAAGUUUGAUUACUGGAAAGAUAGAAUCGAAAGUUUCUUUCUGGGUUAUGAUGCUGACCUCUGGGACAUUGUCACAGAUGGAUACAAACCUCCAACCUUAAAUGGAGCUGAAGUUCCCAGAAGCAAAAUGUCAGAAGAUCAGAAACGUGAGUUCAAAAAUCAUCACAAGGCCAGAACAAUACUUCUAAAUGCUAUAUCAUACAACGAAUACGAAAAGAUCACCAACAGAGAGACGGCUAAAGAUAUACUUGACUCUCUGAAGAUGACCCAUGAAGGAAACUCCCAAGUCAAGGAGACGAAGGCUCUGGCGUUGAUCCAGAAAUAUGAAGCCUUCAAGAUGGAAGAUGACGAAGCUAUAGAAGCUAUGUUUUCCAGAUUCCAAACUCUUAUUGCAGGUCUUAAAGUGCUAGACAAAGGAUACACGACUGCAGAUCAUGUUAAGAAGAUUGUCAGAAGUCUGCCAAAGAAAUGGAGACCUAUGGUUACUGCUCUGAAGUUAUCAAAGGAUCUGAACAGUAUCAGCCUUGAAGAACUUGUUAGUUCUCUCAGAAGCCAUGAGAUAGAACUAGAGGAGGAUGAGCCUCAGAAAAGGAACAAGUCAGUGGCGCUGAAGUCCAGACCUGAAAGACGGAAGUCAGACAGAACCAAAGCUCUCCAGGCAGAAACUGCAGAUACUGACGACUCUGAACCUGAAGACUCUGAUGAUGAAGAAGAACUGUCCUUACUAACCAGAAGAGUUAAGCAACUCUGGAAAAGAAGGAACAACAACAACUUCAGAAGAUCAAGACCCAGAGGGGAUAGAUCAGAGUCAACUUCAAAAGGUAAACCUAAUAAAGAUAUUACCUGUUUUGAAUGUAAAGAAACAGGUCAUUAUAGAAAUGAAUGCCCCAAGCUGAAGAAAGAUAACUCUAAGAAAGAAAGCUUCAAGAAAAAUGCCUUCAGAACAAAGAAGGGAUUAAUGGCCACCUGGGACGAUAGUGAAUCAGGAUCAUCAGAAUCUGACUCUGAUGAACAAGCCAACGUAGCAUUUAUGGCUACCACAUCCAGCAGCUCAGAUGAAGAAUCUGAAGAGGUAUUUUCUGAACUUUCUAGAUCUGACUUAGAAUCAUGUUUAUCAGAAACUCUUACCUCUCUUCAGAAAUUAAAACAAAAAGUUAAAAGCAUUAAAGGCCUUCUUAAAGCAAAAUCUGAAGAAUGUAGUGAACUUGAGACAACAAUUCUAGCACAUGAAGAUACAAUCAAAUCUUUAACGUUAGAAAGAGAUGGAGCUAAAACAAAAAGCUUAAAAUUAGAAGAAGCGUUGUCUCAAGCACCACAAACUUCAAAUGAAAUUAUUUAUAAAUAUGAAGAAGCCUUUCAGAAGUUUCUGAAGAGUGGAAUAGAUAGGAGUAUUAUGGCAUCCAUGAUUUAUGGAGUAAGUCAGAAUAAUAAAAGGGGAAUUGGGUAUGAUUCUGAUUCUGAUAAAACUUCUACCAGUAACCAAAUUAAAUCACCUUUUUCAUACCACUAUACACACACACAAGAACACAAAUUUAAAAAUGCUAGAAGACCCAAAGUUGUAAGAAACUCUGGGAAAACUAAUCUGAAAGGACCCAAGAGAUUCUGGGUACCGAAAGAUAAGAUUAUCUAUGUUGCAGAUAUCCUAUGCAGCAAAGUUCAGACACCAGUCAUGGUACCUGGACUCUGGAUGCUCGCGACAUAUGACGGGAAGAAAGUCUAUGUUCCAAAGCCUGGAACUUAAAGACGCUGGCUUUGUAGGCUUCGGAGGAGAUCAGAAAGGAAGGAUCAGAGGCUCCGGAACUAUUGGUAAUGGUACUCUUCCCUCUAUAUCUGAUGUUCUUUAUGUAGAAGGAUUAAUGCAUAACUUGUUAUCCAUAAGUCAAUUAAGUGAUAACGGUUAUGAUGUAAUCUUUAAUCAAAAAACGUGUAAAGCCAUUAAUCAGAACGAUGGCUCUGUCCUUUUCACAGGCAAGAGGAAAAACAACAUUUAUAAAAUAAAUCUUUCUGAUUUAAAAGAUCAAAAUGUUAAAUGUUUAAUGUCAGUUCACGAAGAGCAAUGGGUAUGGCAUAGACGCUUAGGCCACAUUAGCAUGAGAAAACUUUCUCAGCUAACUAAACUUGAGUUAGUCAGAGGCUUACCUAAACUGAAGUUUUCUUCAGAUGCUCUGUGUGAAGCUUGUCAGAAAGGAAAGUUUUCAAAAACAUCUUUUAAAAAGAAAAAUGUUGUUUCUACCUCCAAGCCUCUGGAGCUUCUUCACAUUGACUUAUUUGGUCCUGUGAAAACAGCAUCAGUCAAUGGAAAGAAGUAUGGACUAGUAAUCGUUGAUGAUUACAGCCGCUGGACAUGGGUAAAAUUCCUAAAGCACAAGAGUGAGUCUCACUCUGUAUUCACCAGUUUCUGUUCUAAAGUGCAAAAAGAAUUUGACUCUAAAAUUGUUAGAGUCAGAAGUGAUCAUGGUGGAGAAUUUGAAAAUAAAGAUUUUGAAGAAUUAUUUGAUUCUAAUGGAAUAUCCCAUGAUUUCUCCUGCCCUAGAACUCCACAACAAAAUGGAGUUGUAGAGAGGAAGAAUAGGACACUCCAAGAAAUGGCCAGAACCAUGAUCAAUGAAACAAAUGUAGCAAAGCACUUUUGGGCAGAAGCUGUAAAUACAGCGUGUUACAUUCAGAAUAGAAUCUCUAUUAGACCUAUUCUGGAUAAGACUCCCUAUGAACUGUGUAAGGGAAGAAAACCCAACAUUUCAUAUUUUCAUCCUUUUGGAUGCAUUUGCUUUAUAUUAAAUACUAAAGAACAUCUGAACAAGUUUGAUUCCAAAGCACAGAAAGGUAUUAUGUUAGGAUACUCAGAACGCUCUAAAGGCUACAGAGUAUACAACACAGAAACCAAAAUUGUGGAGGAAUCAAUUCAUGUUAGAUUUGAUGAUAAGCUUGACCCUGAAAAGUCAAAGCUAGUUGAAAAGUUUGCAGAUUUAGAGAUCACUCUGGUAGAAUCUGAGAAAACUCCAGAAGCAACUGUCACUCCAGACUCUGAAGAAAUUAAAUCUCCAGAAAUUCCAAGGAAAGUCAAGAGUCGUAGCAACGUAUCUGAAGAUUUGAUUUUGGGAAACAAAGAUGAACCUGUUAGAACCAGAUCUACCUUCAGAACUUCUGAAGAUAUUCCUCUGGGACUAGUGUCUCUGAUUGAGCCUACGUCCUGUGAUGAAGCUCUUCAAGAUAACGAUUGGGUGGCAGCUAUGCAAGAAGAGUUAGAUCAAUUCUCCAAGAAUGAUGUCUGGGAUCUCGUUCCUAAACCCAGAGGCACUCAUGUCAUUGGAACCAGAUGGGUUUUCAGAAACAAACUGAACGAGAAAGGAGAAGUUGUCAGAAACAAAGCACGACUGGUAGCUCAAGGUUAUAGUCAACAAGAAGGUAUUGAUUAUAAUGAAACUUUUGCUCCAGUCGCAAGGUUAGAAUCUAUUCGUCUUCUUGUAUCUUUUGCUAUUAAUCACUCUAUCAAAUUAUACCAAAUGGAUGUCAAGAGUGCAUUUCUUAAUGGUUAUAUUUCAGAAGAAGUGUAUGUCAAUCAACCUCCAGGUUUUGAAAAUUCAAACUUUCCAGAACAUGUUUUCAAACUUAAGAAAUCCUUAUAUGGACUUAAACAAGCUCCCAGAGCUUGGUAUGAACGCUUAAGUAAUUUUCUUCUGGAACAAAAUUUUAUCAGAGGGAAAGUUGAUUCUACACUCUUCUGUAAAAAUCAUAAAAAUGAUCUCAUGAUAUGCCAAAUUUAUGUUGAUGACAUUAUUUUUGGUUCUGCUAAUAUCUCUGUUUGCCAAGAAUUUUCUAAGUUAAUGCAGGCAGAAUUUGAAAUGAGUCUAAUGCAAGAACUAAAGUUCUUUCUGGGAAUUCAAAUUAAUCAAACUCCAGAAGUCACGUACAUUCAUCAAAGCAAGUACAUUAAAGACGUUCUGAAGAAGUUUGAUAUGUCUGAAUGCAACUCUGCAAAGACUCCUAUGCACCCAACUUGCAUUCUGGAAAAGGAAGAGGUAAGCAACAAGGUUUGUCAGAAGCUCUAUCGAGGUAUGAUAGGCUCUCUUCUCUAUCUGACUGCUACUCGUCCUGAUAUUCUCUUUAGCGUCUGUCUUUGUGCCAGAUUCCAAUCAGAUCCUAGAGAAUCUCAUUUAACAGCUGUUAAGAGAAUUCUUAAGUAUCUGAAAGGAACUCCUAACCUGGGCCUGAUGUAUGAGAAAACAUCAGAGUAUAGGCUUUCUGGUUAUUGUGAUGCAGAUUAUGCAGGAGAUAGAAUAGAACGAAAAAGCACAUCUGGAAAUUGCCAGCUUCUGGGAAACAAUCUAAUCUCCUGGGCUAGCAAAAGACAGUCAACUAUCGCUCUAUCAACUGCAGAAGCAGAAUAUAUCUCAGCAUCACUGUGCACAACUCAGAUGCUCUGGAUGAAACAUCAGCUAGAAGAUCUUCAAAUCUUUGAGAGUAACAUUCCUAUCCUUUGUGAUAAUACUGCUGCUAUUUGUUUGAGUAAGAAUCCUAUUUUACAUUCCAGAGCCAAACACAUAGAAAUUAAACAUCAUUUUAUUAGAGACUAUGUUCAGAAAGGAAUAGUAACGCUGAAGUUCAUUGAUACAGAACAUCAAUGGGCAGAUAUCUUUACUAAGCCUCUAGCUGAAGAUAGAUUUCUUUUCAUCUUAGAAAAUCUGAACAUUAAAAAUUGUCCUGAGUAAAAUUUGGCUCUGAACAUGUAAAAUGAGACUCUGAUAAAAACAAAUACACUUCUGCCUCUGACUCUGAUACUUCUACCAAGUUAAGAAGAUAUCUGAGUUAGAAAUCUUCAGAAAUCCUUUGGUAUUCCUGAAGAUCAGAUACAUCAACACGUGGGGAACAUGCGUCUAACCCUAGAACUUCUAGACAGCUGUCAAAAGAAAUCAAAGGUCAGAACGCUUGAAAUCUCCUCGAGCAGUGUGCUUACUGUUGGGAUUAGACAUUCAUUAAUUAGCUAUAAUCAUUUUUCCCCCAAACGUGCUAUUUUGGUUUUUGUGCUAACGCUGGUAUGUGUGUCGUUUUGCAUGUGUUUUUACCCUUAGUAUAUAAACACUUUCUCUCACUUUUCACACUUAUCACUCUCACUCACUCUAAAACCCUAAACCCUUCUCUGAAAGUUCUCUGCAAGUUCUUCAUCUUCUUCAAUCUCCAUCAUCUUCAUCAACAUGGACGCUCAACAACAAGAACUCUUCAACCAUUCUCAACAAGUGGAAUCUAGUUCCAAUCCCCAAACCUCAAACACUCAAACACCCACGGUUAUAAGCGUCACCACAACCCCAGUUUACAAAGAACCUCACAUUCUUGACCGUGAACAACACAUUCAUCUUUCAACUCCCUUUGAAGGUUUGGAUGUACUGUGUGAAUCGCUGGUGGAUUUUGAGAAUUUGAGAAGAAAUGGCGUUGAUUUAACUGAAGAUCUUCGCAAGCAAGGUUGGGAAACCUACUUCAACAGAUUGUAUGGUCCAAUCUAUCCUCUUCUGGUGAAAGAAUUCUGGAGAUGUGCAGAUGCUGAUGAUGAGUUCAUUGUUUCUUUUGUUCUGGGAGUGAAGAUCAUCAUCACAGAAGCAUCUAUUGCCUCUUUGCUGAACAUGGAGAGAACUGGAGGUAAAAGGAUUUACAACAUUCCUCCAAGGUCCAAGCGCAUCACAGAAGUCAUUAACCCUACAAUCUUCAAAGCAAAUGUUGAAGGAAACCCAUCUAAGAACAAGGAGCUUCAUCAGAACCUCCGAGUUUGGCUGAAGAUUAUUCUGGGAACAAUCCAUCAUCGUCCAGCCUCCAACUCUUCAGAUUAUAUAAAUGCUGAUCAGAAAUGCAUCCUCUACUGUAUUCAGAAGGGUAUUCCAAUCAACCUCCCUGUUCUCCUCUUCAGAUAUCUGAGGGAUUCAGUCAGAGAAACAAGGAAUAAUAUGAAGCCCAGAUCCUACAUUCCUCUGGGAAGAUUGCUCUCUGACAUCUUCAUUGAGCAUGGGCUGGUAGAUGCUCUGGAGAAGACCAGAUGUAUGGAUGAUCUGGCAAUUGACGUUGGAAAGCCUCUGAAUGCCAAAAAUCUGAGGAGUAUGGGAAUCAUCAAAGACAUCAGAGUCAAGCCCACUAUGAAUGUAACCUGGGAAGCUCUGAAGGAUCAGAGGAAGAUGCCUCAUGGCCUUGAAAGGUUCUUCAAGAAUGAACCCAGAGAUGCCAUUGCUAUCUACCUUCAGGAUCGUCUGGAUGAAGGCAUUGAUAUCUCUGAUUUCCGCCUUGAAGACUGUCUGGACUCUGUAGAAGAUCUGGUCAGAUACAAAAGAGGUCUUUCUGAGAAGAAGAUAGCUGAGGAAGCAAGGAAGGCAAAGAAAGCCAGACUUGGAGAAACCUCUGGCACCAAAGCUUCAGCACCUCUGAAUGUCUCCUCUGGUAAGUCCAUUCCUCCUGUCUCUUCUGAAUCUGUAAUGGCUUCCUCUAACCCUCUCUCCUCUCAACCAAUAUAUACCACCGCUGAAAUACCACCUUCAACCAUCAGAACCUCUCAACCUCCACCUGUUCUAAAAAUUGCUCGUAAUUUCACAACAACCUCUGACCCUAAUCAACUAUAUCACCACAGCUCUUCCUCAUCCUCUGAAUAUGAAUCACCCCCUUACCUUUCCCCUUCUUCUGACCAAGAGUUCUCUGAACAAGAGUCCUCUGACCAAGAACACUCUGACCCAAACUCCCCAACAAUAGCUGAAAUUUAUGCUAAAAAUUUCGCUCCACAACCCUCAAGACAAUCUGAAGUAACCUCUCCCCUCCAAACUUCACUUCCACCACAACAAACAACAACCUUACCCUCUGAAACUCAACCAUCUGAUCCCUUCACCUCUAAUAUCACUCCACCAUUUAUUCCCGCUGUACCUGGACCAGACUCUGACCCUUUAGACCUAAAUCCACUAUAUGCUUCAUCCCCUAGUCUUCAACCAGACGCAGAUUCUGAACUUCAAGCAGAAUCUGAACCUCAACAAACUGAACCUCAACCUCUAAAUCUCAGCCCUCAAAACUCUCCACCUCAUUCACCUGAACCUGAACCUGAACUUACCAUACCUACCCUUGAGGAGGCCAUUAUACAGGUUGCAGAAGCUUCAGUCCAGAAGAUCAAGUCUCUGGCUAAAAACUCUGAAGUUAGUGAUGAUCCUAAAUCUGUUAGGACACACUGGAACAGAGUCAUUAGUUGGAUGACCUCUGAGUCUUAUAGGCUGAAGAGUAUCUCUGAACAAGUCAGAAAUGGCUACAUCAGAGACUCUGAGGAAAGACUCCAAGAGAGACUGGCUAGAGAAGCUGAGGCCAGAAGGUUAGAGGAAGAGAGACUGGCUAGAGAAGCUGAGGCCAAGAGAUUAGAGGAAGAAAGAUUGGCUAGGGAAGCUGAAGAAGAAGCUAAGAGGUUGGAAGAAGAACGCCUGGCAAAGGAAGCAGAACUUCUAAGGAUUCAGGAAGCUGAAGCCAAGGCUAAGGCAGAUGCAGAAGCCCAAGCUGCUGCUGAAGCUGAAGCUCAGCAGGCUCUGAUUCAGGGGGAGUCUUCCUCUGCGAUCCCUCUGAUUCUUAACACUCUGAAGGAGAUCAAGCAAGAUCAGAAAGAGAUCAAGCAAGAUCAGAGUGAGCUCCGGGCAAGGAUGGACAAGCAAGACGCUCUGAAUGAAAACCUCCAGAAUAUGUUUGCUAUGCUACUACAGAGACUUCCUCCUCCUCCAAACCCUUAGGCACUUAGGAUUUCUUUUGUUUGCCUAGUGUUUUUGCUUCUGUCUUUUCUUUUUUUUCUCUGAUAUUUCUGUUGAAUCUGAUGUUUUGACUGCUGCUUGCCUUUGUGCUUUUGUUUAAUGAAGUGUUUUUCUCUCUAUUAUUUUUUUUAUGUUUUAUGCCUUUUUGAUUAUGCCAAAAAGGGGGAGAAAUUAUUAAAUAGCUCUGAUGAAAAUUAUGUCUAAAACCUUAAGCAUUCUGCAACAAUUAUAGAAAUAGUUCUGAUAUAAAUAGCUCUGAUUAAAUAAUAGCUCUGAUUAAAUAACUCUAACAUUAAAAUUAAGAAAUUGCAGAAAGUUUUCAGAAAUCUCAUUGCUUGGAAAGCUCUGGUAAGAACUUCUGAACUCCCUAGUACUAACUCAGGGGGAGCUUUUGUCUAUCUGAUCUAAUAUUUUUCAUGUUUCAUCUGAUAAUUUUAUUUGUUUUGUCAUCAUCAAAAAGGGGGAGAUUGUAAGAACAAAAAUUGUUCUACAACAGAUUCCAUGAUUUUGAUGAUAACAAAGGAUGAAACCAAAAAUGGCACCCUAACGAAAAGUUUCUAAGUGUGCAGGGUUCUAAAGAAAGAAGAAAUAAAUCUGAUGAUGUCAUCAGAUGCAAAACAAGAUCAGAUGCAAAAUCUCAAGUAUCAGAAGCAUCUAAAGAGGAAUCUCGUUUCAAGAAGCUCUGACUCUGGACAAAACUACAAAGUAUCAGAAGCAUCUGAACAUGAAGUAAAGUCUAGAAGCUCUGACUCUGAACAAAUGCCUUCUGUAAAUUCUGAAGUUAUCAGCGCCAUCUGAACUUUCAAGAGAUAACAUCAGAAGCCAGUUUCUCCAGAUACACAAAGACUCUAAUCAGAAUUGUUAAUCAUGAUGAAGUAACGUUUAAGCCAAGUUAAAGUUCUGCAAAUGGAUUUCCUCAAUUAGAAAGAGACGUUAAUCUCCACUUCCAAGAGAGAAGAUACUAAUUGUGGUAAGUAGUCACUUCUAAGAGAAAAAGUCUACUGCAGAAGCUAUUAAUGGAAUGGCGUAACUACAUCUCAAUAUCCAACAGAUUCAACGCUACUUCAACUCUACUUCAACUCCUAUAAAUAGAGAAGAAAUCUCAUUCAGUAAACACGAAGAAAUCACUAGCCAAAACUAUACUGAAAUCAUAUCACGCUCAAGAAAAACAUCUUUGUUCUUCAAAGAUUUUCACUAAGCUUUUGCUUAUCAAGUGAAAAAUUUGUUCUUAAGUUUGUAAUAUUUGCUUUCUUAGAAGCACUCUAGAUUACACAUCUUGUAUCUAAUUUUUAUUUGAUUUCCUCAAGUGACUCUUUGUAGUCUGUAGACUUGAGAGGACUAAGAGAUUUUCUUCUCUCUUAGGGGUUGUUUGUAAUCUUUCAAGAUUAGUGGAUUAAGUCCUUGUUGAAGGCGAAAUCACCUUGGCCGGGUGGACUGGAGUAGCUUUGUGUUAUAAGCGAACCAGUAUAAAAUCUUUGUGUGAUUUCAUUUUGCAAAAGCGCUUAUUUUUCAAACAAUUCAAACCCCCCUUUCUUGUUUUUCUCACCUUCAAGUUUCACAAUUCUUUGAUGAACUAAAAUGCAAUUGAGGACUCCGCGUCUUUGAGUCAUAAAUCAUGGAGACUCAUAAUGCGUCCAAAAAUGCAUAUCCAAAAUUUAAGUGGCAUUUUCAAAUUUUUAUAGGAUGGUUUUCCAACACUUAUGUAGAGAUAAACAAUUUCGUAAUUAAAGGUCUCUAAGAGGAGUUGAAAUAAAUAUAUUUAAAAAAUUAGUAACAUAAUUAUUUAAGGAAUAAAGUUUUCUAACCAAAAGAAUUUUUCCCUAAUUUUUUUGUGCCUAAUUUAUUUUGCUAACAAAGUAAAGCCCUGAUUAUUGUUACUAAAUUUUAGUAAUUUUCAUUCAUCUCUCAAUUAAUAUCUCUUAUAAUCCUCAUUAACUCUCAAUUAAUGUAAUUCAUAUCUAUCAAAAAAAAUUGAAAAUUUUGUAUCUAGGCUUGGGACCAACUAGUUUAGUGAAUUGCUAAUUUCAUCUUAAGUGUUGGAAAUAUGCCCUAUAAAAUUUUGAAAAUACCCUUUUGAAUCCGAAAAUGCAUCUUCGAACGCACCUUACGCCUCACUAAAACACACCUCAACUUGUUGAUGUUUUUUAUGUAAUUCAAGUGAUGUAACCAGUUAUCUCGGGUAGGUAACCGGUUACAUAAAUGUCUAAAGUUCAAUCAAGUAGCAAAAAUGUGGAGUUUUUGAAGGUGUAACCGGUUAACCAUUUUGGUGUAAACGGUUACCACAAAAGCUGAUUUAAUUCAAUGUCAGGUGUAACCGAUUAUCCAUUUUUGUGUAACAUUACAAGCGUAAUAUUUUGAUUUUUCCUGCUAUUUUACUUGGUCAAUUCAGUUCCCAAUUGUGUUGUAUCUCUUGUAUAAGUGUUUAGAAUGCACACUCAUCUAAGGUUAAUGCAAUAAUAAUCUCUCCCCCUUAAUUCUCCUCUUUCACACUCCACAUCCAAAGUAUCUCCAUCAUUGUUCACCAAACUUGUGGUCUCUUGUUCCAAAAUUUGACAUCAAGAGUCUGGUUCAGAUCCACAAACACCUAGUGUGCAACAUGAAUUAUGUUUCCAAUGAAAGAAUUCCUGCAAACCUACCUAUCUUUGAUGCGAAGAAUUAGGAUAAACGGUGCAAGGAAAUGAAGAUGUUGUUUGGAUACCAAGAUGUUCUUAAAGUAAUCAAUAAGGAUGUUACUCCUCUUAUUCAAAAUGAAACAGAGGCGCAACAAGCAACACAUAAGGAAGAGAAGAAGAAAUAGUUCAAUGUGUUGAUGGCGAUGAUUUUAAGAAAGUUGAUGAUUGUGAAUCGUCAAAGUAAGCGUGAGAGAUCUUAGAGAAGGCAUGUGCAUGGGUUGACAAGGAAAAGGUGGUGAGGUUACAAACUCAUAAACGUCAGUUUGAAUUGAUUCAAAUGGAGGAAAAGGAGAUAAUCAAUGAUUUUGCAAUGAGAAUCACUCGGUUGGUGAAUCAAGUGAAGGCAUGCAAAGAAACUGUUACGGAGUUGUAUGUUGCUGCUAAAAUCUUGUGUUCUUUAACACCAAGAUUUAACAGUAUAGUUGUGGCAAUUGAUGAGUCAAAGGAUCCCGCGACGAUGAGCAAAGAGGAGUUGCAAAGUUCUCUUGAGGCUCAUGAGAAAAAGAUGGAAAAGAGGAAUAACGAUAAGGCAAAGGCGGAGAUUGCUUUGCAAGCUCGUUUCAAUGAGAAGGACAAGAGAUCGAAAGGAAAAUGGCCCAAGAAAAGAAAAGGGAAUUUUCAUAAUUUGGGUGGAAGAGAGUCCUAAAAUUCAAAUGAUUUGACUUGUCAAAGGGGUGAGAGCAGCUACAAUAAACAUGGUGGUCAAGGAAACUUUAGAGGUAGAAGGAAGAAGUUUGAUAAGAGCAAGGAGAUGUGCUAUAAGUGUCAAUGGUUCGUUCAUUUUGCAAAAAAAUACAAUGUGAACAAGAAAGAAUCUCAAGGGAUUAAACCAAGGUUGCAAGAUAAGAGUUUGAUGAAGAGAAUAUAAUUUUGGUCAUGAUCAAAGAAGGGAAUUAUAGCAGCAAACAACUGUGGGACAACAGCGGCAAUAAAUCAAAGAAUGCUAAAAAGGUCGGUUGAAUGAUACGAUUAACCGAUCGCAUGAAGAGGAAGAUACCAUGAUGAGUUUGAAAGGAGUUCAAUGUAGUGAUGAGUGGUAUUUGGACUUGGGUUGUUCAGCUCAUAUGACAGGAAUAAAGGAUUGGUGUGUCAAAAUCAAUCGUGCCAUGAAGAAUAAACUAAAGUUUGCAGAUGAAACCACCCUAAUGAUCGAUGGGAUCGAUGAUGUUUUGAUCAUGAGAAGGGAUAAUGGACAUUACUUAAUCACAAAUUCUUGUACAUUUUUGGAAUCAAAUUUAACCUUCUAAGUAUUGGCCAAUUGCUUGAGAAGGAUUCCAAGAUUCACAUGGAAGACAAUGGGUUGUGCGUUAUGGAUAUAAGAGGAGGCUUGGUCCUUAAAGCGCAUAUGGCUGCCAAUAGAACCUUUAAGGUUGAGUUGAAGGUUAUAGAGUAUAAAUGUCUUGCUACUACAUCAAGUAGACAACAGUGGAUAUGGCACUAUCGUCUUAGACAUCUCAAUUUUAGAGAUCUCAAAGACUUUCAAAAGAACAUAAUGGUAACAGGGCUGCCAUUGAUCAACAUACUAGCUGAAAUUUGUGAAGAAUGUGUGCAAGUGAAGCAACAUAAGGGAAAAUUGAGCAAGUAGACUCUAUUGGUGGAAAUAUGUAUUUUGUCACAUUUAUCGAUGAUCAUAGUACAAAACUAUGGACAUACCUAAUCAAGAUAGAUGACAAUGUAUUUCAUGAUCGUCCGUCAUUGCAUAUAUUUAGUCGAAGAAUCAGACAAAACAAGUGAAAGUUAAGAUAAAAUGAAGAAGAAUAAGGAAAAAAUAUCUAAGCAUGGAAACUGGGGACUUAUUGAAAUUUUGAGUAAAAAAGGGAGCAAAAGUGUGCAACCACUGGAAUAAUCAUGCGCACCAUCACGUAGCAUCGUGCACACAAUGGGGUCUUUAAAGUUGCAUCGCGCAUGCGAUACAAGGAAUCACGCGCGUGAUAAAUACUUUUUAUGGGCUUUUCAGACGCGUUCUGGUCCAUUCUAACGCCUUUAAAAGGGGAUUUUCUGAACUUUCACAAGAGUUACAAAAUUGGGAGAUCUAGGCACUACUUUGAGAGCACAAGUGGUGAUUUUUAUAACAUUAGAAGUUAUUGGAGACCAUUACUUCAACGUAUUUCACAUGUUAUUUUCAUCUAUCAAUUAUGAUAUUUUUAAUUGCAUUAUGAGUAGCUAAGCUCCUCUAGAUUAGGUUGUAUACUGAUGAACCUAUUUCUAUAUUGUUGGAAUCUAUGUUGAUUUAACAAUUGUGUGAACCUUUUGAACUAUAAUUCCAUUCAAUUGCUUCUUGUUCAUAAUGCUUUUUAUGUGAGAUGAUAUUUUAAUAUGAUUUUGGGAACAUAAGGAAUACUGACCAUUAGUCUAUGUGUUGGACCUAGGGAAAUUGUUGUACUUACGCUGGUUGAAUAGGAAUAGGAGACCCUGAGUAGUGGCGUAGAGAAUUAACGCUUUAUACAUCGCCUAACCCUGCUUACGCUGGAGGACUAAGGAUAAAAAGCUCUGAGUGGUGGUUAGUGAGUUAUUUCAUGAGGGAUCAACUAUAACAGUUUUGUUAAUUCGUCGUGGUGUUAUAGUGAUAAGACCAUUCGUACAAGACAUCAAACAUCAACAAUAGAGGAAUAUGAGAUUUUAAAACACAACUUGGCCGCUUUCGUGAUAUUGUUUAAUUGUUUAUUUACUUUUUGCACAGAAACUCAACCCCCCCCCCCCCNNNNNNNNNNNNNNNNNCCCCCCCCCCCCUUUACUAGUUUUUUAUAAAUUGCACACAUUUUGUCUUGCUUGAACGAAGUUCACGUGGAUUCGAUCUUUUUAUUACUUCGACGAUGUCAAUACACUUGUCGAGAAGUCAUCAAGUUUUUGGCGCUUUUGCCAGGGACUAUUAAUUUUUCAUCAAGGCGAUGUUUGUGCAAUUUUUUUUAGUCUUUAAAUUUUAUGUUUUAUUUUCUUGUUUCUCAAAAUGCUAUUGAGGUAUUUUCUAUUUGUGUAUGUACCGUUCAGGAUCAACAUUAAUACCAUUGGAUCCAAAAAUUGAAAGAAACGCACAUGCUCUCAGAAAAGCUGUUAGAGGAGCAACUCUGGAAAGAGGAAUACUAGAAGAAGAGUAAUUAUCAAGUUAGUCAUACUCUGAAGAUGAAGCUGUAAUGGCAGAUGCACAACCCCUAACUAUGGGGGAUUAUUAUAAAUGAACCGAUGAAGGACACUUCUCCAGAGGGUUUGUACCGGUAGACCCUUCUAACUUUGAUAUUAAAAAUUAUGUGCUUUAAGGUUUGAGAGAAAAUUUGUUCGGCAGGAACACGAUUAGAGACCUAUGGGUGCAUCUUACACACUUCUAUGAAACAACUUCAAUGUGAAAAUCAAUUGAUGCCACUGAAGACCAGGUUAAAUUGAGGUUGUUUGGGUUCUCACUAAUUGGAAGGGCGAAGAUUGGUUACUUUUCCUCCCGAAUGGAACGAUACGAACAUGAAAGGAAUUAGAGGAUAAAUCCCUGGAAAGAUUUUUCACUACUACUCAGUUUACCGAGCGCUAAGCAGAAAUUGUGAGGUUUGAGCAGUAGGAAAUUGAGUCACUUUAUGACUCUUGGGAAAGAUUCAAACUUUUGUUACGCAGAUGCUCGAAUCACAACAUGAAUAAUAUAGAGCAGAUGCAAAACUUCAUUAAAGGUCUCAAAGUCAAACUCACGUAUUUUUGGAUGCUUCUACGAGAGGUACUAUCUGAAAAAUGAAUGAACCAUGGGUAAAAGAUAUCAUUGAGAAAAUGUGUAUAAUUGAGUACCGAUCCAAGAACGAAAGGUCGAUCAAGAUGGGAACUGUGGGCACGCCUAAAGGUAUGUUACCUAUUGAUACCCACAUUGCUCUUUUAGCUCAGAUUGAAUUAUUAAAUAAAAAGCAAGCUGGAAGAAGCUUAGUUAAAGCUAACGUAAGUCAGGUACAAGCACUUAAAAGCGAUUUAUAUGGAGGAUAACAUGCGAAUGGAAGUUGUUCAUUGGAAGGGACAAGUGAGGAGGUAAAAUUUUAUAAUUUUUAAAAAAAAUAACUUGUAUUCAAACACAUAUAAUCCGGGUUAAAAAGACCACCCAAAAUUCCUUUGGAAUAAUAAUCAAAAUUCAAAUGCUAACUAAGGGAUGCAACAAAGCCAACAAGCUCUGUUUCAAAGAAAUCCAUCACAAAUGGUAGAGACCUUGAAAAUUUUCAUUAAGGUCACUCAAAGUAGCUUUGCUAGGGUAAAUAAGACCCUUGAAGAAAUGAGUAGAAACUAGGAUGCGUCUAUCAAAAUUUUGGAGAUGAAGAUUGGUCAAUUAUCCAGACAAGUAGCUACUUUUCCAAGCUCAAGUGGAGGAUUCACCAGUAACAUUGUUGAUAACCCUAAGAAUGAUAACCCUAAAUAUAGGUUUAGGGGAAAUUACUGAAAAGGAUAAGGAGGAGAUAGUUAAAGAACGUGUGGUUAAGAUAGAUGAGGGUACAAAUCAAGGUGACCAAGAGGAAAGAGGAGACAUCAUUGAUCAACUUAUUGACAAAAAUUCUCCUCGGGGGAGAACAAAGAAGCAGAUCAUGACUGAACCAAAUCCUCCUUUACCAGAUCACGUAAAACCACCGUACCCAAUAAUUAAAAAGAAAGUGGUUUAAGAUGAUGAAGCGAGAAUGUUUGCAAAGUUCAAGGAAAUUCUAGCUACUCUCCGGGAAAGUAUUUCGUUCCAUGAAAUUUUAGAACUAAUGCCUAAGUUUGCUAAAUUUAUGAAGGCGUUACUAAAUGGGACGGAAGAGAAAAGGAUCAAGGAACAUGUAAACAUGACCGAAAAGAAUGAUAUGGUAAAACCUCAAUCCUUACAACCUAAACUAAAAGACUCAAGUAAAUUUAUGAAGGAGUUAUUAAAUGGGACGAAAGAGAAAAGGAUCAAGGAACAUGUAAACAUGACCGAAAAUGAUGAUAUAGUAAAACCUCAAUCCCUACAACCUAAACUAAAAGAAUUAGGUAAGUUUACUAUUUCCUAUAAUAUUAGUGGAUUCAAUAUUCUGCAUGCUCUAUGUGAUAUGGGAUCUAACAUAAAUGUCAUGCCACCGAAAACUGUCAAAGAAUUAAAAGUGGGUGAGAUCACACCGAGUAACAUGACUCUCAGUCUAGUUGAAUUGUCUAUUACUCAUUCAAUUGGUACUUUACGCGACAUAUUAGUACCUAUCGACGACUUAUUGUUUCCUAUAGAUUUUAUAGUGCAUGAUACAAAAGAAGAUUCGGGAGGAUCUAUUAUUCUUGGACAUCCAUUCUUGGCAAUCGGGAAAGCAAAAGAUUGAUGUGUAAACUGGUCAACUUAUCUUGAAGUCAAAUAAAAGGAAUGUGGUUUUCAAGGUAUAUGACUGGACACCUUAUGUGGAUAAUUUGGAUACUUUCUACUAUCUGGAUGAAAAAGGUAGGAAAGUAGAUAAAGGAACAAUGAGAAAGAAAGUGACAGGCGUGAGGGUGUCCCUUGCGCCUGACGUACCUUAGACAUGGAUUAUCAAGCUAGUGAUGUUAAAAAAGUGUUUGAUGGGAGGCAACUCAUCAAUAAGAAUUUAUUUUUUUAUCAUAGUGAAUAUUAAUUUUUCUAACCUUGUUAAUUUUUGUGCUAUGUUAUUGGAAGAGAAAAUAGGUGAAAGAAGAAAAGAAAGAAAAAGCAAAAGGGAAGAAAAUAGAAAAAGAAAAGAGAGAGGAAAGUUUCAUCCCCCAGAAUCAUCACGUAUGAUAAUAUAAACUAGUUCUUUACAAUAAUAAAAUUUGAUAUUUAUUUAUACAAACACAAUUAUAUAAAGAGAAUAACACACAAAUCACACAUGAUAAUUUUAGAAUAAUUAUACUCUAAUAUUUUUUGAGUCGUGAUAUAUCCUCUUCUUAAAUAUUUGAAAGUUGAAUCUCUCUCACUAAUCUCUAUUCCCCUAUUUAUUUUAAGAAUAAACAUAUUGAAUUAAUAAAACAUAAUUGCACCUUUCUUAAAGGUUAUACAAACAACUACUAAAGUUGAAAAAACUAAAGAGAGGUCAACUCAAUCUUUAUCAAAUUAAAUUAAAGUUUAUUAUAAAACACAAACAACUAGUUCAUUCAAAUGAUAACUUGUUUAGUACACAAGUAAGAUCUUACUUAAUACAUAGAAAUAAGAUCUUACAGAAUAUAGAGAUUAAAAACAUAGGAAUAACAUGAAAAGCUUUUAAAAUGACAUAGACAUUGAUUAACAAAGAUAUGAACUAGUUUCGGGUAUUUCUUAACCAUCCGUCAAGGUAAACUUGUUUGGAGUCAGGGGUGGAUUUUGCUUUCUCGACUCGGAUAUCUUUCAACCAUCCAUCAAGGUAAACCUGGUUGUUGUCAGAGGUGGAUUUUACUGUCUCGGCUCGGAUAUCUUUCAACCAUCCAUCAAGGUAAACUUGUUUUGGAUCAGAGGUGGAUUUUGUUUUCUCUGCUCGGGUAUCUUUCAACCACCCAUCAAGGUAUACUUGGUUGGAGUCAGGGGUAGAUUUUAUUCUCUCGUUUCGAUAAUCUUUCAACCAUCCAUCAAGGUAAACUUGGUUGGAGUCAGACAUGGUUUCUGUUUGCUUUGCUCGAGUAUUUUUCAACCAUCCAUCAAGGUAAACUUGGUUGGAGUCAGAGGUAGAUUUUUCUUUCUCAGCUCGGGUAUCUUUUAACCAUCCAUCAAGGUAAACUUGUUUGGAGUCAAGAUUUUUCUUUCUCAGCUCGGGUAUCUUUUAACCAUCCAUCAAGGUAAACUUGUUUGGAGUCAGAGGUGGAUUUUGUUUUCUCUGCUCGGGUAUCUUUCAACCAUCCAUCAAGGUAAACUUGAUUGGUGUUAGGCAUGGACUUUUCUUUCUCAACUCUGAUAUUUUUCAACCAUCCAUCAAGAUAAACUUGGUUGGAGUCACUUGUAGAUUUUGUUUUCUCAACUCGGGUAUCUUUCAACCAUUCAUCAAGGUAAACUUGGUUGGAUUCAGAGGUGGAUUUUGCAUUCUCUGCUCUGGUAUCUUUCAACCAUCCAUCAAGGUAAACUUGGUUGGAGUUAGGUGUUGACUUUUCUUUCUCAACUCUGCUAUCUUUCAACCAUCCAUCAAGAUAAACUUGGUUGGUGUCACCUGUAGAUUUUGCUUUCUCAGCUCGAUUAUCUUUCAACCAUCCAUCAAGGUAAACUUGGUUGGAUUCAGAGGUGUCUUUUGCUUUCUUUGCUCUGGAAUCUUUCAACCAUCCAUCAAGAUAAACUUGAUCGGAGUUCUGGGAGGAUUUGGUUUUCUCUGAUCGUGUAUCUUUCAACCAUCCAUCAAGAUAAACUUGGUUAGAGUUAGCAAUGUGUUUUCGACUCUUCAAUGGAUUUUUGAGCCAACCAUCAAGGUAAGGUUGAUCAGCUUGUAUUUCUUGUACAUUCUCUUGCUGAAGUUUGAUAUAUCGGGCAAAGCUUCCUUGUCCAUUCUAUAAUACAAUUGAAUAAAUGGAUAUUAGUGAGUUAUUUUUGGAUGGUAUAUAUGAUUACAAAAACAAAAUUAUGUGUUUUAUGAGACACAUUAUGUUACAUAAAUAAGACACAUUCAUUGUAUAUUUCAGAUGGAUAUAGAAUGCGAAAUAAAAAUCAAAGAAAAACAAUUUUUUAAAUUUCAUUGCCGCAUAGAAAAUAUUAUUUUGUCAAAUUAAAUAGAACAACUUGAUUAAGUGAAUGAUGAAAUCAAAUCAAAUAAAGAUGCAAAAUGAUAGAUUGUGAUAAAUAAAUGAUGAAAAAUAUAUGUGUAAAAGAUACAAGAAUGGAUGCAUAACUUACAAUCAAUAAGAGCAUGAUAAAAGGGAGGAGAGACAAAACAUCUUUGUUUGUCAUUUCUUUAAUGUUAUGAUUUUGUGGGAAAAUUGUUUUAAUGUAAAAAGAUGUAUUGAAAUGGAAGUGAAUUGUGCUAUUUAUAAGUGAAUGAAAAGAAAAACUACAUUAAGGACAUUGAGACUUUGGUUGGCAAGAUUAUUUUUUUAAAUAUUUAGUUUAAAUUAUUUUUUAAAUGUUUAGUUUAAUUGAUAAGUUUAUAUGUCUAAGAAAGAUCAAUUUACUAAGAUUUAUUAUUUACAAGAUCUAUUAGGUGUGUUGUUUUGAGUUAUAAAAAAUAUUAAAAAAAUUGUUUGUUUGAUAUAUUUUUUUAAUUAGAAGCUCCUAACUAAAUCCUCUUAGUUUAAAAUAAAUAAAUUUUAGAACUGCUACUGCAAUUAUUUUUAUUUUAAAAUUAAAAAUGAUUUUCUAAAAAUCCUUAAUAAAAACAUAUUAAAAUGACAAAGGUGAUUUUGUUAAAUGUUAAACAAACAUUUAUUUUGAUAAGUUAUUUCAAAUAACUUAAAAUUUCAUAAAUUUAUUUUAAUUUAUAAUUAAAGUGGUAAUUAUGAUAAUCUCGCCUCUUGAGUUCUAAUAUUUGAGCUAAUAGUAUAAAUAUGUUUUAGUUGAAUUAGAAUUUGCAUUAGUGAUAGUUUCAAUUUUACAAUUAAUUAGACUAAAAUAUUGAUGUUCGUCAUAUAUAUAUAUAUAUAUAUNUAUAUAUAUAUAUAUAUAUUAAAUAGUAAUUAUAUAUUAUAAAUUUUAAUUUUGGGAAAAAAAUAUUAUUUCAAUAUUUUAAAAUUUUAAUAAUUAUUGUUUUAUAAAAUUAAUUAUAAUGAGUAUAAUAUUUUAAUUUUAUUAUCAUCAAAUAUACCCUACAUCAAAAUUCACAAACUUUAAAUAUAAAUAUCGGGAUCCACUUAAUUGAAUUGGAAUUUAAACAUCAAAAUUUAGACAAAUGUUAAAUUUUGAAGCACUUGGUUUUUGAAUCAUGACUCUUCUACAACCAACUCCUAGGGACUUACUACAUAGCCAACAAUGAAUCCAAAAUAGUUUCACAAGAAACACUAAAAUACUGUGUUGGCCUUUGCAUGUUUAAGAUGUUCACAUGUAGCUGGGGUUUGCGUGCUUAUGAGCUUACCUAAUAGUAAGUUAAAAAAACAAUAUAUUAUUAUACUGACCAGUCUAAAGAGAAAUAGAUAAGUUACUGUAUUUGUUAUUAUAAUCAAAUAUUAUCUAAAAAAGAAAUAAAUUAUAAGGAAUAUGUUUUCAUUAUUUUUAUCUUUAUUUAAAGAAUAUAAAUAUUUUUUAAUUAAUGAUAAAUAAUUGAUUUUAAAUGUGAUUACGGUUUAUAUCUUUAUCUAAGAAAAUAAAUGAUAAAAUGUGAAUACUCAUAUCUAAAAUUAAAUAUUUAUCCAAUUAUGUAGGCCAGCCUCAUAUUUAUUGUAAAAAUUUUAACAAAGUUUAAAAUAAUGAAAAUUAGAAUAAUGGUAUUCCUACAUUAAAUCUUACAUCAAAUACUUACAUUAAAUAUUUUUUACCGUAUUUAAACGAUGAAUAAUAUUUUUAUUUUUAAUAAAAAAAUAUUUAUAUAAAAAUGUUUUUAUUUUUAAAAUUAUUUUUAUAAUAAAAAUAUAAAAUUUAUCACAAAAUAAUUUUAUUAUCGUAUUAACUAUAAAAAUAUAGGUUAUAAAUCACAUAUUUCACUUAUAAUUCAUUAACCAGUAAAAUACAUAAUAUUAAUCAAAUUAUGAUAUUAAAAUAUGAAAUAUAUAAUUUGCUUAAUUAUUAUAUUUUAUAUUUUAAUGUCACAAUUUAUUUAUAUUAUUUAUUUUAUUAAUUGAAUAUAAUAAUAAGUAAAAUAUAUGGUUAAUCAUCUAUAUUUUUAUGAUUAAUACAAUAAUAAAAUUGAUUAGUGACAAAUUUUAUAUUUAUAUUACAAAAAUAAUUAUAAAAAUAUAUCAAAAACGAGUUUAAGACAACGUAGGAAAAAGUGAAGUGACACUCAAAUAUUAUUUGCUCAUUAAGCAAUCAGUUAAAAUUAAAGUGAAUUAACGAAUUAAGCAUAAAGUUUCACACAAUCAAAAUUAGGGAACAAUAAAUCAAUCGAACAAAACAAAACUACUAAGUUUUGAGUGUAAAAUUUGGUGUAAUAUUAAAAAUUAAAAAAAAAUUGAGGUUUAUAAGAUGUAAAAUUAUUUAUUAAACUCUUUUAAUAAAUUUAAUAUUAUGAUAAUUUAUUAUGAUAAAUAAUAUUUAAAAUAAGAAAAGAUUGAGCUUUUAAAGGAUGAAAUUCUAGUCAUUAGAUUAAAGAAAACAUCACCAAAACCUUAUUUCACAGAUGAAAUCGACUACAUAUAUGAUAUAUCAAUUUUCACGCUAAUAUUCUAUCAAUCACCAUAUUUUAUAGCCAUUAGACUAUUUAAUCAAAAUUAUUCAUAAUAAAUUUCAUUUGAUAUUUACUUUUUAAUAGAUAAUAAAGUAGAUAUAUUUAAUCUUUAUUAAAAAAUUAUUAAACAUUAUUGGUAUUAAAUAUGAUUUUAUUAAUUUUAAUUUUGAUAUAAUUAAUGGAUAUAAGUAUUGGCUCAAGAUAUAUCAAAGCCUUUGCCAAAUUUUUAACAAAGAUUUUAAUAAUAAAAAUUAUGAGUGUAAUAUUUAAAAUAAAAAAUUGAGCUUUUUAAAAUGUAAAAUUAUUGAUUGAAUUAUCAUAAAUCAGUUAAGUGUGUAUUUAUGCAAGAUGGGACAUCCCAUUUGCAGGGGCACAAAUUCAACCCACAACAUCUCACUUUUUAUCUUGGAAAAUUCCAAUCAAUAAAUUACUUGAUCCAAAAAAAUCAUAGUAAAUCUUGUUUGAUAUUUAUUUUCAAUCAAAUAUAUGUAAUCCUUAAUGAAACCUUAAACAUUAUUGAUUUUAAAUAAGAUUUUAUUAACUUUAAUUUUAUACCAUUAAUAGAAGGACUAUAUUCUGGAACGAAUUAAUAUAUUUUCGUUAUUCUUAUUUUUAUUUAAAUAUUUAAAUAUUAUUUAAAUUAAUAAUAAAUAAUUGGUUUUAAAUGUGAUGAAGUUUAUAUCUUUAUCCGAAAAAAUAAACGAUAGUGAAUAUUUAUAUUAAAAAAUAACACAAUACACUUAAAUAUUUAAUCUCCUUAACCUAUCUAAAUAUCUAGGCCGGCAUAAGACAUAUUGAAGUUUAGUGUAAAAAAUUUAACAAAGCUUUUAAUUAUAAAAAUUAUGACUGUAACAUUUAAAAUAAAAAAAAUUGAACUUUAUUAUUAGAUGUCAAAAUAUUUAUUAAACACUCUUAAUAAGUAUUAAAUAUAAAUUUAUUAAAUUUAUUUUUGAUACAAUUAAUGAAUAUAAGUACGGGCUCAAGAGAUAUACACGCCUUUGAUAAAAAAUUUAACAAAGAUUUUAAUUAUAAAAAUUAUGAAUAUAACAUUUAAAAUAAAAAAGUUGAUCUUAAAAGAUGUAAAAUUCUUUAUAAAAUUAUUAUAAUAGUUUUUGAUUAAUUAAUAUGCACAGUCAAUAUCAUUUUUUUAUUAUUAUUAUUAUUAUUAUUAUUAUUAUUAUUAUUAUUAUUAUUAUUAUUAUGCGUCGGUGUACAACUCAUAAAAAAAGACGUCAAUCAUAAAUAUAUAUUGGUACAGUGUCGUCAAUUGGAUUGACGCAUCCUCGUAGGUGUUAUAUGCAGGGAUGAAGCUAGAGAUUUUGAACUGUAGGAGCAAUAUAUUAAUAUAUAAAUUUAUUUCUAUUUAUUUUUAAAUCAUAAAUAUAUAUUUAAUUUAUUUUUAAAUCAUAAAUAUAUAUUAUAUCUAUUUUUUAAGAAAUCUAUCUCUAAAACAAUUUUUAUUAAUUUUUUAAAAUUUUAAAAUUUUAAAAUUUUGUAAAUUUUAAAAUUUUAUUAUCAAGAAAAAUAUUUUUUUAUGUAUUUUUUAUGAGAUCAUAAUAUUAACAUAAAAUUCUAUAAAUCAAUUUUUUUAAAGAUCGAGGAAAAAAUUAUUUUAAAAUUAUAACAAGAAAAACAAUUCAAUAUAUUUCAUCUGACAUGUUUUAAUUUAAUUAUUGAAAAUAAAAAAUUCACUAUAUUUUUGGACAAUAUCCUAAAUAAAUAUUCAUAUACUUUAUUAUUUUCAUCUAAUUUUUAGUAAUAUCUUCAUAAUAAUAAUAUUAUUUAUAUAAAUUUAAAAUAAUAUAAAUUUAUAUAUAUAUAUAUAUAUAUAUAUUUAUAUAUAUUAUAUAUAUAUUAAUAUAUAUUAUAUAUUAUAUAUAUAUAUAUAUAUAUAUAUAUAAUAUAUAUAUAUAUAUAUAUAUAUAUAUAUUAUAUAUAUUAUUUAUAGUAGGGACCAUUUGUCUUAUGCUAUUUUAAUUUGUUAUUUCUUAAUUUCCCCGUCUAUUUCAGUGUUUGGAUUAAAAAAAGGGGGGGGUCGGGGGUUCCCUCUUGGGGGUGGGUUUAGUAUUUUAAUGUUUUUUUACUUAAUAUUUCUUUUGUGUUUUUCACAUUCUUCUAUGUCUUAGAUUGACGUCUUCUUUAUUUUGAAAGUGGGUUACUCUCAGAAAUAAUUGAAAAAGUAAAUUAUUUUAGAUAUCUAUUUGAAAAGUUAGAAAAUCUUAAAUAUUAUUCAUUUUAAAUAAUAUUUUAUUAAUAUAAUUUUUAAUACCAUUAAUAGAAGGACUAUAUUCUGGUAUCAACCGAAAGGAUUAUAUUAUUGGACUAUUUUAAAUUUCCUAUUAUAUUGUUGUCGUCUAUUAUCAAUUUAUUUUAUCAAUAAAUCACUAUUUGAAAUUUUAUUAGUAUUUAAGUCUUUAAAUUCAUCUACACCUUUGACUUCUACUAUUAAUUUUCAUUUUCAUUUUUUUAAUGUUUAUAUAACUGGUACAUUGUUAACUUGUUUAUUUAAUAAACAUUAAGCAAUAUUUUUAAAUUAACUUUUUAAUUUAUUUUUAUAAAUUUAUCUAAAGUUCCCUUUUAUAAUUUAAUUAAAAUUUCAACUCUCUUUUUUUAAUUUCUAAUUUUUUUUAUUCAAAUUUUUUUAAUUGACAUUACUCUAAAUAACAUAAUAAAACAAUUUCCACAAUAAACACAAACAAAAAAAAAAUUCAAAAAUAAGAUAAUUGAUUAAAUAUAAAUGAUUUAAAUUAAAAGUAAAUAAAAUAAAAUUGCAUAAAUAAAAUAUAAUUUUAUCCUUUUACAAUGCUAGAGAGGACAUACACUUUAUCAUAGAAGUAACGAUUAAUUAAUGGAGAUGAUGAAUUAACAUAUUUUAUACUCUCAUAUACACAUUUUAGGUUGGAAAUGAUUUGAUAUAAUCCUUUAUCUAACCUGUUUAAAUUUUAAUGGGUUGAAUUUGUCGUUCAACCCACAAUUUCAUUGUCAAAAUUGACAGAAACCGACUUGUUUAUUUAAGGGUUGUGUUCGCGAUGUUUUAAAUAAAAAUUAUUUUUUUAUAUAUUUUUUAAGAUAUAAAAAAUUUAACCCAAUUCAAAUUAGAUGAAACACAUCAUAUAAUGUCUAAUAAAGUUCAUCAACACGACAUAACACUCGAUAAUAGUAUUAAAUUCUAAUAGUAUCAAUGUUAAAUUAUUUUAAAACAAUUAUUUUAAUUAACUCUUUAAUCAUAACAUUUAUUUAUUAUAUUUUUAUAAUACAUUAUAAUAAAUAUAUUAUAAAUAUUCUUAUUUUUAAUUAGAAAUAUAUAAUGAUAAGUUAAUUAAAUAAUUAUGGUUUGUGAAAAACAAAAACAAAAUCAACGUCAAAGUUAUAUGCUUCAACAAUUUAUAUAAUGACUCAUUUUUAAAUAAAAUAGCUUUAAAAAUUAAAAGUUUGAAAAAUAAUAGUUGAUAUAUUAUAUAUUUUAUUUAUUUUUAUGUUGACAAUAUAAAACAUAGACAUUAAUUUUAUUCUUUAACCAUAAUUUUUAUAAUAUAUUAAAAUAAAAAGUAGUUAAAAUUAACUAAUAAAAUUAAUUAUAAAUAGUUUAAAUAAUUUAAUUAUUAUCAAAUAAAAAUAUAUAAAAUAUUUAUUUAGUAAAGAAUAUUAAAACGAAUAACAAAUUAUAUGAGAUGAUAUGACUUUUUUAUAAUCUUUUGUUUUCUUAAGUUAAAUUAUUUAGUAGAUAAAAAAAAAAAUUAAAAUUGAUAUAUUUCUCUCUCUUCUUUAAAUGAUAUUUUUUUUUCUAUUUCUUACCUUUUAAUAGUUGGAUUAAUCAAAUGGUUUAAAAUUGCACAUGAGAGAGGGCAUAAGAGAAAAAAUUGGAGAGGAUCCAAUUCCGAUAAAAAGAUGUGGUAAAUUUAUGAGUAGUUUAAUAAUUUAUACAUAUUUUUAGCCUUAUUAAUUGUCACUUCGUUGAAAAAGAAAAAGGAAAUAAUAAUAAUGAUAGUGAUAAUAAUUAAAUAAUAUUGAAUUUUUUGACAAAUAAUGUUAUUAAAUAUUAUUGAAUAUAAUAGAUGAAAGAGAAAAAAAAAUGAAGAUCUUUGUCUGGCUUACCUCCUCGUUGAAUAGGGUAUGCUAACUAUUAAUAUGCCAAAGCCUCUUUAAAAAAUUAAACAAAUCAAUUAUAGGAUCCGAUAACUAUUAAGGAAUUUCUUAUGUCAUCAUAUGAAAUGGAAAAACUAUACAAAAUUUAAAAUAUUCAUUCAAGUUUAAAGAUGCAUCUUCGAAUACACAUUUGUAUCACCUUAUGACGCACUAAAUGAGCGACACCCUAAAGUAAAAUAAAAUCUUAUUCCAAAGAUACAUCUCUGAGUAUUUUGAACAAAUAUAUUGAUAUUUAAGCAAGCGUCCUCAGCAUGACCAGAUACCUGUAUCAUACACUCAGUUGCUGUCGUAUCUUGUCCAGUAAGGGGCAAUUGCGCCAAAAGAGAUUCCGCAUGCAACUCCUCCCUAAAAUCACAAGCAUAAUCCUAAUGUGCCUUGUUCAUUUCAUGUCGGAUACAUAGGGCAUUCUAUAGAGGAUUAUUUGGUCCUCAAGGCCAUAAUGCAAGAGUUAAUUGACCAUAAGGUUUUGUCAUUCUUUGACGCAUGACCCAAUGUCAUAAACAACCCGUUGCCAGACCACUGUGGACAAAUAGUGAAUGCAGUUAGUGGCGAAGAUUGCUCAGAUUCAGUUGCUUCUUCAGAGGAGUAUCGAUGCUAGCAAUAUCAUAUUGAUUCAAUCAUGUAUCAUUUGUAAUCCUUUCUUGUUUUUUAAAUGUUGUUCAUUUGUAACUUGUCUGGUUUUUCAGAUGAUAAUAAUAAUGAAAUAAACGUGCAUGUUUUGCUUAAAUCCAUUCGUGUCCACUCAUAUUUUAUUUUAUCAGUAUCAAACUGUUUGUCGAACAAAAUCAAAAGAGAAUGAUGCAAUUAAAAAUACGCAAGAUCGCUGCCUGUAUGGUUUUGAAUAAGAUCGUGCUGAUGAUGUAAGGCAUUGUUCAAUCCCUAAACACCGGAGAUAUAAGGAAGAUAAUCCCUAGUCAACCCCUUUGGGUAUUGUAAUAGGAGUUUCUUUCUUGAACACAUAAAACCCUCAUGCUUAACCAGGGGCAGAGUAUUCUUCAGUUAGUUUAGACUUGCAUUCAAAUUUAAGAAGGACAAUAUCUCAUCCAGUGAUCAAUCAUAUCAUAUCCCUCUCAAGAGGAUGGAAUCAUAAAUCCAGGAUGGUUAUCCCUUACCCAUCAAAAAGAGUGAGAUAAUCACGACUCGUGCAACAAAUCGAGAAAGCUGUGUCACAAGGUUUUCUCUAGUACAAAAAUAAAAGAUGAAACAAAAUUAAAAGCCCGCUAAGUCAAAAGCUUGAAAACAAGAUUGACUUAGGCAAAAGUCAGGGUAUCCCGGUGGGAUGCAGACCCAAAGGAUCAGCCUAGGAAAAAAUAAGGGUAAACAAAACAAAAGAAUUAGAGGAUCAAUACCAAAAUUCGUAGCGAGAGCAAAUCCCUGUGACUAUAAACAAAAGCAGAAGGCGAGUGGCUAUCGCUCUAAAUUCUCGUGGAUUCCUUAAACCAUCAUUGUUGAUAUUCAAAAUCCUUUCUGAAAGACGAACGCUUAUUUUAAGCUAAUUGAAUAUAGAACUAGAUAACAUCACACAGAAUGGGUGGGUUAGAAUAGGUUUUGAGCCUUAUAUCCUUUCUUUCUGAAACCGUGAACUAGGCCAAGUUACAACCCUCAAAAGACCUAAUUGAAGUAGGGUUUAUUUCAAAAGCAUACUAUGGUAAGAUCGCGUUAAGCUGACUCCUUAAGAUUUUCUUGUCAUAUGUUUGAUACUGAUAUGGCAUUCUAAACAGUGAUUUGUUCACUAGAUGUCAUAAUCUUAGUGAACACACUUGAGUUUUCAAAACUUGCAUGAGCAUGACAUUACAAUUAUCAUUUUAAAAAUGAGCGUUUUACAUGCGAACAUGCAUUUGACACCAAGGAAGCUUACAAUGGGAAAGUUGAUCAAAUUCCUAAUAUCCCAUAGCUCAAAUCUCUUCAAGAGCCCGUCAAUCUAAGGCACCAUGCCAAGAUUUUGCAAAUCUCUCUGAAUCAGCUGUAUAAGGGAAAAGUUUAAUUCGAAGUUCAUAUUGGGGAAGGCCACCUCAAGAGCAUGAGAAGUCAAUCACUCCUAAGAUAAUUAACUAGGAGGAUAUAGUUUCAAGAUGCUGGGGCAAGCCAGUUUGAGAUACUCAGAUGACGAGAUCACUCUAAUUUGUAAUUGGAGAAAUUGGUGCAGAUAUCCAAUACAUUGGGGCAGAGGCAGGCUACGCAGGUACAAGCUCUCUCCAUGUUCUAGACAUAAUCCAGAGGUGUGACAACAAUUUUUCAGCUUGAAGUAGGUUCGAAGAAUCACGUCUGGAGGAUACCAUAUCCUAGCCAAAAAUUUCCACCUCCCUCUAUAUGAGCACCUGGAUUAACCAUUGCAUAAAUCAUUAUCAUGAAUAAAUCACGUCGCUUCACUCAUGCAUACCAUUCAUCUAUCAUAGCAUGAAGCCGUGUGUGAGAAUCAAAGGAAUUAAAGCCCAGUAUUUUAUUGGCAUCUCCAAAUUCCAAACUUGCCUGGUACCUUUUUAAACCAUCUAGUUUGACAAUUCUUCCAAAAUCCAAUUUGCUUGGCGUCUUUUAAGCCCAGUUUGCUUGGUAUCUUUUUUCGACCUUUAGGGUCGAUGAUCCUCUUUUCCAACAUUCAUGGUUGAGGAACCUUUUUUCAAUCUUCAGGAUUGAUAACCUUUUUCCAAUCUUUAGGGUUGACGAUCUUUGUUUCUAACCUUCAUGGUUGUUGAAUCUUUUUCCCACCAUUAGGGUGAUGAUAGACUUUGUUUCCGGCCUUUAAGGUUGAUGAUCCUCUUGCUUUCAACCUUUGCGGUUGUUGAAUCUUCUUCCAACCAUCAUGGUUGUUGAAUCUUUUUCCUACCUUUGUGGUUGUUGAAAAUUUUUCCAAACCUUCUUGGUUGAUGAACUUUUUCAAUCUAUGUGAUUGACAAACUUUUUUCCAAACUGUAAGGUUGAUGACCUUUCUUUUUUUCAAACCUCUGUGUUUGACUUUGUUUCCAGUUUUUGAACUGAUGAUUCAUUUGUGAAACCCCUUGUUUGCAAGAAUAUUUUGGAACUUUCAUGCGCUCUUUGAUUAGCAUACAUGGCCACAUGUUUCAAAAAUGAUAAAAAAAAAUACAAUUUAGCAUGCAUAUCAUGAUCGUCAUUUGCCAUUAAUAUCCCCACAGUACAUCAAAAUCACCAGCAAAUAAACCCGUAAAAAAUCAAGUUGAUAUCCCUAUAUCUCAUACAAUUGUCCUUCAAGGAAAAAAAUUCGGAUACUUCGAUAUUUAAUCCACGCAUACCUUAAAAAGCUGAAAAGCUCUCGCAAUUCGACCAUUCAGGUCUAAGCUGAUUAAAUAGGGGCAGAUGUCGUAUCCUAAAUUUGUCCUCCCUAUUUCAUCUUUCCACUCAAUUUAUCAACUUGAGAUUCAUCUGUACCACAUUCAUAUUUCAUUCAUAUGCAUCAUUCAUUAAUCAUACAUUCAAAGCUUGUGGCCUGCAAAUCUAAGGUUUGUUGAUGGGACAUGGCUCUUCAUAGGCUCAUCAUGUGAGGGGAAACCCUAAUUUCAUACUCUUUUAGACUUUGAUUCAAAAAGGUUACAAUCACGACAUUCAUUUAGUCAUUCAAACCCUUAUUCCUGACUUUGUUGUCUUUCGGUCUCACAAGCUUUCACCUGUGUAUCAUGAAGCCCUAAUCAGGGAAGAUUUGGUCCGGUUGCACCUUAUGGCUUGACUUUUCAUCUUGUGUGUGCUGGAAACCCUAAUUCAUUAGGGAGAGGUGUUUGACUAUCCUAUUAUGCAUGCCUACUGGUUUGGAAUUGCACAUGAUUCAGGUCUUGUUUCAAGCAUCCCUAUGCCCAUCACAUUUAACUUUGCAUAGGCCAUUAACUCAAGUCUUUUGGUAUGGGCAAAUGCAUAGACCCAUAUGCCCGAUUCACUUCAUUCAUAUGAUGCAGAUGAUCAAGGAUGAUUGGUCCAUUUAAGAUUUGGUUCCAUUGGUUCAUUCUUUGUUUCUUAAGCAAAAUCAUUAUUUCAUUUGAAUUAUGUCAUGUGAAAACCCUAAUUCAAAUUUCACAGUUGACUUCGAUUAACUAGUUUACCAAAGUCAACCAUCCCUUUUUGAGUCCAUUAAACUUUUUCAUUAAUCAUUCACACUUAAUCACAUUUUUCGAGCUAUUUGAUGCAUCCAAUUCAUUCAAUUUUCAAAUGUAAUUUUGACCAUUCCAAACAUUUUAACCAUUCAAGGUUAACAAUUUAAGUUCUAUAAACCAUCUUCUUUUACAAUAUAUUUCCACUCAUAAACUUUCCAUAAGCAUUCAAAAUUUUCCAUCAUAAAUAUCAUUCAAUACAAUAAACUUGUCCAUGGUUCGCGCAUUUAAUCCUUUCUUUCCAUCAUUUAUUUGCAUUGCAAUUCUAUUCAUCCAAAGUAUCAAACUUUUCAUAAUCACCAAGUUCCAUUCCAAUACAUUCAAGUUUUACCUACAACUUUCCUUUACAAUUAUUACAAACCAUUGUUUUACAUUGUUACACUAUGUAUCAACCAUAUCCUACAUAACCAUAUUAACCAUUCCAAAUGAUCAAGCAAGAUAGAAUUUCAUUCACUAACCAUACAAGAUAUCUCAAGCAUACAUUUCCAUUUCAAGCUACAUUAUAAUGCAUCAUAAUCCAACAAUAUCAUGAAGCAGCCCAUGGCCUCUUAUGCAUUCACUAGAAAUAUUUCCAUAGCACAAAUUGGCCAUGUCCCAAAAGAUAAUGCACAAAAAAAGCAUGAAAUAUCAUGAUUCUGUUAGGCUCUGUUUUGAAAUUAUUUACCUGAUGAACAACAGACAUAAAUGCCGAUCGAGGUUAUAUGGAAGCUUCAAAUACUGAAAAAGAAAACACACCCAUUGCAUUGAUGGCUACAGCUCUUCCUUUGAAACGCCAUUGAAGCUUCAAUUCGUGGAGCUUAAACCACUGCACCUCUUCGACCUCACGCGGAAAACGCAACAACAGCAUAUGCUUAGAAGAACAGAGGGAGAGGAAUAAGAUUGCAGCAACAUAACAGAAAGAGUGAAGGAACAAAAUUGAGACGAAGAAAAAGGGAAGAGAUCGGUCAAUACCUGUUCGCAGUUGAAGCAUCAAAUUUGGUAAGUCCUUUUGAUUUUCUUUUCUUUCUGUUUAAGUCCGCGAGCACAAUGUUGGAUGGAAUCACAUGUCGAUGAGGUUGAACACAAUCCAUGAACUCUAUUAUCUGUUAGAAUUAGAAUAUUAGGUUAUUAAGUGACAAUUAGAAAUUGUGAUUUAAUUAGAAUUCUAGUAUUGAUAGAUUUUGGAUUUUCAUUAGAAUUAAUUAGAAAUUUUAGAAUUUAACUAGGGUUUUAGAAUCUAUUUUAGACUAAUUAGAUUUUCACAUAAUUAUAUAUAAUUAUAAUUAAUUAGUUUUUGAUUAAAUGUUGAUUAUUAGAAACUAUUUUCCUAAUUAAUCCAUUUAUGCAUAUUGACUAUUUUACCCUUUAGAGGUUAUGUUUGUCAUUUUAGCCAUAAGGACAUGUUCCUUUAGGUUUAGAUCUUGACAUCAAUUUUUAAUCAAGUCUUGACCAAUUAUAUCAUGAUCCCUUAGGAUAGUUUGUAACAAAUUCUAACCAUUAGAUUAGGAUUUAAUCUAGUUUUCAAACUAAUUCAAACCUUCUGAUUCAAAUUGAUCAAAAGCAAUUUUGAUCAAUUAAAUCAUUUGAUAUUGUAUAAUCCCACAGUCUAAUUUGAGUGACACAAAUACUCUUGGUCACCUAAUGAGACUUUUUCGGUAAGUUGUGGAGCUCGAGGCCUCAAGUCAUAUUUUCAAUCAAGGCAUCAUCGGUCAGACCAAGCAGUGGAUAAUACAAGGUACAUCAAAGGUGGCAUCUUUGAGAGCUUGUCAAAUCAAAGUUAUGAUUGUGUGGCAUGAGCCUUGAGUAAUGAAGAAAGAAUGAGACUGAAGAAUUCCUACCCCCAUCAACACAAAGGGCAUCAUGUCAGCAACUUGUUAAUUUUGAUUCAAGUUGCAUGCCAUGAGCCUUAAGAAACAAAGAAUGAUGAGAGUGGGGAAUUCCUAUCCUUGUCUAGAAUAUUCUUGGGUACGGGACGAAUGACCCAGUUGCUCAAAGUAUUCGCCUUUUUCCAUAGACUUUGGUGCAAUUUAAAUCAUGCAAUUGACAAGCCUUCUUCUUCAAGCAAGCAUCAAUCAUUCAACACUUCAAUAGUGAAACACCAUUACCCCCUUUAGUAUUGGACUUUCCUCCUGGAUGUUCAUACAUUUCUUGGGAUUAUUACCUUGGGGUCACAUACCCAUCUCGCAAUCAAUUGCUUCAUGCAUUGCCUAUCAGUUCACACUAUGGCAUACUUCAUUGCUUGCCCUCAACGUACAGACCCUGACAUUCAGCCUAUGGAGUACAUACUCUGGCUUUGUUUCUUCCCCAUAAGGUACAGACCUUGGCAACUUCUUGCAGCCCAUAGAGUAUAGACUCUGGCUUUAUUCCUUGCCUACAACAUACCGAUCUUGGCAUCCUUGCCCUAAUGAGUUCAGACUCUGGCCAUCUGAUUUUGUCUAUACAGUACUGACUUUGACAUAUUAUUAUGCCUUAUAGUUAAGACUUUGGAAUUCAUUCAUCCAGCCCAUUGGGUUCAGACUUUGGCAUCGUACUAUUUUGCCCUUAUGGAGUUCAGACUCUGGCAUUCAAAUCAGUUCAUUUGCCUUAUAUAGUUCAGACUAUGGCAUGCUUAUACAUCUUGCCCAUGGAGUUCAGACUCUGGCAACCUUUAACAUUGUCUUGAAGUCAGACUUUAGAAUUAUAUCUCCUUUUCCCUUAUUGAGUUCAGACUCUGAGAAUCUGUUCCUUGCCUUUGUAUUAGUUCAGACUAUGGAAUUCAUCUAUCUUGCCUUGUGGAGUUCAGACUCUGGCUAUAUCUCAUUUGUCCUUAUGGUUGAUUACCAUCUUUGGUAAGUGUCAUACUCUCGCUUAUUAAGCAAUCACCUUGCCUCUGAGCAAUCCUAUCAAAUCUCCCUUUGCUUUCAGUUGUAGUAGGCUAAACUACGAUUGCUCUGAUUUUCUCAUUGCACGAUGAGAAUACAUAGGCACAAGGGUUCAAAUCCUCCGUGAGCAUACUUAUUUAUUACUCCUACCUUAGGGCAUUUCUCCAUCCAUCUCCAUGAUACAGUCAUAUACUACCUUUAUUCACUUCAUGUGAUAUACCCUAUUCUUUGAGCCAAAUACAUUAUACCUUUGUGCUCCAUCUUGUACCCCUUUGUGAACCAAGAGAUGUUUCUGUUGUGAAACCAAAAUUAAUUUCCUUUGUUUUCGGCUAUACCAUAUAGUGGCGAAUGUUCAGACAAUCCAUAUAUCGGUUUAUUCCAGUUUUACUCUUGGGUUCACGCUUUCACCCCUUGUUGGGGUUCAAAAUAUUAUCCUCUGGUUCAGGCCAUACCUUGAUCACAACUUCCUUUUCAUCUCCCACCACUAGUUCUUUGAACUACGAAGUUAUGAAUUCCUCAUUGCACUAUGAGUAUACAUAGGCAUGAGGGCCCUAAUCCUCACCGAGCACUCUAUCUAUUUCUUUUCAUUUUCCCCAUUCUUUUGCGAGUAAUCUUUAGAUACAACACUCAUUCGAGCGAGAACAAUCAAAACGGUUCCCAUGGAGUACCAUAGAUGUUAGGGAUGCUAAUACCUUCCCAUUGCAUAAUCAACUUCCUUACCCAACAUAUCUCUUUCCCCUGGGUUUUAUCGAUGUGUUCGGGUAUAUUUCCGCUAGCUGCAUCACCAACUCCAAAAUCUCAAAAAAGUGUUUUUAAAGGAACUCGCAUUAGCAAACCACCUCCUUCACCGUCUCUACCAAAAAUUUCAUUCAUUGACGAGAUGUUAUUUUUUUCAUAAAUACAUCGAACAAAUCGUCAAUGUUGAGGGUGACGGUAAUUGCGAUUUUCGAGCUAUUUCGAUUUUGCUGGGUAAAGGAGAAGAUGAUCACACACUUGUCUGCCAUCAACUUAUCCAUGGUUGAGGACCCAUAUAGAAUUAUACACACGACUUUACCGAAAGAAACAAAAUUUUGAUGCAAUUUAUGAGUCUUUUAUUCCUUGCAUUAGUGGUCCGAAACCAGAGGAAAAAUGAAUGUGCUUCCCUGAAAUGAGUCAUCUCAUAGCAAGUGCAUCUGAUAAAGUGUGUAUUGGUCUUACAAGAUACGAUUUUUUGGAAACUUUUUUUCCACUGCGCACCACCCAACCUCAAAAUCUAAAUGAUCGUAUUUUGUGUAUUAGAAUACCUUUAAAAUUACGACACUUUGUUCAAAUUUAUUUGAAACGGGAUGUCGUAUACCACUUACAUCAGUGGAGUGGACAACUCAUUCAACAAUAAAAUCCGGGACUUAGACGGGCCAAUUUAUGGAAAAGAUGCAAGAGUUUACCAAAUUGAGCGACAUUGAAAGUGAAUAUAAUGCACAAAAGUCAAAGGGGGAACCACUCAUACUUAUAAAUUUAGCCAUCGACAAAUAUUUCGAUUCGUUUUAGUUUUUCGUUAUCAAUUAAUUGUAUAUAAUUUUGUAUUAAUAGUAAGGGUUAAUAACAUUUUUAUAGAAACAUUCUAGUUGUACCUUGGGGGGAAUGACCCAUGAUUGAUGCUUACGUGUCAUGAUAAAUAUCAUGAUAUAUUUUAGUUUUUAGUUUUUUAAUUACAUAUAUGCUUACGUGGACUUACAGUUUUUUAUUUAUGAAUUAUUUCUAUUUUCAUGUGAAAAUUUAUUUUCUUUUUCAUUUAUUUUAAUCAUAACAAUUAUCAAAACUACUUUAAGAAAGUUCUAAAAUUUUGUCAACAAUGAAAUUCUCAUACGGAUUUGGCAAGGAACUUUGAAAGGAGAUUUGAAAGCGUGAACCACAACCAUAGAUAGGAAGAAGGAGAAUUAGGGUUCAACAUAGUUUGAACCGUGUUUAUGUUUAUGUUAGGGACCGAUUCGGGCUAGACCCAAUCUAGGUUCGGUUGAUCCACUAACCAUUAGUUUUUUUUUUAAAUUAUUUUGUGAGUAUACCAUUUGUUGUUUGGCCUUACCUAUUUGUGACUUGGGCAAACCCCACUUUAGGAGCCAUCUUGUCUUAUUUAUUUAUUUAUUUUUGUCUUUUCCUCAACCUUUUUUAUUGCAUUAAUAUUUUAGUAAAAGAAUAUAUAAAAAACAUAAACUUUUUCAUGAAAAAAAAGGUGGUUUACAAUUUUAUAAUAAUUGAUUUUUAUUGUUAUUUCAAUUUUUUUAUCAAUAAAUAAAUAAAAGUAGACAAAAUUUGUUUGAUGCGUGCCUUAGGGUUUCUUUUUCCUAUCAAGCUAUAUCUCAAAAGAAGAAUAUUUCUUUAAGAAUUAUUCCUUUUUUUAAAAAUAAAUUUGAUUCCAUUAUGGUUUGAUUUGUUUGAUCUUUAUUGAUUGUGUGAAUGCUUGUAUUGUUCAUACUUGAUCCAUGAUUUAUGUAACCUUUCACUUAGACCUUCGAUUGUUAGUAAGAUAAAAGUAAAUGUGCAAUAAAAUCAACCUUUUAAAAUAAGAUUCAAACACUCUAUCGAUAUGAAUUUGGUUUUAAAAAGAUCUCACUAUUUUCACCAUCCAUUCAAAGUUAAUUUCAAGUCAUCUCACAAAUUAUUUUCAUGCUAACACGAAUAAACCCUCGAUCAACAUCGAGUUUCUUUUUUGCUUAUUAAAAACUUGAAAAUCAUUUUCAUAAUAAAUCAGUUGAAAAAGGAAUGGGAGGCGCACACAUCUCUACUCCUCGAAUAAGUGAGUGAUUGGUAGACUCCAUAUUGCUCUAACUUUCAUCUUCCGAAUAAAAUAUCCUAAAUAAACAUGGAUGAAAAAGGAAGAGAGGCGCACACAUCUCUACUCCUCGAAUAAGCAAGUGGAAGACACACACCUCGCUACUGCGAAUAUUUUUUCUUCCGCAAAUAAUUUUCAAAAUAUUAAAAUCAAACAAAAAAGGAAUGGGAGGCGCACAACUUGUUGCUCCUCGAAUAAGUGAGUGAUUGGUGCGCGCCAUAUUGCUCGAGCUUUCAUCGUCUUCCUACAAAACACUAAACCAAUCAAACCUAUUUUCUCGCCCCCUUCGUUCAUCCCAAGACGAUGUAAACACGCUUCAUUUCUACCAUGCGCAAGAAGUUAUAACUCUUUUCGCUCGAAUGUGACGAGAACAAAUUUGUGAGAAUCUGGAUUAUGUUAUUCAUUCUAAUGUGAUGCCAAUGUUCACUUCUCCAUGUUUUUAGUAGCAAAUAAUGUUUUCGCUCGAAUGCGACUAAGUACCUUUCGUAAAAACUGAUCAACAAACAAAAAAUUUCUACCCAGAACUACGUAGCCUUGAGUUUUUCAUCGCACCUGAGAUAUGUAGAAGCGAGACCCGUAAUCUCGUCAGGCACAUUAAUAAAAGAAAACAUUUUGCGACCCAUUUUGUUUUCUCUUUACACUUUUGACCACUCGAAGAAAACAUAUGACAUAAGCUAAAAUUUCAACCACAAAUCUAACUAAAUGGUUCCCGUUGAGUGUAACAGAUGUGAGGGGUGUUAAUCCCUUCCCCUCGCAUAAUCGACUCCCAAACCUGAAUUUGAUUGUGACAAACAUUUUCUUUUUCUUUUAAGGAUUUUAUCAAUAUUUCCCCUCCUUUUUGGAAUAAAUCAAUUUUGAUGGUGACUCUGUUAUCUUGACCAUGCAAGCGCUCAUGGUCAUUUUUCGCGUCGCGACACUACUGUACAAUAGUUAUCUGUAUCAAAAACUAAAAUAUUUGUGUCUGUAUCUUGUUGUCUAGGAUUGUUGGAAACGAGAAGGAUGGAAAAAUAAAGUGUGUUUAUUUUUCUAUGUUGUAAAAUCACAAGGUGGUUUUUCUUGGUGAUUAAGUUAGAAUCUUGUGUAUAGAAUCUAGGUUUAGGCUUGUACAAAAUAAUAACAAUAUUGAAAUCUCUUAUAGUGUCUAAGGGGACUGACAUACUCUCAGAUUGUGAUGGGAACUAGUAUGAUUUUCGAUGUUAUUUACUUUAUGCACUUUACUGCUUUCACCACCUAACCAUAAACCAAAAAAUAAAGAAACAUUCAUCUCUAAAAACAAUGUACUUACAGCGAGAGCAUGAUAUUCCGCUUCAGUACAUGAACAAGACACAAAAUUUUGUUUCUUUAAGCGCUAUGAAAUCAAGGAGUUACCCCAUAACACAUAAAUGCUAGUGUAUAUUUCCUAGUAUCCAGACAACGUGCCCAGUCGAAGUCAGCAAAACCAUGCAGCUUUAAGGAAUUAUUGCUGGCAAAAAAAUGCCUCGAGUAGGAAAUGCCUUCAGAUACUUCAAAACUCGAGUGGCUUCCUAACGGUGAGGAACCAAGGGGUUAGCCACAUAUUGGCUAAGGUGACGGACAAUAAAAGAAAUACUUGGCCGUGUGUUUGUAAGGUAAAGUAGCCUGCUAAUUAAUUUACAAUAUGAAGAAGGGUCCUCUAAAGGAGUACCUUCACUAGAUGAGAGCUUCAUGUGAGGAUCAAUAGGUGUGGAGACAAGCUAAGCCCCAAGAAAACCAGUGUCCUCAAGCAGCUAGAGCAUGUAUGUUCUCUGGCUGAGAAAGAUACCAGAAGUAGAACGUGCAAUUUUGAGGCCCAAGAAGUACCUUAGUUGACUGAGAUCUUUAAUGCAAAAUUGUUGAUGCAGGAAAGACUUUACUUGUUUAUUCCACAAUCGAGUCGCUUGUCAAGACAAUAUCAUCAAUGCACACUGAUAAGGAAGUGAAACCAUGAGGUGUGAUCUUGGUGUAUAAUGAGUGACCAACAACAGAUUGAGAGUAGCCUAAUGAAAUGAGAGCUGAAGAAAGCUUAGAAUGCCAUUGUCGACUGACCUGUUUCAGUCCAUACAAUGAUUUUUUUAAGUGUACAAACCUUGUUGGAUUCAAGAUUACCAUAGCCAAGAGGAAGAGACAUAUAUACUUCUUUAUUUAGGUCUCCAUGAAGGAAGGAGUUUUUAACGUCCAGUUGCUCAAGGUGCCAGUGUUUGACAGCUGCAAGAGAUAAAAGAACACGAACAAUAGUAAUUUUGGCAAUUGGGAAAAAAGUAUCAAAGUAAACUACAUGUUCUAAUUGAGUGUAACCCUUGGCUACCAACCGGUCCUUGCAUAUAUCAAUAGAGCCAUUGGCAUGGUACUUGACUUUGUAUAUCCAUUUACAACCAACUGGAGUUUUGCCUAGAGGAAGGUCCACAAUGGUCCAAGUUUGAUUGUCCUUAAGAGAUGCAAUUUCAGUAUCCAUGGCCUACUUCCAACAGUCAUGUUUAGAGGUAUGAAGAUAGGUUUUUGGUUUAAAUAUGGAUGAAAUAGAGCAACAAAAGGAUUUGUAAGUUGGAGAGCAUUUUUUAUAUGAUAUAAAGUUGGAGAUAUGGAAGGUAGUGGAAGAGGAGUUAUUUAUAGAGGCAUAUCUAUUUGAUGAAAGAAAGAGAUUACAAUAAUAGUCUUUGAGAAAACUAUGAGGGUGUUUGGUUCUCAUUGAUUUUUGAGUUAGUAGUGUGGAUUGGUUUUGGGGAAUGUCUGAGGGAGGGUUAGAAUUAUGUGGAUACAUGUUAUCAACUAAGGUAUCAUGAAGGAUGUUGGGUUCAAAGUCAAUAACACUAGGAUCUUGGGUACUUGGUGAUGGAUUAAAAGUAGUUUGAUAUGGACUUGAGGUACUAGAGUCAAUCAAAGUAGGUUGAUUGAGACUUGGAAGGUUAGGGAUAAGUCCUGUUUCAGAAGUAAUAGGAUAAUCAUAAGAAUUUGUGACUGGUGUGACAACAGUAGAAGGAGUGGACAUAUGAGGCUCAGGGGUCAGAGUGAGGGCCUGAGGUGUAACAUAGUCAAUGUCAUAGGUGAUGUCCAUCAAGCUAUGAAUAUAAGUAGGGAGAUUUGUGGCAUUACUUUUGAAUGGAAAGGUGGUUUCAUAAAAGAAAACAUUUAGAGAUAUGAAUAAGUUAUGAGACUGAAGGUCAUAGAGAAUAUAACCUUUAGUACCAUCUUUGAAACCAAGGAGAAUGGCUUUUCUAGCCCUACCAUUGAAUUUUGUUAUGUGGGUCUGUAAAGUUGUUGAAAAACAUAAACAAACAAAGACUUUCAAAUGAACAAUAAUAUAUUAAGUUUUGAAAAAGCAACUCGUAUGGAGAUUUUGACUGAAGUUGAGGACUAGGGAUCCUAUUAGUCUUGUGGACAACAUGUUGAAUACUGAAGUUCCAUAGGUUUAAAGGAAUAUGUGUUAAUGUUUUCUCUCAACCACCCCAUUUUGCUGUUUUUGUUAUAGUGGUGGUGGUGGUGUGUGUGUGGCGGGGGGGGGGGUGUUCUACACAAGAUUUAUGGCGACUUAUGCCUUUGGAAGGGAAAAAGGAACUAAGAGUUAGGAACUUUGAACCCUUAUAUGACCUAAAGCAUUUAAGAGUGGUUUUGAAUUUAUUUCCUAUUGAGGCAAUAAAAUGUAUUACACUUUGUUUUGUUUCAGAUUUUUCCUUAAUAAAAUGACCCAUGUAAACCUUGAAAAUCCAUCAAUAAGAGUUAAGAAAUAUUUAUAGCCUAAAAUAGAAUCAGUAGAAAAGGGCCCCCAUAAAUCAACAUGUAAAAGUUCAAAUGGAGCAUGAGUAUGAGUAAGACUAUUUAGAAAGGGGAAUUUCUUUUGUUUUGCAAAAUGAAACGAAUCACAAGGGUUCAUGUUAUUUUUACAAGGGAUGGGGGGAAAAUGUUUAGCCAUAGUUUUCAUACUGAAAUUAGAAAGGUGGCCUAGUCUUAGAUGCCAAAGUUCAAAGGAAUUAGAAAUAACAUAAUUACUAGUGGAAUAAACAUCACUAAUAUCUAUCACAUAGAGGCCUCUGUGCCAUUUAGUUGUACCAAGCAUUUGCUUUGGAUGGUUCUGCAAAAUAUGACACAAGUUUGAAGAAAAUUUCAGAUAGCAAUCAAUAUUGCUAGUCAAUUUUGUGACUAAGAUUAAAUUAACAUGAAAGUUAGGAAUAUAGUGAAAAUUGUAAAGAGUUAAGGAAAGGGAAAUGACAAUGUUUCUAGAUAUGCAGGCAGUCAUGUGAGAUUCAUUUGGUAAGGAGAUUAAGCUAUUGAUUAACUUAACUCACAAAGAAAGAGUCGCCACAACGCUUUUAUUAUUUCCAAAGAAAAUAGAAAAAGAACGAACCAAACCCAAAGAAGUUUAAAAAAAACUAAUAAAAACAAAGAUAAGGGUCCAGGGGUUGGUUAUGUACAGGGAAGAUACUAGCACCCUAAGCAUCUAUAGUACUCUACAGGAACAUCUUUGAAAAUAUGUGCAUUUAGAUUUAAAAUGGUGUUGUUUACAAAAGAUUAGGGAGAUGAAAAGAGAUUUUUUUUUUAUAAUUUUUGUGUUUGCCAAGACUUUCUGAACCUCGUGCCUACGUACCCAUAAAGUGCAAUGGCGAAUCAAAACCUCGUAGUUCGUGGUAAAAAUAACAAAGAUGUUUGCUUUGAUUCAUUUUUAAUGAAUUUUUUUUUGUCAUUUUAAGAAGAACAUUCAACUAGCCAUCCACAAGUAUGGGAACUUUGCAUCACCAUGAGAAGGACUCUAACUUGGAUAAAUAUCAACUAGCUCUCUUAUAUAGAAAAGAAUUAUUAUCAAUACUAUGGGGAUAGAAAAAUUAUAUAUCAACUAUGGAAAUGACUCGUGUCUAAACUUUGAGAAAAAAGUUUUAAAAAGGAAAAAAAAAAGUGCACAAAGGGCACAAAAAGGUUUGAAUGAGUUAUGCAUUUUUAGUUUUUUGAAAUUGGUUUGAAUAUGAUUAAGAUGUAUUAGAAUUUAUUAAUAAAAGAUUUUGAAAAGAAAUCACUUGAAAAAAGUCAAGGUUUAUUGAGGAAGUAGUUCAAGUUUGAAAACAAGAAUGUUUUGAAAAAAAGAGAGAAGAUUUUGAAAAUCAAAGAAGGGGAGGAGAGGAAGAGAUUAUCCUAGAACAUAAAGUAAAAGCUAUGGAGGAAAGAUCCAACCAAGAGAUAACAACAAGAAUUCACUCCUUUGGAUUAAGCCUUAAGCAAGUCAAAUAAGCAAAGAAUAUUCCAUGUAUCAGAUGAAACCAAAGUAGCCAAGCAAAAUCUUCAAAAGAAUCUCAAAGUCAAAGGUAGCAGAUGAAUCUCAAGGUCUCAAAUCAGAAACUCCCAAAAGAUAAACAAGUAUGCCACUAGUUCUCUUAGAUGGAAAAUAAUUAUCAUCAAUACUAUGGGUAUAGAAUAAUUACAUCUCAACUAUGGAAAUGACUCAUGUCUAAACUUUGAGAAAAAGUUUUAAAAGAAAAAGUGCACAAAGGGCACAAAAUAGUUUGAAUGAGUAAUGUAUUUUUUAAGUCUUUUGAAAUUGGUUUAAAUGUGCUUAAUAUUUAUUAGCAUUUAUUAAGAAAAUAUUUUGAAAAUCACUUGACAAAAGUCAAGGUUUAUUGAGAAAGUGAUUCAAGUUUGAAAACAAGAAGGUUCUUGAAAAAAAAAGAGAAGAUUUUGAAAAUUAAAGAAGGGGAGGAGCUAAGAAGAUUAUCCUAAAACAUAAAGUAAAAGUUAGGGUGAAAAAUCUAACUAAGAGAUAGCAAGCUUUAUGACAUGUGUUAAGUAAGAACACUCUCCUUUGGAUUAAGCUUCAAGCAAGUCAAACAAGCAAAGAAAAAUCCAUGUGUCAGAUGAAACCAAAGUAACCAAGGAAAUUAUUUAAAGUAAUCCCAAAGUCAAAGGUACCAGAUGAAUCCCAAGGUCUCAAACUAUAAACUCCCAAACAAGGGUCAAAAUUCUAGUUCUAACUCCGUAACUCCAUAAUAAUCCCAAUGAUAGUAACCUCAAGUCCAUGAAUUAAGAGAACCAAUUUUUAGGGGUUUUUUCCUUUAUUAAUGUAUUUAAAAGAAAAAGAAGUCUAAAUGGACAAAGAAAAAAAGGCAUAAACAUAAACAAAGGUCCAAGUGGACAAAUAGAAAAUAGCAUAAAUACAAACAAUAUGAUAUGCGAUGCUAAAAUAAAAUCAUAAAGUUAAUAACAAGAAAUAAAUGGCAAAAAAAUAAAGAGCAUAAGAUAAAUGGCAUUAAAGUAAAUUUAAUAUAAUAAUAUGUUAGUAAGUUGUGUUAGUAAUAAAAAAUUGAAAGAUAAUUUAUCAUUUUUGGGAGAAUACUCAACUAUUCGCCCACAAGUAUGAAAAUGUGGACCUCUACAUCACCAUGAGAAAGACUCCAACUUGGAUAAAAUCAAUAAGUAUGCCACUAGUUUUAUUAGGUGAAAAGGAAACAAUAUUUUUCACACAAUACCAUGGGGAGUAGGAGACUUACAAUCUCACUUAUGAAAAUGACUUACUUUCGGAUUCAGGAUAAAUUUAACGUUAUGUUAAGCAAUCGUAAUUGGACUCAUGUUGAAGUCACAACUAUCUGAGCCCGGUCAAUAAUAAUAUUUAUGUUAAUACAUGCUAGAGAAAUUAUAUGUAAAUCAUUCUCCUAAAGAUAUGCCACACAAAAAAAGGAUGGAUCAAGCACAAAUGUUAAGAGAGUUGUUCAUUACAUCAAUCAAUACUUCAUGAUACUUAGGACAAGCUUAUGCAUCAAUCUAAAGUACCUUAAAUAUUCUAUGAUCAAUUAGGAGGUAGAUUUGAAGUGAUGAAAGUUCAUCAAGUACCAAUUCAUACAUCAUAAACAAGAUGAACACAAACCAUCCAAUUGAUCAAGAGAAAAAAGGAAGCGAAAGAGAUUAAGAAGAAGAAGAAGACGAGAGAAACCAAACUCAAAUUGGAUCAAAGGAUUGAUCAAGUCAUCAUCAAAAUCAAUCAUCCAUCUUGGUAGAUUUGGGUUUUCACCCCAUCAACACCGAAGAUCCAUUGAAUUUGAUGAGAUUUAUGAUCAAAAUAGCCAAGAUCCAAGGUCAACAGAAGUCAACAAAGGUCAAACAAGCAUAAAAUGAAAGAAAAUAAAAUAAAAUGCAUCAAAAAUAUUUUUUAAAUGAAUUUUAAAAGGCAAAUAAAACAAAAAAUUCCAUAAAACCCUUUAAAAUACCAAAUAAAUGGCCAAGAAAAUUAUGGAAGGUUGAAGAUAAAAUAAGGAACAUAAAAUAAAUUUUUCAAAUAUUUUUAAUGCAUAAAAGUAUUUUUAAACUAAUUAAAAAAAGGGGAAAAAGAGGAAAUCCAAGAAAAUAAAAUAUGGAAAAAUAAAAAUCAGAUGAAGAAAAAAAAAAGAAAAUUUUAGAAAAUAUUUUGGGAUUUUUUGGAUAAAAAAUGAAUUUUCUAUAAAUUUUUAAAGAAAAUGCAAUUUAAAAUAAAAAAUAAAAAGAAAUAAAAAACAGAAAAAAAUAGAGGCAUUGGAUCUGACCUCAUUAAUUGACGUGGCAAAUCCAACAACUAUCAGGCUAGGGCGCAUGGUGGAAAAUAGUUAGAAUAAAACAUGGAAUCACAUUCAAAAUGGACCAAUCAAAACAUUUCAAAAUGCCAACGUGGAUAGCCAACUCAGAUGGCCUGAAACAAAUCCAUUCAUCUUCUUCGGUAAUCCCUCAUCGGAGUUUCAUCAUUUGACAAAGUAAGAACAUGAGACUACCACCAAUGUGAUCGUCUCCUCAUCACGAAUUCAACCUAAUGCUCAAAAUUAAUUUAUCUAAAUUGAGUAUGGAGAAUUUCAGAGAAGUUUUAGAAACAAGCAAGUCACAAAAAGUAAAAUUAAAUGAUGAACAUUAUCACUCAACACCAGAUAAGUUAGGGGAAAGCAUAAGAGGGUGAAGGACUACAUUGUGGUAACUCGUUUGAGUUCAAAUGAUGCUCAAAACUACCUUGUCCAAAUGUAGAUCGGAGGUUGAAGAAGCUUGAUCUGGUCAGGGCACUUCAGAAGGUCUUACAGAUUGAGAAUUAUUGCAAAAUCUUCAUAGGAGACUGAAAGUUUUAAUUGAAUCAAGAAAUUGAACUGAAACAAGCUAGAAAUCAAACACGAUAGCUCAAUUUUCUAGAAAUGUUUAAUAGUGGAGCAGGGGUUUUUUAGCUCUCCAAAGCUUGGGAAUAAGGCAAAUAUAUUGCUCUAUUUAUAGGGAAGUGAUUGGUGAUCUCAUACGUGCCAAAUGAUGCUUAAUUCGUGCAAAACAAAUUUGCUCAUGAUGUGAGAAAAGUGUGACUUGUAAAACCAUCAAAACUCAGCCAAAUUAUGCAUUAAAUGAUUCAUUUAACUUUUGAAGACUUGAUUAAUCAUGUUUAGGUCCAAAACGUGUGGUAAAUUGGCUUGUAAUUAAGGAUUAGUGAAGUUCAAAAUUCUGAACAUGGUGAUUUCUUCAGUUCCAAGUUACCAUGUUUAAUUCAAUGGGGCAUCUUGCCUAGGAGGCUUUUUGAUCUCAUUUUUCUUGCAAUUUUUGGACAUCAUAUCAAAGAUUACAAUGUGCCAAGAAAGGUUGCAUUUGGAUGCUUGAGCAGAAGUUUAUGGCAUGUUAAAGUUGGCACAAAAAUUUGGUUAUGCAACUUGGAAAAUUCUAAGUCCCAGAUGGCUAAAAAUGACCCAUAAUGUCUCAAAGAAUUCCAUGGUCUUCCAAGCAUAAUUUGACUUUGAUCCUUGAAGAAAACUUGUAGAGGGCAUCACAAAUGAUAUUAUUCAAAAAGAAUCAGCGUCAAAUGUUGGAAAUUGAAGAAGUUAUAAUCCUUGAAAGUUGAGAAAAAGUCACUUGAAAAUAGGUCAAAUUUCACUAGGUCCACAAAUGACCUAUAAUGUCUUCAAACUUUUGAUGAUCCUCCAUGCAUAAUUGGAUCUUGUAAUGUAAAGAGAAGUUAUAGAGGAUAUUUAGAAGAGUCAUAUGCAAAAAGAAACAUUCAAAAAUAUUGAGGAUUGAAGGAAUUGUGAACCUUGGAACUUUGACUUCAAAUGUUGAAUUUUUGGUCAAACCUCUUGGAAUAAACUUGUGUACUUGGACUUUUAUUGCAUUUCAAGGUACAUGGAUGAUCAUAUGAACUAAAAAUAAGGUGUCCUUAAAUUUAUUUUUAUUAAAUUUCUUAAAGUUUGAGGUAACAUAUUGAAGAAGGCAUGGAAAUAAACACAUGAACCUUUGCCUUUUCUUGAGACCGAUUAUCCACUUUUGUGUAACCGAUUACAAGCGCAAUAUUUUGAUUUUUCCUGCUAUUUUACUUGGUCAAUUCAGUUCCCAAUUGUGUUGUAUCUCUUGUAUAAGUGUUUAGAAUGCACACUCAUCUAAGGUUAAUGCAAUAAUAAUCUCUCACCCUUAAUUCUCCUCUUUCACACUCUACAUCCAAAGUAUCUCCACCAUUGUUCAUCAAACUUGUUGUGUCUUGUUCCAACAUUUGACAUCAAGAGUCUGGUUCAGAUCCACAAACACCUAGUGUGCAACAUGAAUUAUGUUUCCAAUGAAAGAAUCCCUGCAAACCUACAUAUCCUUGAUGCGAAGAAUUAUGAUAAAUGGUGCAAGAAAAUGAAGAUGUUGUUUGGCUACCAAAAUGUUCUUAAAGUAAUCAAGAAUGGUGUUAGCCCUCUUGUUCAAAAUGCAACAGAGGUGCAAAAAGAAACACAUAAGAAAGAGAAGAAGAAAUACUUCAAAGUGUUAUUCUUGAUCCAUCAAUGUGUUGAUGGCGACAAUUUUAAGAAAGUUGGUGAUUGCGAAUCGUCAAAGCAAGUGUGAGAGAUCUUAGAAAAGACAUGUGGAUGGGUUGACAAGGAAAAGGUGGCGAGGUUACAAACUUACAAACACCAGUUUGAAUUGAUUCAAAUGGAGGAAAAGGAGACAAUAAACUAUUUUGCAAUGAGAAUCACCCGGUUGGUGAAUCAAGUGAAGGCAUGCAAAGAAACUGUUACAAAGCAGUAUGUUGUCGCUAAAUCUUGCAUUCUUUAACACUAAGAUUUGACAAUAUAGUUGUGGCGAUUGAGGAGUCAAAGGAUCUCACGAUGAUGAGUAAAGAGAAGCUGCAAAGUUCUCUCGAGGCUCAUGAUAAAAGGAUGGAAGAGAGGAAUAACGUUAAGGCAAAGGCGGAGAUCGCUUUGCAAGCUCGUUUCAAUGAGAAGGACAAGAGAUCGAAAGGAAAAUGGCCCAAGAAAAGAAAAGGGAAUUUUCAUAAUUUUGGUGGAAGAGAGUCCUAAAAUUCAAAUAAUUUUACUUGUCAAAGGGGUGAGAGCAUCUUCAACAAACAUGGUGGUCAAGGCAACUUUAGAGGUAGAAGGAAGAGGUUUGACAAGAGCAAGGAGUAGUGCUAUAAGUAUCAAUGGUUUGGCCAGUUUGCAAAAGAAUGCAAUUUGAACAAGAAGGAAUCUCAAGGGGAUGAAGCCAAGGUUGCAAGAUAAGAGUUUGAUAAAGAGAAUACAUUUUUGGUCAUGAUCAAAGAAGGGAAUUGUAGCAGCAAACAACUGCGGGACAACAACUACAACAACUCAACGAAUGCUGAAUAGGUUGGUUGAAUGAUACGAUUAACCAAUUGCAUGAAGAGGAAGACGCCAUGAUGAGUUUGAAAGGAGUUCAAUGCAGUGAGGAGUGGUAUUUGGACUUGGUUUGUUCAACUCAUAUAACGGGAAUAAAGGAUUGGUGUGCCAAAAUCAAUUGUGCCAUGAAGAACAAAGUAAAGUUCGCGGAUGACACCACUCUAAUAUUCAAUGGGAUCAGUGAUGUUUUAAUCAUGAGAAGGGAUAAUGGACAUUCCUUGACCAUAAAUUCUUGUACAUUUAGGGAAUCAAAUGUAACCUUCUGAGUAUUGGCCAAUUUCUUGAGAAGGGUUAUAAGAUUCACAUGGAAGACAAGGGGUUGCGGGUUAUGGAUGUAAGAUGAGUCUUGGUCCUUAAAGCGCAUAUGGAUGCCAAUAAAACCUUUAAGGUUGAGUUGAAGGUUAUAGAGCAUAAAUAUCUUGCUACUGUAACAAGUAGACAAUAUUGGAUUUGGCACUAUCGUCUUAGGUAUCUCAACUUUAGAGAUUUCAAAGACUUUCAAAAGAACAGAAUGGUAACGGGGCUGCCAUCGAUCAACAUACUAGCUGAAAUUUAUGAAGAAUGUAUGCAAGCGAAGCAACAUAUGGGAAAAUUAAGAAAGUAGAUUCUAUUGGUGGCAAUAUGUAUUUUUUCACAUUUAUCGAUGAUCAUAGUACGAAGCUAUGGACAUACCUAAUCAAGAGAAAUGACGAUGUAUUUGAUGAUUGUUUGUCAUUGCAUAUAUUUAAUCGAAGAAUCAAAGAAAAAUAAGUGAAAUUUGAGAUAAAAUGAAGAAGAAUGAGGAAAAAAUAGCUAAGUGUGAAAAUUGUGGACUUAUUGAAAAUUUGAGUGAAAAGGGGAGCAAAACCGUGCAACCACGGGAAUAAUCACGCGCACCAUCACAUAGCAUCGUGCACGCGAUGGGGUCUUUAAAGCAGCAUUACACGCGCGAUACAAGGAAUCACGCGCGUGAUAAGUACUUUUUAUGGGCUUUUUAGACACGUUCUAGUCCAUUCUAACGCCUUUAAAAGAGGAUUUUCUGCACUUUCACAAGGGUUACAAAAUUGGGAGAUCUAGGCACGAUUUUGAGAGCACAAGUGGUGAUUUUUAUAGCAUUGGAAGCUAUUGGAGGCCAUUACUUCAACGUAUUUCACAUGUUAUUUUCAUCUAUCAAUUAUGGCAUUUUUAAUUGCAUUAUGAGUAGCUAAGCUCUUUUAUAUUAGGUUGUGUUAUGAUGAACCUAUUUCUAUAUUGUUGGAAUCUAUGUUGAUUUAACCAUUCUAAGAACCGUUUGAACUAUAAUUCCAUUCAAUUGCUUUUUGUUCAUAAUUCCUUUUAUGUGAGAUACUCUUUUAAUCUGAUUUUGGGCACAUAGGGAAUAUUGACUAUUAGUCUAUGUGUUGGACCUAGGGAAAUUGUUGUACUUACGCUGGUUGAAUAGGAAUAGGAGACCCUGAGUAGUGGCAUAGAGAAUUAAUGUUUUAUACAUCACCUAACCUUGCUUACGCUGGCAGACUAGGGAUAGAAAGCUCUGAGUAGUGGUUAGUGAGUUAUUUCGCGAGGGAUCAGCUAUAACGGUUUUGUUAAUUCGAUGUGGUGUUAUAGUGAUAAGACCAUUCGUAAAAGAUAUAAAACAUCAACAAUAGAGGAAUAGGGGAUUCUAGAACACAAUAUGCUCGUUUUCGUGAUAUUGUUUAAUUGUUUAUUUACUUUUCGCACUGAAACUCGAAAACCCCCCUUUUUACUAGUUUUCUAUAAAUUGCACACAUUUUGUCUUGCCUGAAGGAAAUUCAUGUGGAUUCGAUCUUUUUAUUACUUCGACAAUAUCAAUACACUUAUCGAGAAAUCAUUAAGUUUUUGGCGUCGUUGCCAGGGACUGUUGAUUUUUCAACAAGGCGAUGUUUGUGCAAUUUUUAUUUUUAUUUUUUUAGUCUUUUAGUUUUUUUUUUCUUUUUCUUGUUUAUCAUAGUGCUAUUGAGGUAUUUUUUGUUUGUGUAUGCACAAUUUAGGAUCAACAUUAAUACCAUUGGUUCUAGAAAUUGAAAGAACUACACGUGCUCUCAGAAAAGCAGUUAGAGAAGCAGCUCUGAAAGGAGGAAUACUAGAAGAAGAGCAACUAUCAAAUUCUUCUGACUCUGAAGAAGAAGCUGUAAUGGAAGCUGCACAACCCCUAACUAUGGGGCAUUAUUAUAAAUUAACCGAUGAAGGACACUUAUCAAGAGGGUUUGUGCUGGUAGACCCUGCUAACUUUGAUAUUAAAAAUUAUGUGCUUUAAGGUUUGAGAGAAAAUUCGUUUGAUGGGAACACGAUUAGAGACCCAUGGGUGCAUCUUACACACUUUUAUGAAAUAACUUAAAUGUGCAAACCAACUGAUGCCACUGAAGAGCAGGUUAAAUUGAGGUUGUUUGGGUUCUCACUAAUUGGAAGGGAGAAAGAUUGGUUACUUUGCCUUCCGAAUAAAACGAUACAUACUUGGAAGGAAUUAAAGGAUAAAUUCCUCGAAAUAUUUUUCAUUACUACUCAGUUUACCGAGCGCUAAGCAGAAAUUGUGAAUUUUGUGCAGCAGGAAACUGAGUCACUUUAUGACUCUUGAGAAAGAUUCAAAUUUUUGUUACGCAGAUGCCUGAAUCACAACAUGAAUAAUAUGGUGCAGAUGUAAAACUUCAUUAAAGGUCUCAAGAGUCAAACUCACAUGUUAUUGGAUGCUUCUACGAGAGGUACUAUCUGAAAAAUGAAUGAACCACGGGUAAAAGAUCUCAUUAAGAAGAUGUGUAUGAAGGAGUACCGAUCCAAGAAUGAAAGGUCGGUCAAGAUGGGAAUUGUGGGCACGCCUAAAGGUAUGUUACCUAUUGAUACCCACACUGCUCUUUUAGCUCAGAUUGAAUUAUUAAAUAAAAAUCUAGUUGGAAGCAGCUUAGUUAAAGCUAAUGUAGGCUAGGUACAAGCACUUGGGUGCGAUUUAUGUAGAAGAGAACAUGCGAAUGAAAGGUGUUCAUUGGAAGAGACAAGUGAGGAGGUCCAAUUUGCUAAUUUUUUAAAAAAUAACUUGUAUUCAAACACAUACAAUCUGGGUUGAAAAGACCAUCCAAAAUUCCGUUGGAAUAAUAAUCAAAAUUCAAAUGCUAACUAAGGGAUGCAACAAAGUCAACAAGCUCUGUUUCAAAGGAAUCCCAUCACAGUUGGUAGAGACCUCACAAAAUUUCAUUAAGGUCACUCAAAGUAGAUUUGAUAGGGUAAAGAAGACCCAUGAAUAAAUGAGUAGAAACUAGGAUGCGUCUAUCAAAAUUUUGGAGAUGAAGAUUGGUUAAUUAUCUAGAAAAGUAGCUACUUUGUCAAGCUCAAGUGGAGGAUUCACCAGUAACACCGUUGAUAACCAUAAGAAUGAUAACCCUAAAUAUAGGUUUAAGGGCAAUUACUGAAAAGGAUAAGGAUGAGAUAGUUAAACAAUGUGUGGUUAAGGCAUAUGAGGGUACCUGUAGCACCUCAAAUUUGCACCCCCCAUUCAUGCAUUCAUUUCAUUUUUUAGGUCAUUUAUCAUUCCAUAUUGCAUUGCAUUUUGGCAGUCAGCAUUGGCAUCAAGAGAUUCAUCAGUACAAAAGAGAAAGUUUUUUCUUGAGAUGAAGGCCAAAUGAUUAUACUAAAGAGCUUAUAUGAGCCCAGGUUCAUUUUGAAGCAAAGUUACCAAGUGGUAGAGGCCCAAACUCAUCAGUGCACUUCCAGGUCAUCUGAGGCCCAUACAAGUCAACUAUGCAGUCAACUAAGGGCUUUGAGUUGGGGAAAUGGUUUGAGACACUUCAUUCAUGUCCAAAAGAGGCUUUUUCAUCAUGUCAAACAUCUACCUUGAAGAUUUUGAAGUCAAAUCAAAAGUUUCCAAAAAUGGAAAGUGACCUGUAAUUCAAAGUUUCCAAAAAUGGCAAGUUUUUAGACCACAUUCAACUUGACUUUCCAACAUCAAAUAAGCUUCAAAUGAAUUUUUGGUCAACAUGAAAGUUGAAGAUAUUUCUCUCCUAUUUCCAAAAAGUCCAAGAGUAUGAGUAUCUGAUGAAUGGUUGAGAAGUUAUGAACAAAUGAUUGCAAAGUAUGCAUGGAACUUCAAAGUGCCAUAACUUUUGAUCCAAAACUCCAAAUUGAGCCACUCUUUUUGCAAAAUGCUUGUAUUGACCAAUAUUUUCCAAAUCAAACAUUGCAUUGCAUGAAAUUAACUCACAUGAUCAUUUGUCCAUGCAUGUAUAUUUUGGAGGGAAAAUGGAUAAUUCAAAUUCUAUUGAUCAUACAUGAAAAAUUCCUAUGCCAUUGUGAUCUUUGGAUGAUUUUAAGUGACUUUUAACCAUGCAUGUGCACUGUUCACGUGUAAAAUCUCCAUGCACCACACAUUUACCAUUUUUGCAUUACACCUCAUUUCUCAUUAAGUUUCCAUUAGCCAAGCCUAAUUGUGAUUAGCAUGAUAAUUAACAUGUGAUAUAAAUAGAUAAUCCUAACUGAAUUGGAUGAGAUUACACAUUCUAGAUCUAGAAAUUGGAUUUCCCUCCAAAAAUUCUCUCAAUUCAAACAUCAAAUUUCUACACAUAACUCAUGAAUUUUCUUGCAUAAUUGUGUUCAUCUUGCAUCAUUGAGUAAGAAUCAAGGCCUGGACUGAAGGAUUUGGUGCAGAGUCGAGCUCCACGAAUGCAUGAAAAUGAAGAAGGUUUUCUGAAUUUGAGCUUCAUUUAGGUAGUUUCAAUUGCUAUUCCUUCCAUAAAGCUUCACCUCAAGGUUGAUAGAGGAGACCUGGAGCUGGAGGAGGCUUGAAUCCACGAAAUCAUCGCACUGUUCUUCAAGAAGGUUAAAAUUUGAAUCUCAUUAUUUGCCAUUUUAUGCACAUGAUCUUGUAGGUCGUGCUCCACUGAUGAUUCUGAUAUGAAUAUUAUUGAUUUUGGCUGGAUAUUGAGUGAGUUAUGAUGAAUUAAAGUUUGUAUGCUAAAUUUGUUCUUGCUCGAUCCAUGAGAUAUGUGAUGAUUUAGAGUGAAUUAGGCAUGGAUUUGGAAUGUACGUUAUGCAAGCUUUCGAUCCAUAUCAUUUUUGCAUGAUUCUAGAAUUUUUUUGAUGCACCUUCAUCGGCGUACCACCGGAGAAGAUGACCGAAAGUACUAUUCCGGUCAUCUGGUUCAUGAGCUAGGGUUUUAAUGUGCGCACCUGUAACCAUGCAAGCCCCAGUUCGAUCCUUGGCAACUGUUAUUUUAAAAUCCAUUUAUUUUCUCCCUAUGAUCCAAACGUUGCGUUUUGCUCUAGCGCCCUUGUGAACAAGCCUUGCCUCUGUUCGAUUCUUGGCCUGGCAAUUAUCCCAAUUGAUUUUAUUGAGCGCGCCUAUGACCCUAUAGUCCUCAGUUCGAUUCAGGCGCUUUGCAUUUUUUCUUUUAUUUUCAAUUGAAGCGCUGCCUUGGACCUUUGUGUCCUGAGUUCAAUCCCUGACCAAGUAUUUUUCAUCUUUUAAUUCACAUUUCAUUUUUUCACAUGAUUGUUGUGAUGUCUAUUAUUUUUUGAUGUGAUUUUCCUAAUUUUUGUAUUUCUGGAAUUUUAAAUGUGUUUGUGUGAUUGAACAUGAUGCAAAUAUGACAUGUUAUGCUAAAUGUUUUAUGAAAUGCUCAUAUUUUAUCCAAUUGCCUUGAAAUUUGACAUGCUUGAUCUAUACAUGUGACAUGAUUUUUGAGCUUUUGUUUGGCAUUUUUAGCACAUUCCAUCACUGUUUGGGACACAUGAACAUAUGAUGUAGCAUUUGGUGUCACAUUCUUGACCUUGCUUGUGUUCAUUUUCAUUUGCAUGUCAUUUGAUAUCUUCUGGACCUAAUUCUUUGCAUGAUGCUUGUGUUUAAAAUUUUGAUCUCACAUAAAAAAUUUCAUGAUCAUUGGAUGCAUUUCUGUUUUAAUGUGGAUUUUCUACCUUUUUCUUGCCUUGUGUAGAUGAUGAAUAAGCACCACUGUUGAUUGACUGUUUGGUUUGUCUGAAUGUGAUAUUGACUGUUUGACUUUUGUACAGGUACAUUAGUCGCUUUUAGCUCUCGCUUGAGCUUUGCUUUGGUUGUGGUUGAUAUACCACCUAGGUAAUCACUCUAACUCCAUGUAGUCUGGAAGCCCUGUCGUUUCUUUUGGCAUGCAUUUGGUUGAAGUCCUCCUUAAGAGGCAAUGACUGUGUUUAUUUAUAUUUAUGCCAAAGACCUCCUUGUCGAGGCAUGUUACUUGUUAAGUCCUCCUAAGUGAAGAGGCAAUUGACAGAUGGAAAGGAUUAGCAAUCAAUCCCCUGUUAUUCGUUGAAUCGUUCAUUAUGCUCGCACUAUAUGCUGAUGCUCUUGAACCUAACCCAAGAUCCUUGUAUAUAGAGUCAGUCAAGUGGAAUAGGGUCCCUCUUUCUGGAUCCCCAGGUUUUCAUUGAUUUGAGCUCACCCAGGCCAGGGUUAAGAGCAUGAGGUCUUAUCCUCAUUACCUUUCAUCAGCUUCACCCUAACUCUCAAUGUUAGUGGUUAAGAGCUUCAGCACACCCCUACAGUUUUGGCUUGUUUGUCGAGGUUGAUAUGACCCCUUGACUAAAGCCUUACCCUCAGAUGUUUGAGCCCCUUGUUGGCGUGUUUACUUCAUGUAUAUGUUUUUGUGUGGUGUGAUUGUAUCCCCAUAGGAUUGCUAGACUUCGUAUAGUCUCUCGUUUGCAUGUCAAUUAAGGUAGCAUGGUUCCUUCGUCUAGGACUUCCUUUCUUGCGUGAGCAUUCCUAAAACACAAACAAACUUUAUCUUCUCUUAAGGACACGUUGACUCCUUCUACUACAGGUGAGUAAGUCUCCAAAGGUCGAGCAUCCAUCUAGGACUUCCUUUCUUGCGUGAGCAUUCCUAAAACACAAACAAACUUUAUCUUCUCUUAAGGACACGUUGACUCCUUCUACUACAGGUGAGUAAGUCUCCAAAGGUCGAGCAUCCGGUAGAUUGCAUAGUAACGUUGUUCACCUAAAAAACACAACAAACAGAAAUAGUUUAGCCGAACUACGACAACUCUGAUUCUCAUGUUCAGAUGAGAUACGUAGGCAUGAGAUGCGAUGUCUUGUCGAGUUUGACUGACGACUAACAUUAAUCCUUGCUAGUUUUCAUCCUCGUUGCGAUUCUUUUCUCUCGCCCUCGUUGCGAUUGAGACCUUCCUUUUCUCUUGCCCUAGUUGCAAUCGAGACCCUUCUUCUUUUCGUGUGUGUUUGUUAGGAGUCGGAUAUAAGUCCAUCUAUUGGCAUUCUGUUUCCUGUUUGCGUGUGUGUUUGUUAGGAGUUGGAUGUAAGUCCAUUUAUUGGCAUUCUGUUUCCUUGUGUGUUUGUUCGGAGUCGGAUGUAAGUCCAUCUAUUGGCACUCUGUUUCCUGUUUGUAUUUCCUUGUUAGGAGUUGGAUGUAAGUCCAUUUAUUGGCAUUCCGUUUCCUUUGAGUGUUCUUUUGACGUCUCAGCGUCUCUUUUCAGUGUUUUGUUUCGGCGUGCGUUAGCCGAGCUACGAGUGCUCUGAUUCUUCCUCUGGUUAGAGAAGAUACGUAUGCAUAGGAUGCGAUGUCCUAGCGAGCACGUCUCCCAUUUCCCCGAACUACGUCGACUCUGAUGUUUGUUUCUGACAAACUACGUAGGCCCAGGAUGCGACAUCCUGCCGAGUCUGCUUUCUCCGUCUCCUCUUCCGCCUGUUUAUUAUUCCAUUGCGUGCAGUCUUUGAGCAGUUUUAUUAGCAACCUUAUUCUUUCCUUCUGAGCGUGGAUCCCAUCGAGUACGACGGACGUGAGGGGUGCUAAUACCUUCCCCUUGCGUAACCGACUCCCGUACCUAGCAAUCUUUGUUCGUAAGACCAUUCCUUUCCCUUUUUCAGGUUUACUUCGAGGGUUUCCUUUCCCUCCUUUGGGAUAAAUAACGCACGGUGGCGGCUCUGUGUCUUUUCCCGCCGGUUGUUUUUCGCGAUGCGACAGUACCAAUCAAGGUGACCAAGAGGAAAGAGGAGUCACCAUUGAUCAACUUAUAGACAAAAAUUCUCCUUGGAGGAGAACAAAGAGGCAUAUCUUGACUGAACCAAAUCCUCCUUUACCAGAUUACGUAAAACCACCGUAGCCGAUAAUUAAAAAGAAAUUGGUUCAAGAUGAUGAAGCGGGAAUGUUUGCAAAGUUCAAGGAAGUUCUAGCUACUCUCCAGGAAAGUAUUUCAUUCCAUGAAAUUUUAGAACUAAUGCCUAAGUUUGUUAAAUUUAUGAAGGCGUUUCUAAAUGGGACGGAAGAGAAAUGAAUCAAGGAACAUGUAAACAUGACCGAAAAUGAUGAUAUGGUAAAACCUCAAUCCUUACAACCUAAACUAAAAGACUCAGGUAAGUUUAUUAUUUCUUGUAAUAUCAGUGGAUUCAAUAUUCUGCAUGCUCUAUGUGAUCUGGGGUUUAACAUAAAUGUCAUGCCACUGAAAACUGUCAAAGAAUUAAAAAUGGGUGAGAUCACACUGAAUAACAUGACUCUCACUCUAGUUGAAUCGUCUAUUACUCAAUCGAUUGUUACUUUACGCAACAUAUUAGUAUCUGUGGACGACUUAUUGUUUCCUAUAGAUGUUGUAGUGCAUGAUACAAAAGGAGAUUAAGGAGGAUCUGUUAUUCUUGGACGUCCAUUCUUGGCAACCGAGAAAGCAAAGAUUGAUGUGGACACUGGUCAACUUAUCUUGAAGUCAAAUAAAAGGAAUGUGGUUUUCAAGGUAUUUGACUGGGCAUCUUAUGUGGAUAAUUUGGAUACUUUAUACCAUCCGGAGGAAAAAGGUAGAAAAGUAGACAAAGGAACAAUGAGAAAGGAAGUGACAGGCGUGAGGGUAUCCCUUGCACCUGACGUACCUUAGACAUGGAUUGUCAAGCUAGUUACGUAAAAAAAGCGUCUGAUGGGAGGCAACCCAUCCGUAAGAAAUUAUUUUUAUGUCAUAGUGAAUUUUUAUUUUUCUAACCUUGUUAAUUUUUGUGUUAUGUUGUUCGAAGAGAAAAUAGGUAAAAGAAGAAAAGAAAGAAAAAGAAAAAGGGAAGAAAAUAGAAAAAGAAAAGAGAUAGGAAAGUUUCAGCCCCUGGAAUCAUCACGCAUGAUAAUAUAAACUAGUUAUUUACAAUAAAUUUUUUUGAUAUUUAUUUAAAGAAGCACAAUUAAUAUAAAGACAAUAACACACCAAUCACACAUAAUAAUUUUAGAAUAAUUAUACUCUAAGAUUUUGAGAGUCGUGAUAUCUCCUCUUCUUAAAUGUUUAAGAAUUGGAUCUCUCUCACUAAUCUCUAUCCCCUUAUUUAUUUUAAGAAUAAACAUAUUGAAUUAAUAAAACAUAAUUGCACAUUUCUUAUAGCGAUUAUACAAACAACUAUCAAAGUUGAAAAAACUAAAGAGAGGUCAACUCAAUCUUUAUCAAAUUAAAUUAAAGUUUAUUUUAAAACACAAACAACUAGUUCAUUAAAAAGAUAACUUGUUUAGUACACAAAUGAGAUCUUACUUAAUACAUAGAAAUAAGAUCUUACAAAACAUAGAUAUUAAAAACAUAGGAACAACAUGAAAAGUUUUCAAAAUGACAUAGACAUUGAUUAACAAAGACAUGAAUUAGUUUCGGGUAUUUUUUAACCAUCCAUCAAGGUAAACUUGUUUGGAGUCAGGGGUGAAUUUUUCUUUCUCGGCUCGGAUAUCUUUCAACCAUCCAUCAAGGUAAACCUGAUUGUUGUCUGAGGUGGAUUUUGUUGUCUCGGCUCGGAUAUCUUUCAACCAUCCAUCAAGGUAAACUUGGUUGGAGUCAGAGGGCAAUUUUAUUUUUUCAGCUCGAGUGUCUUUCAACCAACCAUCAAGAUAAACUUGUUUGGAAUCAGAGGUGGAUUUUGUUUUCUCUGCUCGGGUAUCUUUCAACCAUCCAUCAAGGUAUACUUGGUUGGAGUCAGGGGUGGAUUUUGUUCUCUCAUUUCGAGUAUCUUUCAACCAUCCAUCAAGGUAAACUUGGUUGGAGUCAGACAUGGUUUCUGUUUGCUUAGCUCGAGUAUUUUUUAACCAUCCAUCAAGGUAAACUUGGUUGGAGUCAGGGGUAGAUUUUUCUUUCUCAGCUCGGGUAUCUUUUAACCAUCCAUCAAGGUAAACUUGUUUGGAGUCAGAGGUGGGUUUUGUUUUCUCUGCUCGGGUAUCUUUCAACCAUCCAUCAAGGUAAACUUGAUUGGAGUUAGGCAUGGACUUUUCUUUCUCGGCUCUGGUAUCUUUCAACCAUCCAUCAAGGUAAACUUGGUUGGAUUCAGAGGUGGAUUUUGCUUUCUUUGCUCUGGUAUCUUUCAACCAUCCAUCAAGGUAAACUUGGUUGGAGUUAGGUAUUGACUUUUCUUUCUCAGCUCUGAUAUCUUUCAACCAUCCAUCAAGAUAAACUUGGUUGGUGUCACCUGUAGAUUUUGCUUUCUCAUCUCGAGUAUCUUUCAACCAUCCAUCAAGAUAAACUUGGUUGGAUUCAGAGGUGUCUUUUGCUUUCUUUGCUCUGGUAUCUUUCAACCAUCCAUCAAGAUAAACUUGAUCAGAGUCUUGGGAGGAUUUGGUUUUCUCUGCUCGUGUAUCUUUCAACCAUCCAUCAAGAUAAACUUGGUUAGAAUUAGCAAUUUGUUUUUGACUCUUCAAUGGAUUUUUGAGCCAACCAUCAAGGUAAGGUUGAUCAGCUUGUAUUUCUUCUACAUUCUCUUGCUGAAGUUUGAUAUAUCGGGCAAAGCUUCCUUGUCCAUUCUACGAUACAAUUGAAUAAAUGGAUAUUAGUGAGUUAUUUUUGGAUGGUAUAUAUGACUAUAAAAACAAAAUUAUGUGUUUUAUGAGACACAUUAUGUUGCACAGGUAAGACACAUUCAUUAUAUAUUUCAUAUGAAUACAAAAUGUGAAAUAAAAAUGAAAGAAAAACAAUUUUUUUUAAUUUCAUUACCGCAUAGAAAAUAUUAUUUUAUCAAAUCAAAUAGAACAACUUGAUUGUAAGUGAAUGAUGAAAUCAAAUCAAAUAAAGAUGAGAAAUGAUAGAUUGUGAUAAAUAAAUGAUGAAAAAUAUAAGCGUAAAAGAUACAAGAAUGGAUGCAAAGUUAGUAAUUUACAAUCAACAAGAGCAUGAUAAAAGGAAGGAGAGACAAAAUAUCUUUUUGUGUCAUUUCUUUAUGUUAUGAUUUUGUGGGGAAAUUAUUUUAAUGUGAAAAGAUGUAUUGAAAUGGAAGUGAAUUGGGCUAUUUAUAAGUGAAUGAAAAGAAAAACUACAUUAAGGACAUUCAGACUUUGGUUGGCCAAAUUACUUUUUAAAUAUUUAGUUUAAUUUAUUUUUUAAAUGUUUAGUUUAAUUUAUAAGUUUAUGUGUCUAAAAAGGAUCAAUUUACUAAGAUUUAUUUUUUCCAAGAUCUAUUAGGUAUUAGGUGAGUUGUUUUGAGUUAUUAAAAAAAUUUAAAAAAUUGUUUGUUUGACAUCAUUUUUUUAAUUAGAAGUUCCUAACUAAAUUCUUUUAGUUUAAAAUAAAUAAAUUUUAGAAAAGCUACUGCAAUUAGUUUUUUAUUUUAAAAUUAAAAUUGAUUUUCUAAAAAUCUUUAAUAAAAAUAUAUUAAAAUGACAAAGGUGAUUUUUUAAAUGUUAAACAAACAUUUGUUUUAAUAAGAUAUUUCAAUUAAUUUAAAAUUUCAUAAAUUUAUUUUAAUUUAUAGUUGAAGUGGUAAUUAUCAUAAUCUCGCCUCUUGAGUUCUAAUAUUUGAGCUAAUAGUAUAAAUAUAUUUUAGUUGAAUUAAAAUUUGCAGUAAUGAUAGUGUCAAUUUUACAAUUAAUUAAACUAAUUUAAUAAUUAAUUUUAUUAAAGGUAAUAAAUGUAAUGAAUUAAUUUAACAACAUCCCUUUGAUUCGGGAUGGGUGCAGGAAUUCCCAGACAUUCAAAUUUAUAGACUAAAAUCUGAAGACUAGUAUAUAGACUAAAAUAUUUAUGUUUUCGUCUUAUAUGUUUUUUAUUAAUAUUUUAAUACAAAUAUUUAUUAAUUUAUUUAAUAGUAAUUAUAUAUUAUAAACUUUAAUUUUUGGAAAUAACUAUUAUUUAAUAUUUUAUAUUUUUUUAAUAAUUAUUAUUUUAUAAAAUUAAUUAUAAAAAAUAUAAUAUUUUAAUUUUAUUAUCAUCAAAUAUACACGAUAUCAAAAUUAUCGAAACUUGUAACAAGUCAGAUGAGUAUACAUCGUGAAUCAUGAAUCUUCUGCUACCAACUCCUAGGGUCUCACUACAUAGCCAACAAUGAAUCCAAAAUAGUCUCACAAGAAACUUGUAAAAAGUCAGAUGAGUAUACUGUGUUGACCAUUACAUGUUUAAGAUGUUCACAUGUAGCUAGGGUUUGCUUGCUUAUGUGCUUAUGUAGUAAGUUAAAAGUUUGUAGUUAUCUAAAAAGCACUACAUUAUUAUAUUGCUAUUAUAAUAAAAUAUUAUCUAAAAAAGCAAUAAAUUAUAAUGAAUAUAUUUUCAUUGUUUUUAUUUUUAUUUAAAGAAUAUAAAUAUCUUUUAAAUUAAUGAUAAAUAAUUGAUUUUAAAUGUGAUGACGGUUUAUAUCCUAAUCUAAAAAAAUAAAUGAUAAAAUGUGAAUAUUUAUAUAUAAAAUUAAAUAUUUAUCUAAAUAUGUAGGUCAGUCCACAUUUAUUGUAAAUUUUUUAACUAAGAUUUUAAUAAUAAAAAUUAGAAUAAUGGUAUUCCUACGACCCUAUUUAAAUGAUCAAAUAUAUUUUUAAUUUUUAAUAAAAAAUAUUUAUAUAAAAAUAUUUUUAUUUUUAAUAUUAUUUUUAUAAUAAAAAUAUAAAAUCUGGCACAAAACAAUUUUAUAUUAAUAUAAAAAUAUAGAUUAUAAAUCACAUAUUUCACUUAUAAUUUAUUAACUAAUAAAAUACGUAAUAUUAAUCAAGUUAUGAUAUUAAAAUAUGAAAUACAUAAUUUGCUUAAUUAUUAAUUAUUACAUUUUAUAUUUUAAUGUCGGAAUUUGGUUAUAUUAUGUGUUUUAUUAAUUAAUGGAUACAAUAAUAAGUAAAAUAUAUGGUUAAUCACCUGUAUUUUUUAAUUAAUAUAAUAGUAAAAUUGGUUAAUAAAAUUGGUUAAUGAUAAACUUUAUACUUAUAUUAUAAAAAUAAAUCAAAAAUGAGUUUAAACAACAUAGGAAAAAGGGAACCGAUACUUGAAUAUAGUAUCUCAAAGACCGUUGAAUUAUUGUUAACCUACUGGAAUCAAAUUGGGGGUUUAUAUUUGAUUCAGAAUAAUUGAUUAUAAAAUAAACUGAUCUACUGAUUUGAUUCCUACCUAUUAUUGAUUAUUAUAGCACGAAUGAAAUUGUAAGAAUUAUGUUUCCUAUUUGUUGAAUUAAGCAAUCAGUUAAGAUUAAAGUGAAUUAUCGGAUGGUAACACGCAAUUAAAAUUGGGGAACAAUAAAUCAAUCCAAUUACACUAAACUACUAAAUUUUGGAUAUAAAAUUUGGUGUAGGAAUAUAAAUGUUCUAAAAAUUAUGAGUGCAAUAUUUAAAAUUAAAAAAAAAUUGAGCUUUAUAAGAUGUAAAAUUAUUUAUUAAACUCUCUUAAUAAAUUUACUAUUAUGAUAAUUUAUUAUGAUAAAUAAUAUUUCAAAUAAGAAGAAAUUGAGAUUUUUAAGAUGUAUAAGUAUUUAUUAAAUUAUUAUAAACCAAUUCAAUUGAUAGUUGUUCAGGAAGAUAUAUGUACUGCAACAGAUACUGAUUCGAACCUGUGAUAUCUCACUUAUUUUCUUUUAAAGGAUGAAAUUCUAGUCAUUAGAUUAAAGAAAACAACAACAAAAUCUUAUUUCACCAUAUGAAAUUGACUACAUAUAUCAACUUUCACACUAAUAUUUUAUCAAUCACCCUAUUUUAUAGCCAUUAGAUUAUUUAAUCAAAAUUAUUCAUAAUAAAUUUCAUUUGAUAUUUAUUUUUUAAUAGAUAAUAAAGUAGAUAUAUUUAAUUUUUAUUAAAACAUUAUUAUUGAAACAUUAUUGAUAUUAAAUAUGACUUUAUUAAUUUUAAUUUUGAUAUAAUUAAUGGAUAUAAGUAUCGGCUCAAGAGAUAUCAAAGCCUUGGCAAAUUUUUAACAAAGAUUUUAAUAAUAAAAUUAUGAGUGUAAUAUUUAAAAUAAAAAUUUGAGCUUUUUAAGAUGUAAAACUAUUUAUAAAAUUAUUAUAAUAGUUUAUUAUUAUAAUAAAAAUAUCUAAAAUAAAAAAUUAAGUUUUUUAAAAUAUAAAAUUAUUGAUUGAAUUAUCAUAAAUCGAUUCAGUUUCUAUUUAUGCAAGAUGGGACAUCCAAUUGUUGGGGCACGAAUUCGACCCACAGCAUCUCACUUUUUUAUCUCGGGAAAUUCCAAUCAAUAAAUUACUUGAUCUAAAAAAAAUCAUAAUAAAUCUUAUUUGUAUUUAUUUUCAAUCAAAUAUAUUAAUCCUUAAUGAAACCUUAAACAUUAUUGAUUUUAAAAAAAAUUAUUAACUUUAAUUUUAUACCAUUAAUAGAAGGACUAUAUACUGGAACGAAUUAAUAUAUUUUCAUUAUUCUUAUUUUUAUUUAAAAAAUUUAAAUAUUUUUUAAAUUAAUAAUAAAUAAUUGGUUUUAAAUGUGAUGGAGUUUAUAUCUUUACCCGAAAAAAUAAAUGAUAAAAUGUGAAUAUUCAUAUUAAAAAUUAUGAGUGUAACAUUUAAAAUAAAAAAAGUUGAUCUUAAAAGAUAUUAAACUCUUUAUAAAAUUAUUAUAAUAGCUUUAGAUUAAUUAAUAUGCACCGUUAAUAUCGUAUUAUUAAUAUGCUCGUCUGUCCGCUUUUUUUAAUGUGCACAGCGUAGAGGAAAAUAAAUAUUUGUUUUCUUUUUAUGAGGUUUUUACUCUAGGUCGCAUUAAAAAUAAUAUUAAUACAUUUUGAAAACGGUAAAUAAAGAUAUUCAAAAUUAUAUCGAAACAUGCAAAGUAAUAUUGAUACCGAACAUGAAAUCUCUAUUCGAAGUAUUUUCUUUAAGAGGAAUGCCGAACAUGAAAUCUCUAUUCGAAGUAUUUUCUUUUUCCCUGCAAUUGUUUUCCGUAGUAAAGAAAAAAUGUAAGACUCUUAAAUUAGACUUUUUUUAAAGAAAAAGAUAGUAAAAAUAAUAGUAAGUAGUGUAAUAUAGCUUUUGCUUACCUUAUAAAGAUUCGAAUCAAUUCUUCGUACAUCCCUUUAUCAAUGCGCUCUUGAGAUUUAAAAAACUACAAAUACAUGAUGAAAUGUCAUAUUAUAAAAGAAAUACAUUCAGAACACUUGACUCGUUUAAAUAUAAUAUGGUUUAUUGCGACUCAAAUAAUACCUGGAGAAUGAAGAUACUUUGUUUUAGUCUAGAUUUCGUAGAACAACAAUUAUGACUUGUUUCUGAAUUACCUGGAUUUCUGGUAAAUAAGGAAAACAAUGGAGUUAGUAAAUAUAUAUGGUUUUAUUUAUAUAAACCACAAAUAGCAGUUAAAUUCAUGCAUUCAAAAAUAAUCUAGAGUAAAUAUAUUCUUAAAUGAAUUAAAUAAAAACCUCUCCAUCCUUUGAGAUAUUAUUUCUCUUUUCACCAUUUUCCAAAGUUGUGUUUUAUCUGUUAUCACCGUGGAGCUCCAACCGAUGGAGUAAAUUUUCAAACGUUUGACCUGUUUCAAUGAGGAUGAUAAAAAUGUUAGUGAAAGAGUGAUGAAAGUGCAAGAAUUUUUUCCAUACGUAUUACGGAAAAGAUAAAUACACCUUAUUGUCGAGUUUGCCGAUGGAUGAAAUACUUUGUUCAUCCUUCCACGUGUUCCAUUUAUCUUCAAAGUCUGUUAUCUAAAAUUUAUUGCAUAAGAAUAGUGAGAAUAACUAUCACCCCAUUUAUAUCUAACAUAAAAGCAUAAAAUAAAUGAUUAAGUAUAACUUACUUUCAUGUCGAAGCAAGUUUCAACAUUCUUUCGUCUCAACUCCCUACAUAAUUGGAAGAUUUCAUCGUGUUCUAGUUUGGCUGUAUAUUAAAGCAAAAGAAAAUUAUAUUUAGUUAUUAUGUAUCUAUUCUAUGAUAUAAAUAAUACAAUAUAAGCUUGGUAUGUCAUGUAACCAAAAUGGGAAUCAACGUGUGAGCAAUUUUUUCAAUGUACUUAAUAAAUACCUGCGGGUGCGAUAAAAGAAUUUGUUUGUAGACUAUAUUUUUUGUGUAGUCACCAUCUUCUCCUUUCAAUUUUCCUUUCCUGGUUAAAACUCUUGUUGUAGUCUGUGAAACACCCCUGGAUAAAGCCACAUAUAACUGUCCAUGACUAAAAACAUGUCGUGGAAGAAUAUUCCAACAUUUGGAAUGGUUUGUCCUUGUGAUUUAUUUAUUGUAAUUGCAAAACUUAGUCGCACAGGAAACUGCUUUCUACUAAGGACAAAAGGCAGUCCAUCACUUGCAGAUGUUUUUAUUUUAAUUCUAGGCAAAAAAGCACGUUUUCCUGCGUUGCUUCCUGUCAGGAUUUCCACAUCCAACAUAUUCAUAAAUAAACCACGACAUAAUAACCGGGUCCCAUUACACAAUCCAUAUCUAGGAUCUAGAUUUCGUAACAACAUCAAUGGUGCACCCUUUUUUAUCUUUAGAAUAUGAGGUGGCAAAUUACCUUGUGCAAUUGAGUUUAAGAAUUCUUGCUGGUAUAAAUUAUGAUUAUCUCCUUCAACCUCGUCAAACGAUAACAAAUUAUGUUCUUCUUCUGGAAACUGAUCGAUAAUCAUAUCAUUCAAUUUCUGGACAUCAUCAUUUGUUGGUGUCAAAAUAGCUCUUUGUAUCAUAUAUGGGGCAUCCCAACCAUGCAAUUAUAGAUCAGGAAAAAUAUGUUGGAUAAGUACUUGUAUGGAAUGUUCACCUUCCCAUGGGAUUGCAAUAUGUAAAGGUAACCUCACCAUGUCAUCUGGUUUGGUAGGUUCUACACCAUCACCAAUGCGAAUAAGAAAUUCUGCAAACUCUUGAUCAUGCAAUGAUCGCAUAUUUUGACGCAAAUGCAAAAUCUUGGUAUGAUUCCAUAAAUGAGACUGAACAAUACACGCUGAAAUCAUUUGUGCCUUAGUACCUUUUCUUACAACAGGAAGAACUUGACGAAAAUCCCCCCCCAUGAUCAGAACUUUUCCACCAAAUGGAGCACUGUUGCUACAAAUGUCUUGUAAUGAUCGAUCUAAGGCUUCCAAACAAUUUUUGUUUGUCAUUGGUGCUUCAUCCCAAAUUAUUGCGGCAACAACUCUAAUGAGAUUUGCAAGAUCCUUUUGCUUUUGAAUACCACAAAUGGAACUCGGUUGAAUAUCAAUAGGUAUCUUAAAUCGAGAGUGUGCAGUCUUACCACCGGGUAACAAUGUUGCAGCUAUACCAGAUGAUGCAGUUGCUAAGACAAUUUCUCCUCUACUUCUUAAACUUGCCAUUAAUGUUCUAUAAAGGAAUGUUUUACCUGUUCCUCCUGGACCAUCAACAAAAAAUACCCCACCGUGUUUUUGAACAAUUACAUUCAUAAUGGUGUUGAAUGCAAUCAUUUGAUCAUUAUUUAACUUAGCAAUAUAUUCAAUAUCUUCAUUGGGGAUAUCGAUCGCUAACUCCUCUUGUAUGAUACUUGGAACUGCACCUCUGUAUAUUGUAUCAGGGGGUAAAGAUGGGAGAUCAUAAUCUUCAAUCUUUUUACCGUGCAGGUUUAAGAGUUCAUUCAAGUCCUUCAACAACAUAUUAGUUAAGUUUGAUUCCACAACAUUGUUAGCUAUUUGAUAAUCCUCUACCAUAUAUGUAAAAAACUCAUUCCAAAGGCCUCUAACAUCAGUAGGUUCACAAAAUAUUAAAAUCGUCACGAAUAACCUUCGUAAAGCAUAUGGCAUUCGGAGACUCGUAGCCUCAACCAAACAAUCACGAAUACUAUGAUCAGUCUCUAGAAAUCCCCUAUCCUCGGCUGAUUUUUUGAAUGUACUGAAAGUCAUGCCAUUAUUUGUAAGAAGAUAUUCCCAACUGGUUGGACCUAUGACAUGCGAUAACAACAGUCGCAAGUAAAACUUAUCUCCCUCCGAAGGUGAUACCGUAUAGAUUCUCCCGAUAACUUUUCUUGUUGAUCGCCUACGAUGCCAUUCCAUAUCCCGCUUGUUCCAACAAUAAUGCUCUGGAAUCUCUCUAUACAGAUACUUUCUUGCUUGUGGAUCUCGUAGAUUCAAUGCAAAGAAUUGUGUGAGCAUUGUUUUGGAGUUGCGUUCAUUAUUUAACACAUCUGCAAUUUGCUGAUAAUCAUAAAAGCGCACUUGAUGGCGGUUCGACAAGUGGAUCUGCAAUCUUUCAACCGAAGGAUAUAAUCGGUAAAGACUGAAUCGAAAUAUUUUCCAUAAUGCCUCGUGUCACAUUACGCGAAAAACCGGUGGGAAAAUGAAACAACAGAGCCGCCACUGUGCGUUAUUUAUCCCAAAAGAGGGAAAGGAAACGCUCGAAGUAAACCUGGAAAAGACAUGGUCUCGCGACUAGAGAGAGAUGGGAUCGGGAGUCGGUUAUACGAAGGGAAGGUAUUAGCACCCCUACGUAUCCGUCGUACUCGACGGGAUCCACGCACAAAAGGAAGGAUAAGGUUGCUAAAACCUGAUCACAAACUGCACACACAAGGCUGAAAAGAGACACAGAAAGACAAAAGAAACUAACUCGGCAGGAUAUCGCAUCCUGGGCCUACGUAGCCUGUCAGACACAGACAUCAGAGUCGACGUAGUUCGGGACGGGGAAAACGUGCUCGCUAGGAUGUCGCACCCUAUGCAUACGUAUCUUCUCUAACCAGAGAAGAAUCAGAGCACUCGUAGCUCGGCUAACGCACGCCAAACAAAACACAAACAGGAAACCGACUGCCAAUCGCUGGACUUACGUCAGACUCCACACAAACAGACAAACAUGGAAACCGAAGGCCAAUCGCUGGACUUACAUCAGACUCCGAACCAAUAAACACACACAGGAAACCAACUGCCAAUCGUUGGACUUAUGUCAGACUCCAAGCACACGACAAACAAACACACAGGAAACCGACUGCCAAUCGCUGGACUUAUGUCAGACUCCUACACAACACAAAGGGGUUGAAAAAGAAAAAGGGCGCCCGGAGAGAUCAGCUCAUGUCCUGCCUACGUACCUUAUCUGGUAUGAGGAUCAGGGCGACGUAGUUCCCCUACGCAGGGAAAGAACUUCUAACCUAACCAGAGACUUGGAAAUGACAAACUAGAAGGGAGACUGACUCGAGCCUAAUAGUUAUCAUGUAAAUUCACCAUGGUCCUAGGUUGAGGUUUCUAUCUAACUUGCACAGGGAUCAAGCUAUCCUAAACAGCACAGGUAAAUACAUACAAGCACAAAAAGCAAGCACACACACUAUAUGCACACAAUUGGGCUCAUACAAGGUUAGGCUGUGAAACACAAGCCAACUGGAAUCGGGUGUAGUUAGCUCUUAACCCUAACAUUGAGAGUUAGGGUGAAGCAGAUGAAAUGGGAAGUGAGGGUAAGACCUCACAGCUCUUAUCCCUGGCCUGGGAGAGCUUCAGACAAAUGAAAGUGUGGGAGUUCAGAAAGUAGGAACUCUUCUCCACAUAUGACUGACACAACAAAGAUCUUGGGCUAUUAUCCACAAUGCAUCAACACAAGGUGUGUGAGCAAAGUGAAUGACACACUGAAUAGCAGGAGAUGGAUUACACAUCUCUUUUAUCUGCCAAUUGCCUCAUAAGAGGACUUUUCCUGCUUGGCACAAAAAUAAACAAACACAAGCAUUGCCUCUUAAGGAGGGCUUCAGACAGGUGCCUGCCCACAUAACAGGACAGGUCUUCCAGACUACAUGAAGUCAGUGAGUUAUACCUCAAUGGUUAAGCAACCAAGCAAAGCAAAAGCAAGUUCAAAAGAACUCAAAGCAACUUAGGUACCUGAAAAAAAUCUAACCCAAUCAGUAUACAAGUCAAACAAACAAACAGACAGUCAAUCACACAAUCAGACAGAUAAGGCAUUAAGCAACAAUGUGCAAGCCACAAGCCAAUGGGCACAACACAAAUAACUUGGCAUCAACCUACAAAACAACUCAAGGUUAGUCAACAUUUAAAGCAAACAUCAAUGCUCAAGUGAGUGAACCACUUCAAUCAUAGCAAUGUGCUUCUUAACCUGAAAUGCACAACCCAAACAGUGAGUCCAAACCACUAGGUCAAGGCCUAGGGUCAAAGAUGGAGAAAAAAUUCAAAACAGAACAUGAAAUUUAACAUGAAUCAACUUCAAUCACAUCUUGACACAAUCCAAAAGGUCUCAUAUCAAUAUCAUUAACCAAAAGCAUUUCAUGAAUCAAACAUGGCAAGGUAUGCAAAUUGUGACCACAUUGUGACAUCAGAAUGAAUAAAUGCACAUUAAAUAAAAAAUGAUUCAAAUAAUUUUGGAAAAAUUCAUGAGUAAACAGGACAUACAACAUGAUCAUCACACAAAAAAUUAGGAGCAUUGGACAACAUUAGGCAUGGUAAUCACAUUGCAUAAGUCAAGGCAAGCAUAACAAGCACAUGUGUGACACAAAAUGUCAUACCAACUUAGCAUAGGCCUAAAACAGAGAUGGAUUAUGGUAAAAACCUCAAACCAAAGUCAAAACACCACUCAAAAUGUCUAGAACUAGUGUGCAAAGUUUCACAUUCAUUGGAUAAGGAACAGGCAUUUCACGAUCAAAUGAAGUUCAAGGCAUUUUGAAAACUCAAAUAUGACCGUCCAGAAGGAAAAAUCUCAAUUAAAUCAGAAAUGAUCCCAAAAAUUCCAACCAAAAUCAUGAGCAAUCACAACAUCCAUAAUGUGCAUCAUACAAAAAAUCAGGACAAUUGGAUAUCAUUUAGCAAGGCAAACACAUCACGUAAGAUGAACAAGCAAAGGUGUGACACAAAUUGUCACACCUACCUUAACAUGAUCAUAAAACAGCAAUGACACAUGAUAAAAAUACCAAAUCAACACCAUAAUUUCAAGCAAAGUGUCAAGUUUAAGCAUGCAAAAUUUCAUGAGCACUGGACAAGAAUCAAGCAUUUCACAAAUGAUAUGGCAAGGCAAUGUCAUGAAUGGACAUGUAUUCAAUCUCCUUAGGCAAAAUAAUUUUCAGGCCAGGCACAAUUUAUGGAAAAAUGAUGAUAAAAUAGUAGACAAAAAAUGCAACAUGAUGCAAAAAACCUCAUAAUUUUUGGAUGAUUUUUCAAUUAUAUAUGAAUUUUUAAAGAUGGAGAAAAAUUAAAAAAAUGAUGAAGCAUAGCAUAUGAAUGAAUGGAGGGAAAUGAGAAAAUCAGCAUGGCAUUUGAAAUAAUUGCAUUGGCACGGAAUCGAACUGAGUAGCAUUUUGAAUGUGGCGCGCUCAAAAAUUAAUGAAACUCAGCGUUUCAUUUAAUACGUGGCCGGUCAAAGGUGAUUGUGCAAGGUCAAAGGUUUCUGAGCGAACCAAAACGCCAUGCGUGCAAUGAGGUGGACCAAUACAUGCGCAUCUCUUAACAAACACAUGCAAAGCAUAAAAAUUCGCAGGAAAUCAUGAACGUUGCAAGAAAAUUCGCAGGUAACUGGAAAAACUGAAGAACAUAUGAAGAACAUAUGAAGAACACGAUGAAGAUCAUGAAGAUCUUCAUCCAAUUUUUUCCAGAAAAUUCCAAAAGUUCCAGAAAUUAACAUUGAGCAUAUCAACAUGUAGAUCUUGCAUCAUACAUCAACAAUCAACAAACAUUUCAUCAAGAAAUCAACAAACACGCAUGGAUCGAAGAUAAAGAGUUUCAUCAUCAAAAUUUUAAACAAUCGUAUCUCACUCAAUUAUGCAUGGAAUUCAAUGAUUUAAAGCUCAGAUUAACCAGCAUUAAGAGAUCAACAACAAUAGCAUAAGAAUUUUGAGAAAGGAGAGAAUCAAUUCAUGACCUCUUGAAGAGCAGCUUUGGAAUUCGCUUGAUUCAGGCUUUGGCAAUGCUCAAAAGUUCUUCUAUAACACUUGUAUGGAUGAUUGGAUGAAGAAUUGAAGCUUAAUUGUGCACGAUCUCUCCAAAAUCAGAUUUCACCAUUGAUGCUUCCAAGCUUCGAGCAUGCUUCAAACUGCACUGAUUCUCUUGAUUCUUCCUUCAAUCUUGCUCAAAGUUGCUUCCAGAUGAUGAAUCAAGUAAUGGAUUAUGAUUUGUUUGAAGAAAUUGAGGGAAAGUUUUGAGAGAAAAUUUGAGAAUUGUAGAUCUAGAUCUGAAAUUUGUGAGUGUUGUUAGUGCAAAACAGUUAGGGUUUUCCUCUUAUACCUCUCCCUAAUCACUCUUUUAAUCAUGCUUAAGAAAAUGGUUAAGUGGAAUAGCAAUUUGGAGUGUAAAUGCAAAAUUUGUUUUUCACCCUAUGCAUGAAAAUCAUGAAUGAACAGUGCACGAAUUUAUUUGAUUUUCACUCAAAAUAUCAUUUUGGAGCCAAUGGUAAUGGUAGAAUGUGUGAAUAAUGCACCAAAUUUAAACUUUAAUUUUUCCCUCCAAAAAACAAGUGAAUUACCAAAUGUUCAUGUGAUGAUAAUGCAUGGCAUGUAAUGCAAGAUUUGGAAACUAGAGGUCAAAAUAAGAGCAAUGCAAAAAGAGCCAUCCAAUUUGGAGUUUUGGUUUGAGAGUUAUGCCCAUUUGAAGUUCAAACCAUACUUUGCCAUGAUUUGAUCAUAUCUCCUUAACCACACAUGAGAAAUUCUUGAUCUUGGACUUUUUGGAAAUGGGAGAGAAAUAUCUACAACUUUCAUGUUGGACAAAAUUUCAUUUGAAGCUUCCUUGAUGAUGUAAUCUUGAGUUGAAAACCUUUCCAUUUUUGGCAAAUUCAAAUUAUAGGUCACCUGCUAUUUUGGGAAAGUUUUGAUCUGACCUCAAAUCCUUCAAUGUUGAUGUUUGAAAUGUCAAAUAAGACUUGUUCCCACAUGAAUGAGACAUCUCUAACCAUCUCCCACCUCCAAAUCCACAAUUGAACUAACAGUUGACUUCUGUUGACUUUUUAGGGUUUCAGAUGAUUUGCACAUUGACUGAUGAUCUCUGAACCUCCAAUUCUUGGCCAAAUCACUUCAAAAUGAUCCUUAGGUCACAUGAACCCAUUGUACCAACCCUAGGGCUUUGAUUCCAUAAAAAAUGCACUUGCUUGCUUGCACAGUUAAAUCUCUUGACCAGUCUUGCCUGAUGACUUGAUGGACUAUGCAAUAAACAAUGCAAUGUUUAUGACCUAAAAUGAAAAUGCAUAUACAAAUGGGAGGUGCAAAUUUGAGGUGCUACAGCUGCCCCUAUUCAAUCAACUGGGAACCCGAACGGAUGAGAGCAACGGCUGUCAGACCUUUAGGGUAAACAGGGAUUGAAUACCAAAGAACCGUAGAAAUUUGCACUCUGCGGGGUAUGAUACAGGAUACUUACAACAGUAACCAGACAAGACGUUUACCGACGACUCUACUGGGGAUUUUGAUUUUUCAUCAAGGGAAAGAUACAACCAAACGUCAACGGACGAAUGGGAAAAACUCAACGUUUGUCGACACCAACGGAGAGGUGACCAGACAUUAACGAAUGACUGGGAAGGACUCGACCAUACGUCAACGGACGAACGGGAGAAGCUCGACGUUUAUCGACACCAACGGAGAGGUGACCAGACAUUAACGAAUGACUGGGAAGGACUCGACCAGACGUCAACGGACGAAAGGGAGAAACUCGACGUUUAUCGACACCAACGGAGAGGUGAACACUUCACUGGGGAAGAAAAACAGAUACUAGCAGCUGGAAACCAAAUAGGACGUUUACCGACGACUCUACUGGGAAUCUUUGGCUGGGGAAUUACCAGACAUUUACCGAUGACUGGGAUGAGACUCGAUGUUUAUCGACAUCGAAAGAUGAUGUUUACCGACAUCAAACAAAGACUACCAGACAUUUACCGAUGACUGGGGAAUAGUAUGUGCAACCAGACGUCAACGGACGACCAGGCAAAAACUCAACGUUUAUCGACACCAACGGAGAGGUGAACUUACUGGGGAAAAGGCUAAACACAACCAAACGUCAACGGACGAUCGGGAAAAACUCAACGUUUAUCGACACCAACGGAGAGGUGAACAAACAUCAACGAAUGACCUGUGGGGAAGAUACAACUAGACGUCAACGGACGAAUAGGAAAAACUCAUCGUUUAUCGACACCAACGGAGAGGUGAACACUGCACUAAGAGAAAGAUGUUACGAACAUCGAAAGAUGAUGUUUACCGACAUCAACAAAGAAGACCAGACAUUAACGAAUGACUGGGGAUGGACUCGAUGUUUACCGACACCGAAAGAAUGGUGUUUACCGACACCAAAGAAAGAACACACGCGGGUGUUGACAUGACACUUACCGGUAUCACAUAUGUCGAGACAAGGCUAAACACUUGCUGGGGGAUCUCACUGGGGAGAAUCAAGCUUUCCUUUCACGGACGGUUGGAGAAAUAAACCUCUCUGGGAAGUCAUCAAUCCUGAAUGCUGUCAGGAGCAACUGUAGCAAACAUGCUGUACAGGUGUUGAACAAUGAUCCGGCUCUGCCGGGGAUAUGGUCCAAUCGGGUUUGACAUAUGAAUGCAUAUGUUUGAAUUUUUCUAUGGCGUAAUGCUCCAUAUUGAAUGGAAAUGCUACGCGUUUUGAGGAUGCAAUGAUCACUACAUGCAAAAUGCAAAUGAUGGACUCCUGCUGGGGGAGACUCUGAUAAGAUACUCCAACUCUGUGGGGAGACUCUGUCUGAGGAAUACUCUACGGGGAGUAGCAUCGACUUCUCACUCCUGCUGGAGAAUAGCAUCGCUGCUGGGGAAAGGAUCCCAAUCCACUCGGGGACUCUGCUAGGGAAACAAACAAAGCGACUUCGCUGGGGAUAGCUGCCAAUCCAAUCCACAGGUAGGGGAAAGGAUCCCAAUCCACUCGGGGACUCUGCUAGGGAAACAAACAAAGCGACUUCGCUGGGGAUAGCUGCCAAUCCAAUCCACAGGUAAGAUAAACUCUGCUGAAGAUAAUUUUCUGGACCUGAUCCACUCGGGGAACCUGCUGGGGAAAACCAUCAACACAAACCUCUACUAAGGGAACACAUCACAACCCUGAUGGGGACAGGCAUUCACCACUCUGCUGAGGAAAAGCAUACUGUUGGGAAAAAAUAUACCAGACCACGCUGGGGAUAGACAUCCACGACCCUGCCGGGGACAAGCGUUCACGACCACGCUGGGGAUAGCAGUACUUCAAGCCAGACUGCUGGGGAUAAAACCACUCUACUGACACCUCCGCUGGGGAUACAACAUCCUUCCAAUCCGGUGGGGAUUAACAAUCUCUAGCUCUGUGGGGAAAUGCCAGCUUUCAGACUAGCUGGGGACUUAACAAUUUUUAGCUCUGCUGGGGAUAGAAGGCACUAUCCACAGACGUCUCUGCAGGGGAGAAAAAUAGUUCUGAUAGCCUCCACACUUGCUCGGGGAAACAGCCACCUCCAAGUCUGCUGGGGAAUCAACCGUGGCUUAACCGCUUCAGCCAGGAAAUCAAAAAGUAACAACCUGCAAAAUAGCACGACAAACAUGCCCCAUGGGUUGCAUAGACAAGAUACGCUCAAGUGUCCUCAACAUUCAAAAUGAUUUUCAAAUUUUUUAUCUUUCUGCACAUUAUUGUCUAGCCUUCAUGUUUUCAUAUGCAAUGUUUAUCAAAAAUUCGGACGUUUUUGCAAACAAAACAGUAAAAUAAAAAACAAGAGAGCAAUUUAUCUGAAUAACGACUUUUAUUGAUUGAAAAUGGGCCUGAAAAGGCGAAUACAUCGGGAGGCAAUUCCUAGAAAGAGGUAAUUGCGCACAAAAGGAAAAACCUAUCCUAAUGGCAAUGUGAACACGACAUCCACUAUUUCCCAAUUCUGUUAUAACUCACAGAUCAUCAGUUUCCUCCCAAGUUCCUUGCUUUCUGAGAAGAAUGAUUGGACCGAUCACAUCUUUGGAGAUGGUAGAUGCUGAAGCACGAUGAAGUACAGAUAACUCAGACUGUAGUCUUUGCUUUAAUCCCUCUUUUGCCUGGAUCGCCCUUUCGGGUUUUCAAUCCACCGGGAUACCCAUUUUUGCCUAAGCCGCCCUUGCGGGUUUUCGACUUACCGGGUGUACAAAUUCUUUUCAUUCUUUUAUCCCUAACUUUUGCCCGAACCUUUUUUUUUUUUGGUUCGCCGGGAUGCCCUUUUUUGCCUGGACUCUUUUAUUCUUUUUGUCCAGCGGGUCAAUUUAUGCGAAGUAUUUUUUGACUACAUCUGAGUUAACAGGGGACGGGAAAUCUUCACCAUCCAUAGUUGUAAGCAUCAAGGCUCCACCGGAGAAAACCUUCUUCACAAUAUAUGGACCUUCGUAAUUAGGAGCCCACUUGCCCCUGUUAUCUAUACCGGGAGGCAGGAUCCUUUUCAAAACCAGAUCACCAGUUUGAUAGCUUCGAGGACGCACUUUCUGAUCAAAGGCUCUCUUCAUCCUUCUCUGAUACAACUGCCCAUGGCAUACAGCUGCUAAUCGUCUCUCUUCGAUAAGGCUCAACUCGUUAAACCUUGUUCGAAUCCACUCGGCUUCAUCAAGCUUGACAUCUAACAAGACUCUCAGAGAAGGGAUCUCCACUUCAACAGGUAGGACAACUUCCAUACCAUACACAAGGGAGUAAUGGGUUGCCCCGGUCGACGUACGUACUGAAGUACGGUACCCAUGCAAAGCAAAAGGUAGCAUCUCAUGCCAAUCCUUGUACGUCACGACCAUCUUCUGCACAAUCUUCUUAAUAUUCUUGUUUGCCGCCUCUACAGCACCAUUCAUCUUCGGUCUAUAAGGAGAAGAAUUGUGAUGUUCAAUCUUGAAAUCUCUACAAAGUUCUUUCAUCAUCUUGUUAUUAAGAUUCGAGCCAUUAUCAGUAAUGAUCCUCUCAGGAACUCCAUAACGACAAAUGAUUUCCUUCUUGAUGAACCGGGCAACCACUUGUUUGGUAGCAUUAGCAUAGGAAGCUGCUUCCACCCAUUUGGUGAAGUAAUCAAUAACAACCAGGAUGAAGCGAUGUCCAUUAGAAGCAGUGGGCUCAAUCUUCCCAAUCAUAUCAAUGCCCCACAUGACGAACGACCAAGGCGAAUUCAUGACAUUCAGAGGGCUUGAUGGUACAUGCACCUUAUCAGCAUAAAUUUGACACUUAUGGCACUUCCGAGCAUACUUGAAACAAUCGGAUUCCAUAGUCAUCCAGUAAUAACCGGCUCUCAACAAUUUUUUAGACAUUGCAUGACCACCAGCAUGGGUACCAAAAGAUCCUUCAUGCACGUCUUGCAUCAACAUGUCUGCUUCGUGUCUAUCCACGCAUCUGAGCAGGACCAUGUCAAAGUUCCUCUUAUACAGCAUGUCAUCCUGAUUCAAAUAAAAGCUUCCAGCUAGCCUUCUCAGGGUUUUCUUAUCAUUCUUUGACGCACCUUCAGGAUACUCCUGGCUCUUGAGGAAGUUCUUGAUAUCAUAGUACCACGACUUUUCAUCAACAGCAGACUCGGCUGCAAACACAUACGCAGGCCUCUCGAGUCGAUUCACCGCAACAUGUGGCACAUGAUUCCACCAAUGAACUUUGAUCAUCGAAGACAAAGUAGCCAAAGCAUCAGCCAUCUGAUUCUCGUCUCGGGGGACAUGAUACAACUUCACCUUCUUGAAGAACGUCAGUAUUCUUCUGGUGUAAUCUCUAUAAGGAAUCAAAUGCAGCUGGUUGGUAUUCCAAUCUCCAUUGACCUGAUUGAUCACUAGAGCGGAAUCUCCAUAAAUGUCCAGAGUUUUGAUCCUCAGAUCAAUGGCUUCUUCUAUCCCCAUGAUACAAGCCUCAUACUCAGCCUCAUUGUUGGUGAUGUCAAAAGUCAAUCUGGCAGAUAAAGGUAUAUGAGCACCUUUAGGAUUGAUAAGCACUGCACCAACACCGUUACCGUUCAUAUUCACAGCCCCAUCGAACAUCAAUGUCCACUUUUCAUCAGGAUCCGGUCCUUCCUCGACAAGAGGCUCUUCACAAUCUUUCAUCUUAAGAUACAUGAUGUCUUCAUCAGGGAAUUCAAACAUCAUCGGCUGAUAAUCCUCGAUCGGUUGCUCGGCAAGGUAGUCUGACAGAAUACUACCUUUGAUGGCCUUCUGCGACGUGUACUGAAUAUCGUACUCAGUUAGAAUCAUCUGCCAACGGGCAACACGUCCGGUGAGAGCCGGCUUCUCAAAGAUGUAUUUCACUGGAUCCAUCUUAGAAAUCAAUAAGGUAGUAUGGUUCAACAUAUACUGCCUCAGUCGGCGAGCAGCCCAGGCCAAAGCACAACAAGUUUUCUCAAGCUGUGAAUAUUUGAUUUCACAGUCGGUAAACUUUUUGCUAAGGUAGUAUAUGGCAUGCUCUUUUCGACCAGACUCGUCAUGCUGUCCCAAUACACACCCCAUCGAGUUCUCAGUCACUGACAGGUACAUUAUCAGAGGUCUCCCUGGAACUGGAGGUAUAAGGAUUGGAGGUUUCUGUAAAUACUCUUUAAUCUUGUCAAAAGCUUUCUGACAAUCAUCAUUCCACUUGAUCGCCUGAUUCUUUCUGAGCAGUUUGAAAAUUGGUUCACAUGUGGCAGUUAGGUGAGAUAUGAACCUUGCAAUGUAGUUCAACCUCCCUAAAAACCCACGGACUUGCUUCUCCGUUUUCGGUUCAGGCAUCUCUUGAAUAGCUUUUACUUUUGCUGGAUCAACCUCAAUCCCUUUCUCACUGACAAUGAAGCCUAAAAGCUUCCCAGAUCUCACCCCAAACGUACACUUGUUUGGAUUCAGCCUCAGUUUGAACUUGACCAAUCUGUCAAACAACUUCUGCAAAUUAACCAGGUGCUCCUCUUCUGUCUGCGACUUCGCAAUCAUAUCAUCCACGUACACUUCAAUCUCUUUGUGCAUCAUGUCAUGAAAGAGAGUCGUCAUUGCCCUCUGAUAGGUAGCACCAGCAUUCUUCAGCCCAAAUGGCAUCACCUUAUAGCAGAACGUGCCCCAAGGUGUAAUGAAUGUCGUCUUUUCCAUGUCCUCUGGCGCCAUCUUAAUCUGAUUAUAGCCAGAAAAACCGUCCAUGAAAGAGAAAACCGAGGAUUGAGCCGUAUUAUCAACCAAUACAUCAAUGUGAGGUAAUGGGAAAUCAUCUUUCGGACUCGCUCUAUUCAAGUCCCGGUAAUCGACACACAUUCUAACUUUGCCAUCCUUCUUCGGCACGGGAACAAUGUUGGCCACCCACGGGGGAUAAGUGGUAACUGAUAGGAAACCCGCAUCGAACUGCUUCUAAACUUCUUCCCUGAUUUUAACAGCCAUAUCAGGACUCGCUCUGCGAAGCUUCUGCUUGACCGAAGGACACUCUUCUCUGAGAGGUAAUCUAUGCACCACAAUAUCGGUAUCCAACCCAGGCAUAUCUUGAUACGACCAGGCGAAUAUCUCCACAUAUUCUCUCAGCAUCUCAAUCAACCUGCUCUUGACAUCUUCCUUCAAAGCAACCCCGAUCUUAAUAUCUUUUCUGGCGUCCUCAGUACCAAGAUUAACAAUCUCCAACUCCUCCUGAUGAGGUUGGAUGACUCUCUCCUCCUGCUUCAACAAUCUGACCAAUUCUUUGGGGAGUUCACAGUCUUCCUCACUCUCCUCUUCAGCUUAGUAGAUGGGAUUAUUGAAAUCAUACUGAGCCAUAACAGAAUUGUUCAUAGUGGAUUCCGUGAGAUCACUUCUGCAUGUUUAAUGCUUUGUUUUAGAAAAAAGAAUUCAAGAAAGUCACAAAAAACAAAAACAUUGCCAUUUUUAUUGUUUUGAAAAAUGAAAACAAAAAUAGAAAGACAGGGAUCACAAAAUUGUUUGCAAAACGUCCUUUAUUAAUGAUAUCAUUGAAAAAACAUGAUGAGGCCCUACAAUGAACCACUACGCCUUGGGCAGAAAAUAGAAAGACAGGGAUCACAAAAUUGUUUGCAAAACGUCCUUUAUUAAUGAUAUCAUUGAAAAAACAUGAUGAGGCCCUACAAUGAACCACUACGCCUUGGGCAGAACGUAGGGUUUUGUGCAAAAUAAAAAACAAAAGAAAAUUACUCUGUUUGAAGAGUAACUUGGACCACAUCUUCUGCUGUCCAAUUGUUGAUCAACUCCCCUGGUGCACACGGGCGAACCCAGUUGUCUAGAUCACAAUCAUUGUCCCCGUCUUCACUACUGGUUGCAAAGACAUCACCGUGAUUCAUCAGCCCAGCGCUGGUAAAGGUACCCGGACCUGUCUGCACACCCUGCUCCGCCUGCAGAGGUUGAUAGCCAAUUCCGAACUUAUCUUCUUUGAUAGGAAAAUCCACCAUCUUGCCCCAGCCUUCAGCAUUACCAGAGUUGACAACCUCCAUUGCCUGCUUGUACGACACAUUUGAGGCACUUGGCUUCUUCUGCUCAGCAAAAGCCACCCUCUCAAGAGCAACGAUCUCAAAUGCCUGGCAUAAGGUUUCAUGGAUCUCGCCAUCCACCUCUACAUACUUGAAAGAGGAUAGGUGACUCACCAGAAUAUCUUCUUCACCGCAUACAGUCACAAUCUGACCGUUCCAGACAUAAACUUGAAAGAGGAUAGGUGACUCACCAGAAUAUCUUCUUCACCGCAUACAGUCACAAUCUGACCGUUCCAGACAUACUUCAACUUCUGGUGGAGAGUUGACGAAACUGCCCCAGCUGCGUGAAUCCAAGGACGCCCCAACAAACAACUGUAUGCAGGCUGUAUGUCCAUCACAUAGAAGACAAUACUGAACACCUCUGGGCCGAUCUUCACCGGCAAUGUGACUUCACCAAAAACAGACCGUUUGGAUCCGUCAAAUGCACGCACAAUCAGAUCACUCGGAGUGAGGAUAACCCCUUCAACAUCAAUCUUACCCAGAAUCUUCUUAGGCAACACGUUCAACGAGGAGCCAGUGUUUACCAACACGUGAGACAACACUGCCCCCUUGCACUCCAUGGUGAUAUGCAAGGCCUUGUUAUGGUUACGUCCUUCAGACGUCAGGUCCAAAUCUGUGAACCCCAAACCAUGCCUGGUAUUCACGUUAGCAAUCACACCCUCCAGUUGGUUGACAGAUAUCUCCUGAGGCACGUAAGCCAGAUUCAACAUUUUCAGCAAGGCGUUACGGUGUGCCUCAGAGCAUAUCAACAAUGAGAGUAUAGAAAUCUUGGACGUAGUCUGAUUCAACUGAUCUACAAUCUUGUAGUCGCUCUUCUUAAUUAUUUUCAUGAACUCCUCCACGUCUUUCUCAAACGAACCCUCAGGCGCCUCUUUCUGAGGUGGUUCUUCAUCAACCACAGCCUGUUUACCCUUAGCUUUGGCGAGAGCCUCAGCGUUAUUGUCUCUCAAAGGUUGCGGAGCAAACAAGCGACCACUUCUGGUAAAACCUCAGGGUCCCCCAACAUUAUCCACAACUGGACUUGCAAUCAUAGGAGUCCUACCAGUCACACCAAUUGUCACAGGAGACUGAUUCACUGGCCUGACCUGAUUUUCAGCCUUUCGGUUGCUGCGGUAAGCGUUGUCAUAUUUCCACGGCACAACCCUACUAUCAACAGCCCUUCUGCCCGAAGCAACGAUUGUAGUUGGAGUAUUGACGGUUAUAGGAACGGAAAUGGUAACAGGAGUACCACUAACUGUAGGCGCACUAACAACCCUCUGGCCACGUCCCUCAGACGGCUUGAAGUAAAUGGUGACGGUUGACACCACCCCACGAUCUUUAACAGCCCGACUGAACUGCAAGCAGCCCUCGUCAAUCAAAUCCUGUAUACCAGCCCUCAACUGUUCACAACCAUUUGCUGACCCGACACAAUCUACACAGCCCUCAUAAUAGCCCGGGAAUACGCCCCCAUUCAAUAGACGGUCCUUCACAACAAACAGCGAUGUUUGGACAUCCUCAACACUGACUACCAAGUCCUCAGCUUUACCAUCUUCCAAAUUGUUCACUCUGUGUGCAUCAUGCGCAGGCAUAGGAUUGUUCACAACAUUCGGCACAGGAGCAAAAUUGAUAGUUUUAGCAUCAAUUAGGUCCUGGACCUUAUGAUGAAAAGCCCUACAGUUCUCAAUGUGGUGCCCCGAUGCACCAGAGUGGAAAUCACAACGCACGUUGGCAUCAUACCCAGGUGGUAUUUUUGUCAACGGAGCCAUGGUACGUAAUUCCACGAAUCCUAAUCUGAGCAACUCAGGCAACAACUCAGCAUAGGUCAUUGGUAACGGAUCAAAACGUCGAUCAGGCAUCCUCUGUCUUGGCUGAUAAGGACGUUGCUGUUGUUGUUGUUGUUGUUGUGGCGGUUGUUGAACUCUCUGUUGUUGCUGUUGACGAGGUUGAGGCGCCGGAAUGGUCACGGCAGCAACCUGGCGAUACUGAUUUAUGUUGUUGUUGUUGUUGUGGCGGUUGUUGAACUCUCUGUUGUUGCUGUUGACGAGGUUGAGGCGCCGGAAUGGUCACGGCAGCAACCUGGCGAUACUGAUUUCUGUUUACAUUUCUUCUACCGUGUUGCACAACAUUGGUUUCACCCUCUCUCCGGCGAGGUGCCCCAGCAAAAGGUUUCUUGGAAGACGAGGAACCCACAUCCCGAAUCUUUCCAGCUUUGAUCAGGCUUUUUGUCCUCUCCCCACAGAUCACAACGUCUGAGAAACUACCGAAUGGGCAACUCCCCAUUCGGUCCAUGAAAACUCCCUGUAAUGUACCGAUGAACAUAUCAGUCAACUCCCUCUCCAGCAUAGGGGGUUGUACUCUUGCAGCCAAUUCACGCCACCUCUGGGCGUACUCCUUGAAGCUCUCUCCAGAUUUUUGACAAAGACUCUCCAACUGAGUCCGGCUCGGCGCCAUGUCCAUAUUAUGUUUAUACGUCCUUAAGAAGGCCUCACCCAGAUCUCUCCAGCAUCGGAUAGAAUCUCUCUUCAGUUCCAUAUACCAAUCCAAGGAAGCCCCGGACAAGCUAUCCUGGAAAAAGUACAUCCACAUUUUCUCGUCAUCUGUGUAAGUAGAGAUCUUUCUGUAAUAGGCCUGCACGUGGGUGCGAGGACAAGAAGUAUCGUUGUAUUUAUCAAAUGAGGGUGCUUUAAAUUUGUAAGGGAUCCUCAAACCUUCCACCAAACCCAUGUUGGUCACAUCAAACCCAAGGGAGUUCUGACAUUCCAUAGCUCGGAUUUUCUCAGCAAGGGUAUCAACUCUCCGAUCCCUCUCUUCGACUCUCACAACAUCAUCGUCUUCACUAAGCAGAGUGAACAUAUCUUCCUGCCUGUCAACAAGCGGAGCAGGAUGACGAAUCGGAGCCCGGGUAGCUCUGGCAUUAACAGUCUCUGCAGCAAGAGGCUGUCCAUUGAUUCUGAUACCCCUCAAUUCAUCCCCUACAGCGUAGUCAUUGGCGGGAGCAGCAGCAACAUUGUCAUGAACCGGGACACCCACUGGUGAAGCACGGUUGGACGGCGGAAUCACGGCUUCUUGUCUCUGGGCUAAGGCACGCAACUUCUCUUACCCUUGAACGACCCCUUGCAUCAUAGUCAUGAAUUGGGCCAUGUUAGCCCUCAUCUCAACCAAUUCUGCUUGAACCUGGUCCAUGUUCCUCUGAUGAUUCAAUCUGGUUGAGUAGCGUUGCGGUCGUUGAUCAGCUAUCCUGCCUGACACAGGAACCAGAGUGAGAAGUCACGAACAAGAACACCUGUUAUGCAAAAUGAUAUGUGUAUGAUGCGUGUGAUGCGUAUGCAGGUUAACUUCUCUUUUUCUAUGCAUUAUUAUUAUUAUUAUUAUUAUUAUUGAAAAUAAACAUGCUAUGAUGCAAAUGAUGGAGCCAUGACUGGUUGGCUGAGUAUCACGCGGCACGGGAUCAAAGCUUCGGCCUGAAUUCGGAACCGCAAAGUCAUCUGAGACCCAAAAUCAUCUGAGCAAGUACCCUCAAAUUCAGCCCAGGGAUCCGAAAUAAACGGAACCCUCUGAUCAAUACCAGGGUCAAACCUCCGGCGUCCAGAAAUAAAGAUCCAUAAAUCCAGCUUAAGGCCACCAACACAACAUCACUGGCAGAAACCUGUACUUGCAAGAAUCAAACCCUCCCCUCACAGGUGAAUUCUAACAAGGUCAUCCUAAGGCGGACAAUGGUCUCGAUAAUCGGGCAAAGAUACUCAAUGGGUUUGCCCUUUCGGGUGUGCCGUUGUAGCUCUCUUAAGAUCGUCUAAACCAAAGAUCCGGGAAAGAUCGGUCACAAAAGUCAAUAGCUCAGAUGAGAUAACCCAACCUGAGUGGAAUAACUCCAAACGGAAGGACUCUCUCAAAUGAACCUCGUCCGGCUGUGGUAUGUCACGUCGCAACAACAUGCUGAUACAGCAAGUGAGGAGACGUGAGACCACGCUAAUCCUAGGUGUAUACUCGGGCCUGGGUUUUAGCCCCACUCAGAACACCCACCCCAAAUCAGAGGAACCACCUGUACAGAAGACAGCACAAUGAUAGUAUGAUGCAUGCAAACAUUUAUGCAAAUAUAUACACAACAUAAUAACCAUAAAUGCAAUAAAUNNNNNNNNNNNNNNNNNNNNNNNNNNNNNNNNNNNNNNNNNNNNNNNNNNNNNNNNNNNNNNNNNNNNNNNNNNNNNNNNNNNNNNNNNNNNNNNNNNNNNNNNNNNNNNNNNNNNNNNNNNNNNNNNNNNNNNNNNNNNNNNNNNNNNNNNNNNNNNNNNNNNNNNNNNNNNNNNNNNNNNNNNNNNNNNNNNNNNNNNNNNNNNNNNNNNNNNNNNNNNNNNNNNNNNNNNNNNNNNNNNNNNNNNNNNNNNNNNNNNNNNNNNNNNNNNNNNNNNNNNNNNNNNNNNNNNNNNNNNNNNNNNNNNNNNNNNNNNNNNNNNNNNNNNNNNNNNNNNNNNNNNNNNNNNNNNNNNNNNNNNNNNNNNNNNNNNNNNNNNNNNNNNNNNNNNNNNNNNNNNNNNNNNNNNNNNNNNNNNNNNNNNNNNNNNNNNNNNNNNNNNNNNNNNNNNNNNNNNNNNNNNNNNNNNNNNNNNNNNNNNNNNNNNNNNNNNNNNNNNNNNNNNNNNNNNNNNNNNNNNNNNNNNNNNNNNNNNNNNNNNNNNNNNNNNNNNNNNNNNNNNNNNNNNNNNNNNNNNNNNNNNNNNNNNNNNNNNNNNNNNNNNNNNNNNNNNNNNNNNNNNNNNNNNNNNNNNNNNNNNNNNNNNNNNNNNNNNNNNNNNNNNNNNNNNNNNNNNNNNNNNNNNNNNNNNNNNNNNNNNNNNNNNNNNNNNNNNNNNNNNNNNNNNNNNNNNNNNNNNNNNNNNNNNNNNNNNNNNNNNNNNNNNNNNNNNNNNNNNNNNNNNNNNNNNNNNNNNNNNNNNNNNNNNNNNNNNNNNNNNNNNNNNNNNNNNNNNNNNNNNNNNNNNNNNNNNNNNNNNNNNNNNNNNNNNNNNNNNNNNNNNNNNNNNNNNNNNNNNNNNNNNNNNNNNNNNNNNNNNNNNNNNNNNNNNNNNNNNNNNNNNNNNNNNNNNNNNNNNNNNNNNNNNNNNNNNNNNNNNNNNNNNNNNNNNNNNNNNNNNNNNNNNNNNNNNNNNNNNNNNNNNNNNNNNNNNNNNNNNNNNNNNNNNNNNNNNNNNNNNNNNNNNNNNNNNNNNNNNNNNNNNNNNNNNNNNNNNNNNNNNNNNAGAAACUAACUCGGCAGGAUAUCGCAUCCUGGGCCUACGUAGCCUGUCAGACACAGACAUCAGAGUCGACGUAGUUCGGGACGGGGAAAACGUGCUCGCUAGGAUGUCGCACCCUAUGCAUACGUAUCUUCUCUAACCAGAGAAGAAUCAGAGCACUCGUAGCUCGGCUAACGCACGCCAAACAAAACACAAACAGGAAACCGACUGCCAAUCCCUGGACUUACGUCAGACUCCACACAAACAGGCAAACAUGGAAACCGAAGGCCAAUCGCUGAACUUACAUCAGACUCCGAACCAACAAACACACACAGGAAACCAACUGCCAAUCGCUGGACUUAUGUCAGACUCCAAGCACACGACAAACAAACACACAGGAAACCGACUGUCAAUCGCUGGACUUAUGUCAGAUUCCAAGCACACGACAAACAAACACACAGGAAACCGACUGCCAAUCGCUGGACUUAUGUCAGACUCCUACACAACACAAAGGGGUUGAAAAAGAAAAAGGGCGCCUGGAGAGAUCAGUUCAUCUCCUGCCUACGUACCUCAUCUGGUAUGAGGAUCAGGGCGACGUAGUUCCCCUACGCAGGGAAAGAACUUCUAACCUAACCAGAGACUGGGAAAUAACAAACUAGAAGGGAGACUGACUCGAGCCUAAUAGUUAUCAUGUAAAUUCACCAUGGUCCUAGGUUGAGGUUUCUAUCUAACUUGCACAGGGAUCAAGCUAUCCUAAACAGCACAGGCAAAUACAUACAAGCACAAAAAGCAAGCACACACACUAUAUGCACACAAUUGGGCUCAUACAAGGUUAGGCUGUGAAACACAAGCCAACUGGAAUCGGGUGUAGUUAGCUCUUAACCCUAACAUUGAGAGUUAGGGUGAAGCAGAUGAAAUGGGAAGUGAGGGUAAGACCUCACAGCUCUUAUCCCUGGCCUGGGAGAGCUUCAGACAAAUGAAAGUGUGGGAGUUCAGAAAGUNNNNNNNNNNNNNNNNNNNNNNNNNNNNNNNNNNNNNNNNNNNNNNNNNNNNNNNNNNNNNNNNNNNNNNNNNNNNNNNNNNNNNNNNNNNNNNNNNNNNNNNNNNNNNNNNNNNNNNNNNNNNNNNNNNNNNNNNNNNNNNNNNNNNNNNNNNNNNNNNNNNNNNNNNNNNNNNNNNNNNNNNNNNNNNNNNNNNNNNNNNNNNNNNNNNNNNNNNNNNNNNNNNNNNNNNNNNNNNNNNNNNNNNNNNNNNNNNNNNNNNNNNNNNNNNNNNNNNNNNNNNNNNNNNNNNNNNNNNNNNNNNNNNNNNNNNNNNNNNNNNNNNNNNNNNNNNNNNNNNNNNNNNNNNNNNNNNNNNNNNNNNNNNNNNNNNNNNNNNNNNNNNNNNNNNNNNNNNNNNNNNNNNNNNNNNNNNNNNNNNNNNNNNNNNNNNNNNNNNNNNNNNNNNNNNNNNNNNNNNNNNNNNNNNNNNNNNNNNNNNNNNNNNNNNNNNNNNNNNNNNNNNNNNNNNNNNNNNNNNNNNNNNNNNNNNNNNNNNNNNNNNNNNNNNNNNNNNNNNNNNNNNNNNNNNNNNNNNNNNNNNNNNNNNNNNNNNNNNNNNNNNNNNNNNNNNNNNNNNNNNNNNNNNNNNNNNNNNNNNNNNNNNNNNNNNNNNNNNNNNNNNNNNNNNNNNNNNNNNNNNNNNNNNNNNNNNNNNNNNNNNNNNNNNNNNNNNNNNNNNNNNNNNNNNNNNNNNNNNNNNNNNNNNNNNNNNNNNNNNNNNNNNNNNNNNNNNNNNNNNNNNNNNNNNNNNNNNNNNNNNNNNNNNNNNNNNNNNNNNNNNNNNNNNNNNNNNNNNNNNNNNNNNNNNNNNNNNNNNNNNNNNNNNNNNNNNNNNNNNNNNNNNNNNNNNNNNNNNNNNNNNNNNNNNNNNNNNNNNNNNNNNNNNNNNNNNNNNNNNNNNNNNNNNNNNNNNNNNNNNNNNNNNNNNNNNNNNNNNNNNNNNNNNNNNNNNNNNNNNNNNNNNNNNNNNNNNNNNNNNNNNNNNNNNNNNNNNNNNNNNNNNNNNNNNNNNNNNNNNNNNNNNNNNNNNNNNNNNNNNNNNNNNNNNNNNNNNNNNNNNNNNNNNNNNNNNNNNNNNNNNNNNNNNNNNNNNNNNNNNNNNNNNNNNNNNNNNNNNNNNNNNNNNNNNNNNNNNNNNNNNNNNNNNNNNNNNNNNNNNNNNNNNNNNNNNNNNNNNNNNNNNNNNNNNNNNNNNNNNNNNNNNNNNNNNNNNNNNNNNNNNNNNNNNNNNNNNNNNNNNNNNNNNNNNNNNNNNNNNNNNNNNNNNNNNNNNNNNNNNNNNNNNNNNNNNNNNNNNNNNNNNNNNNNNNNNNNNNNNNNNNNNNNNNNNNNNNNNNNNNNNNNNNNNNNNNNNNNNNNNNNNNNNNNNNNNNNNNNNNNNNNNNNNNNNNNNNNNNNNNNNNNNNNNNNNNNNNNNNNNNNNNNNNNNNNNNNNNNNNNNNNNNNNNNNNNNNNNNNNNNNNNNNNNNNNNNNNNNNNNNNNNNNNNNNNNNNNNNNNNNNNNNNNNNNNNNNNNNNNNNNNNNNNNNNNNNNNNNNNNNNNNNNNNNNNNNNNNNNNNNNNNNNNNNNNNNNNNNNNNNNNNNNNNNNNNNNNNNNNNNNNNNNNNNNNNNNNNNNNNNNNNNNNNNNNNNNNNNNNNNNNNNNNNNNNNNNNNNNNNNNNNNNNNNNNNNNNNNNNNNNNNNNNNNNNNNNNNNNNNNNNNNNNNNNNNNNNNNNNNNNNNNNNNNNNNNNNNNNNNNNNNNNNNNNNNNNNNNNNNNNNNNNNNNNNNNNNNNNNNNNNNNNNNNNNNNNNNNNNNNNNNNNNNNNNNNNNNNNNNNNNNNNNNNNNNNNNNNNNNNNNNNNNNNNNNNNNNNNNNNNNNNNNNNNNNNNNNNNNNNNNNNNNNNNNNNNNNNNNNNNNNNNNNNNNNNNNNNNNNNNNNNNNNNNNNNNNNNNNNNNNNNNNNNNNNNNNNNNNNNNNNNNNNNNNNNNNNNNNNNNNNNNNNNNNNNNNNNNNNNNNNNNNNNNNNNNNNNNNNNNNNNNNNNNNNNNNNNACAAACACAUGCAAAGCAUAAAAAUUCGCAGGAAAUCAUGAACGUUGCAAGAAAAUUCGCAGGUAACUGGAAAAAUUGAAGAACAUAUGAAGAACACGAUGAAGAUCAUGAAGAUCUUCAUCCAAUUUUUUCCAGAAAAUUCCAAAAGUUCCAGAAAUUAACAUUGAGCAUAUCAACAUGUAGAUCUUGCAUCAUACAUCAACAAUCAACAAACAUUUCAUCAAGAAAUCAACAAACACGCAUGGAUCGAAGAUAAAGAGUUUCAUCAUCAAAAUUUUAAACAAUCGUAUCUCACUCAAUUAUGCAUGGAAUUCAAUGAUUUAAAGCUCAGAUUAACCAGCAUUAAGAGAUCAACAACAAUAGCAUAAGAAUUUUGAGAAAGGAGAGAAUCAAUUCAUGACCUCUUGAAGAGCAGCUUUGGAAUUCGCUUGAUUCAGGCUUUGGCAAUGCUCAAAAGUUCUUCUAUAACACUUGUAUGGAUGAUUGGAUGAAGAAUUGAAGCUUAAUUGUGCACGAUCUCUCCAAAAUCAGAUUUCACCAUUGAUGCUUCCAAGCUUCGAGCAUGCUUCAAACUGCACUGAUUCUCUUGAUUCUUCCUUCAAUCUUGCUCAAAGUUGCUUCCAGAUGAUGAAUCAAGUAAUGGAUUAUGAUUUGUUUGAAGAAAUUGAGGGAAAGUUUUGAGAGAAAAUUUGAGAAUUGUAGAUCUAGAUCUGAAAUUUGUGAGUGUUGUUAGUGCAAAACAGUUAGGGUUUUCCUCUUAUACCUCUCCCUAAUCACUCUUUUAAUCAUGCUUAAGAAAAUGGUUAAGUGGAAUAGCAAUUUGGAGUGUAAAUGCAAAAUUUGUUUUUCACCCUAUGCAUGAAAAUCAUGAAUGAACAGUGCACGAAUUUAUUUGAUUUUCACUCAAAAUAUCAUUUUGGAGCCAAUGGUAAUGGUAGAAUGUGUGAAUAAUGCACCAAAUUUAAACUUUAAUUUUUCCCUCCAAAAAACAAGUGAAUUACCAAAUGUUCAUGUGAUGAUAAUGCAUGGCAUGUAAUGCAAGAUUUGGAAACUAGAUGUCAAAAUAAGAGCAAUGCAAAAAGAGCCAUCCAAUUUGGAGUUUUGGUUUGAGAGUUAUGCCCAUUUGAAGUUCAAACCAUACUUUGCCAUGAUUUGAUCAUAUCUCCUUAACCACACAUGAGAAAUUCUUAAUCUUGGACUUUUUGGAAAUGGGAGAGAAAGAUCUACAACUUUCAUGUUGGACAAAAUUUCAUUUGAAGCUUCCUUGAUGAUGUAAUCUUGAGUUGAAAACCUUUCCAUUUUUGGCAAAUUCAAAUUACAGGUCACCUGCUAUUUUGGGAAAGUUUUGAUCUGACCUCAAAUCCUUUAAUGUUGAUGUUUGAAAUGUCAAAUAAGACUUGUUCCCACAUGAAUGAGGCAUCUCUAACCAUCUCCCACCUCCAAAUCCACAGUUGAACUGACAGUUGACUUCUGUUGACUUUUUAGGGUUUCAGAUGAUUUGCACAUUGACUGAUGAUCUUUGAACCUCCAAUUCUUGGCCAAAUCACUUCAAAAUGAUCCUUAGGUCACAUGAACCCAUUGUACCAACCCUAGGGCUUUGAUUCCAUAAAAAUGCACUUGCUUGCUUGCACAGUUAAAUCUCUUGACCAGUCUUGCCUGAUGACUUGAUGGACUAUGCAAUGAACAAUGCAAUGUUUAUGACCUAAAAUGAAAAUGCAUAUACAAAUGGGAGGUGCAAAUUUGAGGUGUUACACCUCGGGAGCACAAAUCCAUCUUGCAUCAACAUAUUGCUGAACUUCAUCCAUGUAUGAUCCUUUAUGAACCUCCAUAGCCACACGAUCAGGGCCCUUGUACACAUAUUUGUAUAGAUACUUGAUACUUUUAAUGCUACUGCAAAUCUCUACAUUGAUGUGACAGUCAUGCUUUAACAGUAACCAAGGUUUAUAAGGAACCACCCAUCUAUUAUCGACAGACCUAUCUUUACCUAACGAUACAGACUCAUCAAACCUUCUCCUAUACUCGGGAUAUGAGUCAGUGCCUUGACGUGUUUCAUCCAAGAACUGUUUGGGAUACCUUUUUUUACAAUGUCCGUCUUUCAUACAUGGAGACUUUCGGUUGAUUAUGCCGCAAGGUCCGUGGAUCAUAUGUCUUACAACAGCUUCAUGCAACUGUGGUUCACAUUCUAAUUUAGGUAUUUCUGCUCUUACCAUACUAUCAUAAUCUUUUGGGUCACGCAACUUAUCGUUACUUUCUAAGACCAAUAACAUAUGCACAUGCGGCAAUCCUCGCUUUUGAAAUUCAGUGACAUACAUGUAGCUUUUAACUUUACCCAAGACUCCUUUAUUAAUAACAUCAUCCUUCAAUUUCUCAAAUUUCGAACGAAAUAUUCUUGUUAGCAAAUCUGGACGAUCUUGUGGUGUUUGAAAAGGCAAAAGUUCUGAUGUUAUCUCCCCCCAAGAAGGAUUGCAUGUCAUUGUUAGAAAAAUAUCUGGUUUACCGCCAUUAAGAACAAUAGCCAUGCCAUCUUCACAACGUUGUGUCAUGUCUCGACGACUGCCAAUAAUUGAUGAUGACAAUAUUUGUCUUUUUUCAAUGUUUUCUACGGCGAUUCAUGAAAUGCAUUAGUAUUAGGAUACAUGAAUGAUUAGCAUUAUAAGUACAACUAAUUAUUAAUCUAAAACUAUAUAUUUAUGCUACAUGAAUUUGUACUUGCAUUAGUUUUACCAACAUGCAAAGCAUCCUGUAAACCUUUGUACAAUUCAGCACGAUAUCACUUUGGUGCUCUUUAAUCCACCUUAACUUCCCUGAUUCAAUUUUGACAUAAUUGUCUACAACAUAUUAUUGCAAUAGUCGACCCGCAUUUAACAACAUUGAUUGAUCCUUUGGGCGAAUCAACAGUUGAUUGGAAAAAAAUGUCGGUGCUAAAUGUAAAGUUUUUUAAACAAUGCUUAGCUAAGUAUACCAUCUACUAAAAUUAAUCUAAAUUUACCUGAAGCAUGUAACUGUAAUAUGCUCGACAUGACACUCUUCGUCCAUUAUAAUUUAUUGUGUUGACGUCCUAACCAUGCUCCCAAAUAGAAACAAUAUAGGGUAUUGCAAAGGAUCAUAAUAUCUCUUUGUCCCUUGAACUUUCUUGAGAUUUCCAUCAUGACGAAUGUCAUUAAUAUCCCUUCCAUAUUCCAUAGAAUUUGCAUCACAUCCAACAAUAAUUGCCGCAACUUGUUAUGUAAUACGAAGAUUGUAUUGAUGGUGAUUACUUGGAUGCUCCUUAAGUAUGAGGCUAUAUUCACUGAUAUUUGAAACUAGUGACAAUUGCUUAAACCUAAUCACAAAAAGACUAAACUGAUGAAGCAUUUUCUAUAAUUUGUGAACUACAUUUUGGUGCAGCGUGGAUUUUCCUGCAUUCUAUUAUGUAGCUCAUUAUCGGUGUCGUAGAUGUAUAGUUGUAAGAAACGUGGCCUGACACCAUCAUUUGGAUAGAAACCUCAUAUGUUAUGGUAAAAAGCACCUUGAGCACGAAAUGUGUAUAUACCACGACCAUAUGCAAGAAUAUUCUCAUCAACCUGAACACUAAUUGAAGUGAAUGAGAGCACAUGGUUAUAACUUUGAAUAUGUUGCCUAACAUGUUUUCCUUCAGCUGAACCAUCCAAAAGUAAUUGUUGCAAUUCUAUAAGAGCAUUAACUCGUGAAAAUGAUACCCUCCCACCAGUACAGAACGUGUCACAUGAUUCAUGAUGAAAUAAUCUUGCAUUGCAGUGUCCACAGGUAAUUGGAUGAGGCAACCGGGAUUUUGCCAUCAUCGUGUUAUUUUUGAAAUUUCGAGCAAUAUUGUGCUUUGCUCGAAAAGCAUGUUCUGAUUCUACAGACAAAAGUUUGAUAUUGAUUACUAAAUAAUAUCUAAAAUCUAAAAUACAAAUAAUAAUUAAGAUGUGGGUUUGAAAUUGGUAAAAAAACUAAAAUGACAUAAGAAUAUUUUAAGAUGCCUCAAUUAAAAUAUUUUAAUAUUGCAUGAUUUUAAAUUUUAUGUCACUUGAGUAAAAGCUACAUUUAUUUGACAUAAAAUGUUUUUGAACAUACCUUGAGGACGACAUGAUGAUGCACCAUUUUCUCUGGCAUCCAUGUUAACAUAUGAUAUUACUGCAUCCUUCAAAGCUUCAUCAACAUCCAUAUCAUCUAAUACAAAAAUGACAAUUAAUAUAUAUACAUGUGUAAAAAUUACUACUCGCAUACUUAGAACAAUAUCUCUUAUACAUGUAUCAGAUUGACUCAUGUUGUUUUGUUGAUUAAGUGAUGUGCAAUUACGAUCUGUGAGUUUAAAUACAUAAAAUGAAAUAUGACGAAUAAACAAAAUUAUACAAUGUAAUAUAUAAUGUCUAUAUUGAUCAUCACCAACCAAGUACAACAUCAUUAACAUGUGUAAUUCUACUUGGGUCGGCUUCACUAUCAUGAGUUCCUUGAAAGUGUGAACUUGAAAAAAUCAUAUUUGUAAAAUUUUGAAAUGGAACUCUCGACUGACUGUUUAUAAUGCGAGAUGUUUGAACUUGUUUCUCUUGCUCUUUCUGCCACCUAUAAUUUUCACAUCGUCUCGACAAAUGGUGUUCUCUUUGCUCGUUGUUCAUAUUUUGUCUCCUCUUUCUUUCAUUUUUAAUCCUUCUUGCCAUUUGUUGUUGACUUGAUAUUUGACGGGUAUUAAUUUCCAUUUUAUUAAUGUAACUGUCAAACACAUAUGUAAUUUAUAAGCAACAUAAUCUCAUUAAUUAUGUUGAAAAAUAGUAGUAAAUAUAUAUUUUCUUUAAAAUAAAUAUAUAUUUUUUUAAAAAGUUACUCCAAAAAUAAUAUUUGUAAAACAUAUGUUAAAAAUAUAAAUCUAAACUAAAAAAUGAAAAAUACAAAGAAGAAAGUAUGCAAAAUAAAUUAAAAAUGGAUAAUCAAUAAAAAGAAACAUGUUGAAAAAAUAAAUAAAAAUAUUUCAUAUUAACUAAGCAUUGAAAUGUAAAAUGGUGUGAGAAAUUNNNNNNNNNNNNNNNNNNNNNNNNNNNNNNNNNNNNNNNNNNNNNNNNNNNNNNNNNNNNNNNNNNNNNNNNNNNNNNNNNNNNNNNNNNNNNNNNNNNNNNNNNNNNNNNNNNNNNNNNNNNNNNNNNNNNNNNNNNNNNNNNNNNNNNNNNNNNNNNNNNNNNNNNNNNNNNNNNNNNNNNNNNNNNNNNNNNNNNNNNNNNNNNNNNNNNNNNNNNNNNNNNNNNNNNNNNNNNNNNNNNNNNNNNNNNNNNNNNNNNNNNNNNNNNNNNNNNNNNNNNNNNNNNNNNNNNNNNNNNNNNNNNNNNNNNNNNNNNNNNNNNNNNNNNNNNNNNNNNNNNNNNNNNNNNNNNNNNNNNNNNNNNNNNNNNNNNNNNNNNNNNNNNNNNNNNNNNNNNNNNNNNNNNNNNNNNNNNNNNNNNNNNNNNNNNNNNNNNNNNNNNNNNNNNNNNNNNNNNNNNNNNNNNNNNNNNNNNNNNNNNNNNNNNNNNNNNNNNNNNNNNNNNNNNNNNNNNNNNNNNNNNNNNNNNNNNNNNNNNNNNNNNNNNNNNNNNNNNNNNNNNNNNNNNNNNNNNNNNNNNNNNNNNNNNNNNNNNNNNNNNNNNNNNNNNNNNNNNNNNNNNNNNNNNNNNNNNNNNNNNNNNNNNNNNNNNNNNNNNNNNNNNNNNNNNNNNNNNNNNNNNNNNNNNNNNNNNNNNNNNNNNNNNNNNNNNNNNNNNNNNNNNNNNNNNNNNNNNNNNNNNNNNNNNNNNNNNNNNNNNNNNNNNNNNNNNNNNNNNNNNNNNNNNNNNNNNNNNNNNNNNNNNNNNNNNNNNNNNNNNNNNNNNNNNNNNNNNNNNNNNNNNNNNNNNNNNNNNNNNNNNNNNNNNNNNNNNNNNNNNNNNNNNNNNNNNNNNNNNNNNNNNNNNNNNNNNNNNNNNNNNNNNNNNNNNNNNNNNNNNNNNNNNNNNNNNNNNNNNNNNNNNNNNNNNNNNNNNNNNNNNNNNNNNNNNNNNNNNNNNNNNNNNNNNNNNNNNNNNNNNNNNNNNNNNNNNNNNNNNNNNNNNNNNNNNNNNNNNNNNNNNNNNNNNNNNNNNNNNNNNNNNNNNNNNNNNNNNNNNNNNNNNNNNNNNNNNNNNNNNNNNNNNNNNNNNNNNNNNNNNNNNNNNNNNNNNNNNNNNNNNNNNNNNNNNNNNNNNNNNNNNNNNNNNNNNNNNNNNNNNNNNNNNNNNNNNNNNNNNNNNNNNNNNNNNNNNNNNNNNNNNNNNNNNNNNNNNNNNNNNNNNNNNNNNNNNNNNNNNNNNNNNNNNNNNNNNNNNNNNNNNNNNNNNNNNNNNNNNNNNNNNNNNNNNNNNNNNNNNNNNNNNNNNNNNNNNNNNNNNNNNNNNNNNNNNNNNNNNNNNNNNNNNNNNNNNNNNNNNNNNNNNNNNNNNNNNNNNNNNNNNNNNNNNNNNNNNNNNNNNNNNNNNNNNNNNNNNNNNNNNNNNNNNNNNNNNNNNNNNNNNNNNNNNNNNNNNNNNNNNNNNNNNNNNNNNNNNNNNNNNNNNNNNNNNNNNNNNNNNNNNNNNNNNNNNNNNNNNNNNNNNNNNNNNNNNNNNNNNNNNNNNNNNNNNNNNNNNNNNNNNNNNNNNNNNNNNNNNNNNNNNNNNNNNNNNNNNNNNNNNNNNNNNNNNNNNNNNNNNNNNNNNNNNNNNNNNNNNNNNNNNNNNNNNNNNNNNNNNNNNNNNNNNNNNNNNNNNNNNNNNNNNNNNNNNNNNNNNNNNNNNNNNNNNNNNNNNNNNNNNNNNNNNNNNNNNNNNNNNNNNNNNNNNNNNNNNNNNNNNNNNNNNNNNNNNNNNNNNNNNNNNNNNNNNNNNNNNNNNNNNNNNNNNNNNNNNNNNNNNNNNNNNNNNNNNNNNNNNNNNNNNNNNNNNNNNNNNNNNNNNNNNNNNNNNNNNNNNNNNNNNNNNNNNNNNNNNNNNNNNNNNNNNNNNNNNNNNNNNNNNNNNNNNNNNNNNNNNNNNNNNNNNNNNNNNNNNNNNNNNNNNNNNNNNNNNNNNNNNNNNNNNNNNNNNNNNNNNNNNNNNNNNNNNNNNNNNNNNNNNNNNNNNNNNNNNNNNNNNNNNNNNNNNNNNNNNNNNNNNNNNNNNNNNNNNNNNNNNNNNNNNNNNNNNNNNNNNNNNNNNNNNNNNNNNNNNNNNNNNNNNNNNNNNNNNNNNNNNNNNNNNNNNNNNNNNNNNNNNNNNNNNNNNNNNNNNNNNNNNNNNNNNNNNNNNNNNNNNNNNNNNNNNNNNNNNNNNNNNNNNNNNNNNNNNNNNNNNNNNNNNNNNNNNNNNNNNNNNNNNNNNNNNNNNNNNNNNNNNNNNNNNNNNNNNNNNNNNNNNNNNNNNNNNNNNNNNNNNNNNNNNNNNNNNNNNNNNNNNNNNNNNNNNNNNNNNNNNNNNNNNNNNNNNNNNNNNNNNNNNNNNNNNNNNNNNNNNNNNNNNNNNNNNNNNNNNNNNNNNNNNNNNNNNNNNNNNNNNNNNNNNNNNNNNUUUUUAAGAAUAUCGUGUCUAUUCAAUGUACUGAACUUAUAAUAUUCUUUUAUUUAUAAUUCUUAAUCCGUCGUGGGACACCGGUUAAUAUGACCCAUAAAGUAUUAUUUGUCUUUACUAAUAAUACGUUAAUUUUAAUUGUAUUAUAAAUAUUUUAAAUUGAAUAAAAUGUUUUAAUUACAAUUUAACAUAUAUUUAUCAAUUCUACGAAAAAAAAUUGAAAAAAUAAUUUAUCAGGUAUUGCAAAGGAUAUCCAUUUUAUAUAUAGGUAUAGAUUUACAUUUUUCUUUAUUACAGACUUGUCAAUAUCAAUGUGAUGUUAUAUGAUUGCAGACACAUAGUAACAAUUUCAUUAUGGAUACAAGAGCGAGAGAAUUGGACUCAGGAGGAACAUGAGACGCUGCAUCUAGAGGAGUGGGAGAUGAUGUUGCAGGAGGAGCGGGAGAGAAUAUUGCAAGAGGUGUGGGAGGAGCGAGAGAGGUUGGCUGAGGUUGACAGAGAGAAGUGUACUCGCGAUGUGAUUGAAGUAUAAUUUAAAAUAUUUGUAUUGUACGUCGUUGUUAUAGUUUGUGUAUUUUAAUUUUUGUAUUGUAUUUCAGUUGUUUUAAUUAUGCAGAAAUUGAAAUCAAUGGGUGUACUCAACCACCCAAUUCCAAAUCAGUUAGGUUAGUAAUAGAAAAUUUUGAGAAAGUAAAACGGUAGUAUUUGGAAUCACAUGUUCACAAAUACAAUAUGAUUUCCUGGAAGUUAUGUGUGACAGUGAUUCUCCAUUUGAAAUUUAAAAUUUGAAAAUGAAAAUGAAAUACAAACCACUAUUCUUAUGUAGUUACCAUUUUUAUGUUUGGCUCUUUCUUUUUGUAACUUCCCGAUGGAUAUUUGUGGUGAAGUAAAAAUUAUGGUUUGACGUGUGAAAAAGAAAAUUAAUGAAGGGUAAUAAUGGAAUAGGAAAUAUGUCACUCCAAAAUCAUGUAUUCCUUUUAUAUAUAGGUAUAGAUGUAGGCUAACAGGAACUUUGCAUCAAAAGGAAGAUAGAGGCGAUUCUGUAUGCUGUUAUAGGUUUUGACUAUUUUUUGCGUUAUUAUUAUGUUUUCUUUUAAAAGAAAAUAUGUAGUGGCAGUCAUUUGAUCUCUUGUUUUCCUUUACAUUUUUCAUAAAAUAUAACAACCAAUAUGGAUUUCUAGAAAGGUUGUGACAUGACAAUCCAUAAAUCAAUAAAAUAUAAUUAAUAAAUAAUUAAAGAGUGAUUUCCAUUAACUAACUACCCUUCCAACAUGGUGGUAACCAAUCGACGGGUAAAUAUUUCCAAGCAAUAUCUUCAUUAAAAAUUCCUUUUUCUUUAAAUUGAUUAAAGAUCAUGAUUAACAUGUGAAACUGACCACAGAGAUAGGUGAAUUUUCAAUGCGGUCAACGCGAAGCACUUCCCAAGAUUUUCUUCACUAUCUUGUAUUUUUUUGGUGCAGGAUAAGAAGUGAAUAAUAUGAGUAUGGAGUUGGGUUUUUAUUGAUGUUAAUUUGUUUACUUUCACUUUCAAAACAUCUCCCUGCAACAGAUAAAUAUUGAGCAAGUCAAUAAGGACAUAAGAAAUAGACCUACAAUAAUCCUUAUAAUUUAUAAUCAGAUCAAGAUUAUGACAAAAAGAUAUCACAUUUUACACAAUCCAUGACAUUUUUUACAACAAAAUAUCCAUAGUAUAACUUCAGUCCUUAUAAAAAGCUACAUGAAUAUUCAAUUGAUUUCUGCGUGCUUUCACAAUUACCAUUAAUUAAGUCAAAAAUUCAACAAUGGAAGUUGAUCUGAUGACAUAUCCUCAUAUUUAGAAAUACAUCACCGUGUUUCACCUUAGACAAUAAGAACAAACUAUCUCUAACCUCACACAUCUUACUAUAACACCCAUCACUCAAUCCAUCCAUUCAAACAGACACUGCAAUCCGUUUUAGGCCAAAUUAAGUAAGUGAAUAAAAUACAGAAAAAGAGUAAUAGAAAUCAAAACCUAAACCACAUAAUCCUCCAUAUAUCAAAAAGUUAAAUCAAUGAACAAUUUUCGUAGAAGCGACACUGAAUUUGAGAAAAUGAUUUGGUUAUGGAAGAGAAGAUAUAGUAAAAGAGGAAGGAGCAAAUGUGGGUUGGUAUGGUUAUGAAUUUUUCUCCUAACUUUGCGUGGAGAAGAGAAAGAAAGAGAGAGAAAGAAAGAAAUUUUUUAUUUUUGAAUAUGCAGUUAUUAUAUAUAGUGGUGUAGGAGGAAGUUAUUUAGUAUAGUUGAUGUGUUGGAGGAAGUUAUUUGAUGUGUUCAUGGAGGUUACAUAAUUAAAAAAUGAGUUUUUUUUGUAUUUUUUUUUAAUUUAAUAAUUGAUAGUAAUUGUAACAAUUGAUAAAGGAUAAAAUUGGAAGAAAAAAUACAAUAAAUAUUUUCUCUUUUAAUAUUUUUUCUCCUCUUUUAAUUAGUAUAAAUAAAAAUUUUUCUCAAUAAUAUUAAAUAAAAUACAUAACCAUACCAGUACAAAUAAAUAUUUUUAAUUGGAAGAAAAUAUUAUUUAGUCUAAACAUUUAUUAAUUGGGAAGAAAAAAUACAAUAAAUAAUUUUUGGAAAUAUUAGACUAAAUAAUAUUUUAUACUAAUAAUAAAUGUUUAGACUAAAUAGUUAAUAAAUAUUUAGACAAAUAAUAAUAAUCAGUACAAAAAAUAUAUUAGUUACAAAAAGUUAUAUAUAAAUUACAAUAACCGAAAAAAUUGAAAUGUAAAUAGGAAUUAGGAAGUUAUUUGAGUUCACCGCCGCCUACGGCCAUUAUGUGUUAAUUCUUUUUAUUUUAAUUAUUAUUAUUUUUAAAUAAAUAAACAAAUAUAAAAAAGAAGUUACUUUUUAAAAUAAUAAACAAAUAUAAAAGAAGAAGUUAAGUGAGGGUAUUUGUGGAAGAAAUAAAGGCCUACCAAAAUCACCUAUCCCCUUUAUAUAUAGUUAUAGAUAUAAAAGAAGAAGUUAAGUGAGGGUAUUUGUGGAAGAAAUAAAGGCCAUACCAAAAUCACCUAUCCCUUUAUAUAUAGUUAUAGAUGAUUUAAUUAGUAUAAAUAAAAAAAAAUUCUCAAUAUAUUAAAUAAAAUACAUAACUAACCAGUACAAUAAAUAUUUUAAUUGGAAGAAAAUAUUAUUUAGUCUAAACAUUUAUUAAUUGGAAAAAAAUACAAUAAAUAAUUUUGGAAAUAUUAAACUAAAUAAUAUUUAUACUAAUUAAUAAUGUUUAGAUAUAAAUAGUUAAUAAAUGUUUAGACUAAAUAAUAAUAAUCAGUACAAAAAAAUAUAUUAGUUUACAAAAAAGUUAUAUAAAAUACAAUAACCGAAAAAAUUGAAAUGUAAUAGGAAUUAGGAAGUUAUUGAGGUUUACAACCGCCCUACAGCCAUUAUGUGUUAAUUCUUUUUAUUUUAAUUAUUAUUAUUUUUAAAUAAUAAACAAAUAUAAAAAAGAAGUUACUUUUUAAAAUAAUAAACAAAUAUAAAAGAAGAAGUUAAGUGAGGGUAUUUGUGGAAGAAAUAAAUGUCAUACCAAAAUCACAUAUCCCCUUUAUAUAUAGUUAUAGAUGCACCGGUGUACAACACAUAAAAGGAGGCGCCAAUUCAGUUGGCUACAGUGUACAAGAGAGAGUGCGUAACUCUGUCUCAUAUAUAUCGGUACACUAUCGUCAAUUGGAUUGACACCUCCUCUUAUGUAUUAUACGCCGACACCAAUUGGAUUGACGUCUUCUUUAUUUUAAAAAUAGGUUACUUUGAGAAAUAGUUGAAAAAAUGAAUUAUUUUGAGUAUUUAUUUUAAAAAAUAAGUUAUUUAGAUAAAAAAAAUCCCUUAGUGAAAUCUUAAAUAUUAUUGAUUUUAAAUAAGAUUUUAUUAAUUUAAAUUUUAAUACCAUUAAUAGAAGGACUAUAUUCUGGUAUCAACGAAAAGGAUUAUAUUAUUGGACUAUUUUAAAUUUUCUAUUAUAUUGUUGUGGUCUACUAGGGAUGUUCAAAACCAAAUCAACCCAAUAAAAAACGGUAAACAAAACUAAACCAAAUUGAAACCGCAAAAAACCGCAUUUGAUUCGGAUGCAUUUGAGUCAUUUUUUAACAAAAUCGCACGAUUUGGUUUGGUUUGCGGUUUGUAUUUUACAAACCAAACUAAACUAAACCAAAUCGCAUUAUGUUACAAUCCAAACUUCACUUAUCCCACAUCCAAUCUAAAACUCAAACCUAGUAUGCCUUAACCUUAUAAUUACAAAUGAUUUUCUCUUACUCACAUUUAGGGUUUCAAUUUCAACAUUCUUAAAUCUCUCCUAGUAGUAUUGCGCAUUCUUCUCGCCUUCUUUGCCAUAUACAUUUCGUGUUUUCUACUAUAAUAUGUCCUCUCUUAUGUUCUUUCUUUUUCAUCUUUUAUCUUACUGUUUUCUCUUCCAAUUACAUUUUUAUCGCACAUUUCUUCUCAAUCUCGCAUCUCUUAUGUUCUUUUUUUCAUCUUCUCUAAUUUCUCAUCUAAUAUAUAUUUUUUUAUAUUUUAUUAUAAUGUAUUUGAUAUUAUUUUAUGCUAGUAUUUUAUAUAUGUUUUUUAUUCCAUUUUUUUAUAAUCUAAGUUUUUGUAUAUUGAAUGAGAAGUUUUUGUCUAAAUAUGGUGAAUUUUGAUGUUAUUUAGUAAUGUAUGAAAGACUAAACACAAAGUUAUGUUGAUAUCUAUAGGGUAUGUUAGAUUAAUUACUAUAUUUUUCUAUAUUUUUCUCACGAAAAUUCUUUUCUCGCUCUCAGUGAAAACCUCCUGCUUACAUGAAAACGCAACCCGCACCCCAAAAGGACAAAAACACGCAUUAUGUUUCUUGGAUAAAACCCUUAGAAACCUUAUUCAGAUUUCAUUCACAAUUCUUCUUUCAAUUUCUAUCUCAAUCGAAAAUUCUAUUAUGCCUUAAAAACCCUAUUGAACAUUUUCAAAAUCGUUCCAAUCCCUAUCUCGAUUAAAGAUUCUCAAUUUUUUCCGCUCUCAAUCAAAGUUUCAGAUCAAUUCCAAUCUUCCUUCAUAUUUUCAUAUCAAUUUGAAUACCGAUCCAUAAUCGCUCAUAAUCUCUCAUUCGAUACCCGCUCUCAGAACAUGUAUUUCCUUUUUUGAAAUGUAGUUCACAGGUGUUCAUUAAAAUAAAGUUUCACUCUCGACAUGGUACGAGCAAUUGAUUAUUAUUUUGAGAUUUUCCCUUCUAUAUUCCCCUAAAUCCAUAUUCUGAUUUUGUUAAAUUUUGUACCCUGUAUUUUCCUUCGAGAUGAAAUUGUGUGUCACUAAGAUUUUAUCUCACAUGGUGGUUUUGGGUAAACAUGACAUUUAGUGUGGCUAUUUAUGUUCUGGUGUGGCUGAUUAUAUCCUAUUCAUGUUUUUUGUUUAUUGUUUUAGGUGGUUGCUAUAUAAUCUUGUAGUUUUUUGGUUAUGAGAUAUAUGUUGGAAAUCCCCAAAAAUCUAUGGAGAAUUUCAAUCAAUCUUGAUGAACAAGAUUGUUAUUACCCACACAAUAGCAAUGAAAAGAGAAGAAUAAUGGAGAAAGAAAGAGUGUAUAGAACGAUGAAGGAGAAGAAGAAUUAAAUUCUACAAAGUUUCUCUCUGCCCACAAACUGUGGAAAACUUCUUAUUCAUUUUGCAACUGCAAAAUACUGUGAAUACAAUGUUAUGAAUACUUUAUUCAGUUCAUUACAAAAAUAAGGGUUACUCCCUCUAUUUAUAUAUUUAGGUUAACUUGGACCUCAAGCCAAAGCCCAAAACUAUAAAAGCCCAAAAUAGCUAACACUACUAAAAUAGGCAUAUGUGGUUCGACACUUCCUUACACUGUCGAGCAACCUGCUUCGACAUAAGGAAUUACAAUUCAACACAUCACCUAAUUCAUUGUGUCUAAGCUAUCUACAUUCAUCAUAGCUCUUAGUCUUCUGAACACUUCGACAUGCACUCCCUUCAUCAUGAUGUCUGUAAUCUGAUUUUCAGUUCUGCAGUGUUCCACAUUCAUCUUCCCACCCGCUACAUGCUCUUGAAGAUAAUGGAACCUCAUUCUGAUGUGCUUGCUUCGACCAUGUGCUAUCGGAUUCUUCGCCAAAUUGAUAGCUGACAUGUUGUCGAUCUUCAUGGUAAUUGCUCUAUGAAUCUUCGCUGUUAUCUCUUCGACCAGAUUCACCAUCCACGUUGCUUGACAUGCACAAAGAGAAGCAGCUAUAUAUUCCGCUUUGCACGAUGAUAAUGCCACUACUGGCUCUUUUCUUGAACUCCAAGCAACUGGUGCACCACCUUGCAUAAACACAUAACCAGUUGUGGAUUUUCGAUCCUCAGCAUCACUACACCAACUUGAGUCGGUGUAUCCCACUAAUUUGCAUUCUUUUUAUUCAUCAGCUGCAGGAAACAAAAUGCCAUAGUUGAGAGUUCCUUUCAGAUACCUUAGUAUCCUCUUCGUCGCUGCUAGAUGUGAUCCCUUUGGCUUCUGCAUGAACCUACUCAUCAUACCUACACUGUAUGCUAAGUCAGGUCUUAUAUGACCAAGGUAUCAAAGUGACCCAAUAAGUCUUCUAUAUUGGGUUGGGUCGACAUCAUCUUCAUAUGAAUCUUUCGACAGUUAUAAUCUGGGCUCAGCUGGAGUCGAAGUUGGGUUGCAAUCUUGCAUCUCAAAUCUCUUGAGUAUUUUGCCUGCAUACCUUCUUUGAUGCAUCAUCAAACCUCUACCACUCUUGUAGAAUUCGAUGCCAAGGAAAUAUGAAAUGCCACCCAAAUCUGACAUUUCGAAUUCCUUGUUGAGAUCACCUUUGAAGUCUUCGAUCUCCUUCUUGCAACUACAUGUUAUCAAUAGGUCAUCGACAUAGAAGCAUAGUAUAAGCAAUUCACUAUUGAUUCUUCUUACAUAUACUCCAUAUUCAGAUUUUCACUUUACAAAUUCCUUCUCCCUUAGAAAUCCAUCUAUCUUCUUGUUCCAAGCUCUUGGAGCUUGUUUAAGUUUGUACAGGGCUUUAUGCAGCCUGUACACCUUUCUUUCUUCACUUUGCUUCACAAACCCAGCUGGUUGUGCAACAUAAACUUCUUCUUCUAAGGGGCCAUUAAGGAAUUCACAUUUCACAUCCAUCUGACACAUCUGCCAGUUGUUCAUGUUUGCUAGACCAACAACCAACCUAAUUGUUUCGAUCCUAGCAACAGGUGCAAAAACUUCAUCGAAGUCGAUUCCUUCUUUCUGAAGAAAUCAUUUUUCCCCAAGUCUCACCUUGUGUCAAGUCACUUCUCCUUUGGGAUUCAACUUCACCUUGUAUAUCCACUUCACAUCGAUUGCCUUCUUGUCUUGGGGAAAUUCGACAAGUGACCAAGUGUUGUUGACUUCGAUUGACUUCAGUUCUUCGUCCAUUGCUUUCAUCCACUUUGAAUCUUUCAAUGCCUCAACUACAUUAAAAGGUUCGACAUCUGCGUAGAAAGAAUGAUGUACCAGCUCACCUUCUUCAUCGACCAUAUCAUCUGAUGUAAUCACACAUUAUUGCAACCUUGCAAGCAUGUGUCUUGUUCUUUGAGGCCUGCUUGGGCCUGCUUCACCUCUGACUUCUUCCUGUCAAGCUUCUCUUUCGACUUCACUAGCUGGUUCAUCAUAAAAGAUUCUCACUGAAUCUUUCUUGACAUUCUCAGUCCAAUCUCACUCCUUAAUCUCAUUUAUGAUCACAUCCCUACUGAUCACUACUUGCUUACUCUCUGGGUCGAACAACUUGUAUCCUCCAGUCGAAUGAUAUCCUAUUAGGAUCAUCUGACUCGACUUGUCAUCAAGUUUUCUUCUCAACUGAUAUGGAACAUGUCUAUAUGCUAUAGAUCCAAACACUCUCAGAUGACUCAAGCUAGGCUUGACCAAACCAACAUUCUUCUGGCGUGAUUCCUCCUAGCUUCUUCGUCAGACAUCUGUUCAGGAUAUAUGUCGCAAUCGAUACAACUUCUCCCCAUAAUUCUUUAGGUAGAUGCUUGCCUUUCAACAUACUUCUAACAAUAUUCAUGAUGGUUCUAUUCUUCCUUUCUGCGACUCCAUUCUGUUGUGGAGUGUAGGCCGACACCACCUCAUGCACAAUCCCUUCUUUCAUACAUAAUGCGUCGAUGUCUUUCGACACAUAUUCUCCACCACCAUCAGUCCUCAAAAUCUUGAUCUUUCGACCACUUUGUCUUUCGACCAUAGAUUUAAACUUGGAAAAUACCUCGAUCACUUCACUUUUCUUCUGGAUCAGGUAAGACCACAAUUUUCGACUGAAAUCAUCUAUGAAUGUAACAAAGUAUUUGUUACCUCCAAUCGAAUCCACCCAGAGAGGACCACAUACAUCAGAGUAUAUGACUUCAAGAAUUGCCUUCGACCCGCUUCCUGCAUCCUUACUGAAGUUGUUCUUAUGCUGCUUCGCUUGCACGCAUUCUUCACACACUUCAUUUGGAAUGUCGAUUUCUGGUAAUCCUGAAACCAUAUUUCUUCUCUUCAAAUCUCUGAUGUCUUUGAAAUCGAGAUGACCAAGUCUGUAAUGACAUAUCCAUUCAUCUCUAUUGGCUGCUGUUACAAGGCACUUAUGCUCCAUCACAUUUAGUUCAAUCUUGAAGGUUCUAUUCUGAGACAUUGUAGCCUUCAAGAUCAACCUUCCAUUUGAGUCGAGAACUCUCAUCAUCUUGUCUUUGAUCGACACCUUGUAGUUAUUUUCGACCAACUUCCCUAUGCUGAGCAAAUUACUCUUCAUGCCUGGUAUGUACAACACAUUUGAAAUUAUUGACCUCUUGCCAUCUUUCCUCGUAAUCAGAACAUCACCAACACCUUCAGCUGCUAGAUUGUUGUCAUUUGCAAAUUUCACCAUGUUCUUAAUUGAGGAUUUUAUGUUGACAACCUAAUAUUUUCUUCCAGACAUGUGUGAUGAGCAUUCUGAAUCCAAGUACGACUGGUCCUUGAAUCUCUCUUCAUCUCUUGUUGUAACCAUCAUCAACGUCUCUUCUUCUUCAUGUUUCGCCAGUUUUGCGUAAGUUUCUUGAUUCUUCUGCUUUUUUGGACAAUCACUAGAAUAGUUACCAUACCUUUGACAAUUGUAACACUGAAUGUGACUCUUGUCUGCCUUUUGACCACCACCUCUUCCUCUACCUGCAGCACCACCUCUUUGGUUACCUUAGUUCUAGGGUUUUCUCUGAUUCGACCAGUUUCCUUCUUCCUGAUUUUGACCAGUCGAAUUAUUGUAACCUCUUAUGCUUUGUUGCCAUUCCAGCUUCCUUUUCCUUUUCUUUCUUUUGCUGAUUGAUCCUGCAAAGCCAUAUCACUCUUCGACUUUCCUGCAGCUCUUUCAGUCAUUCUUUGUUCAUGAGAUUCAAGCAUCCCUUGAAGCUCUUCCUUUGUCAAUUUUGACAAAUCUUUCGACUCUUCUAUGGAUACUGCCACGUGGUCAAACUUUGGAGACAAGGACCUCAAGAUCUUUCCAACAACAGAUCUUGAUGUCAACACUUCUCCACAUACCUUGAUUUGAUUCAUCAGUUUCGUAACCUUGGCGAAGAAAUCAAUUAUGCUUUCAUUGUCUUUCAUCUGAAGCAAUUCAUACUUUCUUUUGUGAAUUUGUAACCUCACCUCUUUCACCUUCUCCACGCCUCCAAACGAUUUCUCCAGAAUUUCCCAUGCUUCUUUCGCUGACUCUGCAUCACUAACCUUUUCAAAGUUAUCUGCAUCAACAUAUUGAUGGAUUAUAAAGAGAGCUUUAUAAUCUUUCUUCUUAUUCUUUCGCUGACUCUGCAUCACUAACCUUUUCAAAGUUAUCUGCAUCAACAUAUUGAUGGAUUAUAAAGAGAGCUUUAUAAUCUUUCUUCUUCAAUUCUUUAUGUGCAGCCUUUUCUUGAUCCGUCACGCCUUCUGCAAGCGUUGCUACUCCUUCCUUCACAAGAUCCCAAAGAUCUUGAUAACAGAACACAAUAUUUAUCAGCUUGCACCAAUUCUCAUAAUUGUUUUUCUUGAGAAUCAGAAGAUUUGCUGGAAAACGCCCGUUUGAAUGAUUCGUUGUCAUGGUGAUUUUCUUCCCACGAACCGUUUAAAUCGGAGCUCUUGAUACCAGAUGUUGGCAAUCCCCUAAAACCUAUGGAGAACACAAUAGCAAUGAAAAGAGAAGAACAAUGGAUAAAGAAAGAGUGUAUAGAACGAUGAACGAGAAGAAGAAUUAAAUUCUGCAGAGUUUCUCUCUGCCCACAAACUAUGGAAAACUUCUUAUUCACUUUGCAACUGCAAAAUACUGUGAAUACAAUGUUAUGAAUACUCUAUUUACUUCAUUACAAAAAUAAGGGUUACUCCAUCUAUUUAAAGAUUUUGGUUAACUUGGACCUCAAGGCAAAACCCAAAACUAUAAAAGUCCAAAAUAGCUAACACUACUAAAAUAGACAUAGGUGAUUCGACACUUCCUUACAGUGUCGAGCAACCUACUGUGACACAAGGAAUUACAACUCAAUAAUAUCUCCAUGUACUUCUUGCUAGAUUUUAAGAAUAUAUAAGGGUUCCUUAUUGAUGAAGUUGUUGUUUUAUAAAAGAUUAUAAUCUUGAGCAGAUCAUAGACUACAUUAGGGGCAAGCAUUAUUUACAUGACAUGUUGUGACUAUGAAGUGUAAUAUUAAUCUUCAUGCUAUAAAGAUAUGUAAUAUUCUCAUCAUAUAUAUAUAUAUAUAUAUGUGUGUGUGAGAUUUAAUUUUUUUUUUUUGAUAAAUAGUUGAUGCUCUAUUUUUCUUUGAUUCCUUAAAUAUUUUGGUGAAGGGAGUACUCUAUUUUUCUGUUGUUUGUACUUUAAUGAUUAUGCAUUGUGUGAAUUGGAUAUUAUUCUGUUGCAAUUUAAAUUGAUUCUCUGUGCAAAUUGAAUUGUUGUUGUAGGUACUUUGAGGCUGCUUCACCGUGUGGAUUAAAAUUAAUGUUGUUUGUUCAUUAAUAAUAGUAUUUUCUUAGAAACUAAUAUCUCUAUCUUUGUAACAGUGGGAAUACGUUUUUGGUUUGGUUUAAUUCUUAUAACUAAAUUCAAUGAAAAAUUCAGUAAAAGGUCUGCUGCUCACUAUUUUAGAUUCCUAUAAUUUUAGCAGUUAAUCAUGCUAGAUUGAUUUAUUUUUUUACGUUGGAUUGGAGCUACAUUUAAGUUUGAUUGUAAUUUCAUGUCUUAUGUAACUAUGUAUUUCAAAAUCUACUCUACCAUUCUCUCUAAUCUAAUAUUCUGGAACUACUUCUAAUGAAUGGAAACAUAUUAGUGUGAUAAAAAUUAUAUCUAUUCUUUAAAUUAAUUUAAAAAAAAAAAAUUAAACUUGCUUCCAAGUAUUCGUUUUUACUGUCACACAUCUAGCUAUUUUAUACAUGAUUUGUAUUCUAAAGAGUAUUAAUCUUUGUCGAUAUCAAUGUUGUUGUAUUGUUAAUCUUUUCUUCCUAAAUGGUGUGAUAGCAGUUGUUAGGUGGAAUCAUAUUAAUAUAUCAUCUUAAUUUGAGUAGAAAAUGAAUAAUUUUACAAGAGUCCUUGGCCCUUGCUUCCGUCUUAUUGUUAAUGAUUUUGUUUCAUUCCUCGUAAUCUAAUAAAUUAUGUUCUUGUUAUAGGUAAUAUUUGGGACUAGUUCUUGUUGGGAGUUCACCCUCUAAUCCAAACAGAUCUUCUAAUUUCCUUUCUCUUAUAUAUUUUUUAUUUUCUUUUCCUUUUGCACAUUUAGUUCCUUUGUCUAUCUAUAUAGGAUCCUUUCACUUGUUGUAUCGAAUGAAAUCCACCAUUUUUAACGUCGAUUAUUACUAUUAAUGGAUGUUAAAUAAUGAUCUCCAGUUUUGGUUGUUAAACCUAAAUUGACAUUUAACACCUAUUUUAGGUCAUAAACAAGUGUUGGAUAUUAAUAUUUAACACCGUUUUUUUUAUUAAUAAUAGGUAUUAAUUUUUAUUUCGUAGUGCAAAAAUAAGAUAUUACACUUAACAUUAUAGAUUUAAUACCGGUUCAAAAUUGAUAUCAAAUGGAUUUGAAAUACCGAUUUUAAAAACCGGUGUAAGAUACUCCACUUACAAUAUCGGUAGCAAUAACACCGGAAAAAAGAAGGUGUGAAAUAUCAAAUAAUUAGGUAUUAUAGCCUCCGUUUACNAAAUUUAAAUACCUAUCACCACCGUUAUUUAUUUUAACCAUUGUGAAAGGAAUUAUAUUUAAUCUACAAAUUCAAGUUACCAAAUUGCAUCUUAUUUCAAUCAUCUAGAAGUUAAAAUCAAGUUAGUCUUAAUUAAACACCCACAAGUCAAUGUCCAAGCCGAAUGCUCCAACAAAGUUAUCCUCUAUGAGGUCAAGAAAAAUAUUGACAAAUUAAAAGGAGUAUGGCGUGAACACCUAUGUGAGGUAUCCCUAUUCUUAAUUUUCCACUAAAAAUACUAAAUUUCAAUCAUUUAUUUUAAAUCUCACACCUAUUUAUUAAGAUAUAUUUAAAGAUCUCGUUUAUGGAAAUCACGGGUAUUAUGGUCAUAUCAUAUGGUACCACACUCUUCUAUAAAUGAAUCAUUAUUUAAGAUAGUGUAUGGUUCAAGAGCCAUGCUACCCGUAAAAAUAUACACAUCCACCUACCGAUGAGAAUAUUUCAAUAAAUAAGGUGUAACACUCAUGGAGUUAGUUUGCCAUUUUCUCUUACCAACAUGUUUUCUAACCCCAUAUUUUGUUACUAGUAUCUGUGAGUAAUGCAACUUAUUGUGUUUAAUUGUUUUUUAUGAAUCUGUUAAAGAGAAAGAUACAUGUCUUAAAUGCGUGCCAAAUCUACUUGUAAAGCCCGCGAAAUAGCCCACAUCCAAGAGUUCACAUCAAAAGAAAGAUCUCUAAGGAGAUACAAUUCUCAAGUUAUACGCCAUGAGAAAUGAAGUAGAGCGUCUUAGUGAUCAAACAAGUGGUAGAACAUAAUAGGAUUGGUAAACUCUUUCCUAUAUGGUAAUUUCCUUACAGAGUACGUGAGAAGCUAUCACUUGUAGCCUAUAAACUAGAAGACUUGAAUGAAGAUGUUGUUCCUAUGUCUUGGAACUAAGUGAAUUUAAGACAUUAUUACAAUUAAUGAUUACAUUAGAAGCUAAUAAAGUGAAGAUAUAAACCGACAUGACUUAAUUUUUUGUACAUAUGGAAGUGCGAGAGAUUUUAAUGAGGCAUCCUAUUUAAUAAAUUCGCUUUAUCGCUUAUUCAUGAAAAAGUAAUACAUAUAAUAUUAUUGUUCCCUCUAAAGUAUGAUUGCAUCUUUCGAAAUAUCAUUACACUCUCUGGGAUAUUAUAGUCCCCAAAAGUAUUAAUUGAAUCUUAAAGUAGAUCAUCUUCUCCAUAAUGAUAUCGUUAUUCCUAAUUGGAGGCUAAAUGUUUUUUUUAAUGACUAAACUCAACGCCAUGCUUGAAAAACAAUUUACUAAAGCUUAGAAAAGUACAUGAGUUUAGUUGUUAUUUGAUAAUGUUUUGAAUGACUAAACACAAAAUUAUGUUGUCCUAUAUAGGUGUAUGAAUGACUCAAUAGAAAUCUUGUAAAAAAUCGAACUAACUAAACAAAUUCAAACUACGUUGUUUUGUUUUGAUUUGGUUUAGUUUUAUUUCUAAAAACCAACCAAACAAAACCAAACCACACUUUUUUUCUCUUGCGGGUCAGAUGACUUUUAGAAUACAAAUAUCUUAACCCGCACCGUGAACACCCAUAUGUAUAAUAAAAACUCAAAUAACUGAUACCACUCUUGAAAGCGUUAAGCAAAAGUAAGAACUUUUUAAUGUAACAUGUGAUCAAACUGAGGAGUACAUGGAGUAUUUGAAACAAAGGAUCAGAUCAAAGUGUAAAGUGGAUGGGGAGGGAUUAUAUACCUUUAAGAAUUUGUGUCAUAGGUAAGAGAGAGAGAGAGAGAGAGAGAGAGAGAGAGAGAGACAUCCAUCAUAAAAAAUACACCAAAGUUGUGAAAGUUACCAAAUAGCUUGGAUUUAUGUAAGGUGGAUUUUGACACAUCAUGUUGUUAAUACAUAUAAUCCUUUAUUCUAUGGAACACAUAUUUCCUUAUAAUCCUUUUUGGUGUUUUAGUCCGAUCUUAGACGAGGAUAAAGUGAGAUUAAUGGAGAUUGUUCAAAUAAGUGAAUAUACAUCAAUUAGUUUGGCUUCAAUUUAACCCAAUAUGUUAUUGCAUAGACUUAUGUUUUCCAUUACUCCAAAACCACAUUUAGACAACACGUUUGACAAAAAAAAAGCAUUUUUUGCUUCUGGAAAACGUGGUGCAUAUAGGUUUAAAGUGAGCUAGUGGCAAUUGAAGGGCUUUUAUACACACACUUAGUAUUUCAAUAAAAAAAUUAUCUAUAUAGAAAUUAUUAUUUGAUAUUUAUUUUUAUGAUUAAAUAAUUAUAAAAUUUAUUCUUUACAGAAUAGAAUUUGAACACAUAAAUCACACUUAAUAUAUAAUACUAGAAUAAUUGUAUUAUAAGGUUUCAGGAGUCUUGACAUCUCAUCUUCUCAAAUGUUUGAGAGUUUGAUAUCUCUAUUCCUUUAGUUAUUUUAAGAGUAAACAUGUUGAAUUAAUAAAACAUAACUUCACCUCUAAGGUUUGAAAAACUAAAGAGACACCAACUCAAUCUUUAUCGAAUCGAAUUAAGGGUUAUUUUAAAAGACAAACAUCUAGUUCAUAGUAACAAUAUCUCAUUAGGUACAUAAACGAGACCUUACUUAGUACAUAGAAAUAAGAUUUUACAGUACAUAGAAGUUAAAAACAUAGGAACAACAUGAAAUUUUUUCGGAAUGACAUAAACAUUGACAAACAAAGAUAUGAACUAGUUUUGAGUAUCUUUUAACCAUCCAUCAAGGUAAACUUGUUUGGCGUCAGGGGUGGAUUUUACUUUCUCAACUCAGAUAUAUUUCAACCAUCCAUCAAGGUAAACUUGGUUGGAGUCAAAUAUGGAUUUUGUUUUCUCAGCUCAGAUAUCUUUCAACCAUCCAUCAAGGUAAACUUGGUUGGAGUCAGAGGGAGAUUUUAUUUUCUCAACUCGGGUAUCUUUCAACCAACCAUCAAGAUAAACUUGUUUGGAGUCAGAUAAGGAUUUUGUUUUCUCAGAUCGGAUAUCUUUCAACCAUCCAUAAAGGUAAACUUGGUGGGAGUUAGGGGUAGAUUUUAUUUUCUUUGCUCGGGUAUCUUUCAACCAUCCAUCAAGAUAAAUUUGGUUGGAGUCAGAGGUGGAUUUGACUUUCUCAGCUCGGGCAUCUUUCAACUAUCCAUCAAGGUAAACUUGGUUGGAGUUAGAGGUGGAAUUUUCUUUUUCUGAUCGGGUAUCUUUCAAUCAUCCAUCAAG